UUUUUUUUUUGUAAAAUACGGUGGCCCGUCCGAUGGUUCCCUGCUGUCAGGUGGAGGAAUAAUUAUUUUGCACGUAAUAAGGAGGCACUUCCUUGCUGUAGCCGUGGACCCAGCUGUCAGCCUCUCCACGUACAGUACUCUUCCGAUGGAAGUCGGUCGUUGACCACAUUAACUACGCCGCGCCGAGAGCACCAAGGCGGUGGAUGACGACGAGGCCUAGGAAGGGGACGACGCGGAGCCAGGGAAGACGCGGCAGUGGAUGCCCAUGCGGAGAGGAGUACGAGGGUUCACAUGUUCGGCUACGGUGUGAGGAUGCCAUCGCCGCAGGGCCUCGCCAGCGGUGGGAGUGGUAGGGGCGGUGAGGCCUCCGCGGCAGCACUGCCGGCCAUGGGAGGCAGGAGCAGGCGGCACAACCAGGCGCAGGAGUUACAUUUACCUCUUGGGGCCCUCGGGUCUGAGCUUCAGUGCCUUACAACACCUGCCUUUGAGUCAAUAACAUGUGGACCCGAUAGGUGGCUGGUCCACAUGUAAUGCUCCCGAAGGCAGAGGGGCGGUGGGGCCGAGAGGGGUGAGCCACAGGUCGGGGGACGUGUGGUGUCAUGUUCGAGCGGCGUCGUGGGAAUCGCGUGUGGCUGUGGUAGAAACUUGAUGCUCGCCACAUUUCAGUUGGCCCAAUGUCAUGCACACAAAGGCAGAGGGGCGGUCCGGCCGAGAGGGGUGAGGCGCACGUCGGGGGACGUGGUGCCGUGGGUUGGACAGGCGUCGUGGGAAUCGCGAGUGGCAGUGGAUGAAACGUGAUGGUCGCCAUAGUUGAACUUCCAUGGACAAGCUGGCAUGUCUACGGACACAUGCAUUGCAUACCGAUCAGUGGAAGGAGUAGUAGAGAAAGCUAGGCGGAUAAAUAGUUCCUUAUAGUCAAGCGGACCCACGCUACUACUUGUUCCAAAGACAUGCACACCAUCGAAAUAGUCCAUCUAUAUCAAUAUACACAGAGAGGGAAUAUGUUUUUUACAAGAGAGGAAAUAGUUCAUCCAUCCAUAAUGCCCUUCUUCUUCUUCUUCUUCUUCUUCUUCUUCUUCUUCUUCCUCUUCUUCUUCGUCUUCUUCUUCGUCUUCUUCUUCUUCUUCUUCUUCGUCUUCCUCUUCUUCUUCCUCUUGUUCUUCCUCUUCUUCUUCGUCUUCUUCUUCGUCUUCUUCUUCGUCUUCUUCUUCGUCUUCCUCUUCUUCUUAUCCGUCAGAUAUAAAUAACCAUGAUGGUGUGGGUAUUUUUUGCAAAAUUGCCAUAGUUUCCUUCCUAUCCGUCAGAUAUAAAUCGGACGGCCUAUACUGCAGGAUGGCAGGCACACCAUCAUGAACAACUCUGUUGUCGGAGUAAAUGGCCACGGGUAGCCUAACCGACUCCCCCUGGCUCUUCAAAAAUUAUUAGGCCGAUCGAGCCUUCCAGCACCCAAAGCAUAGGGCCGCCUUCCCCUGGCCGGUUAUCUCACAGGCCGACUACUGGAAGGCGACCCGGCCCUAAAGACCCUCCCAAAGAGAGCCACAAGAUGGCCGACUCCAAGAAGUCGGCCACAAGAGGACCGACUCCCAGAAGCCGGCCAAGACUGCACCCUCAAGGGCUGCACCCACAUAACGAUGACGAGACGGGGCGUGGCUACAGUACAGCCUGCCACCCCGGAAUCCCGGAGCACGCGUGGCCACAGUGCGCCGUACAGGUCGGGCAUCCCCCGUCCAGCGCGGCACUGUUGCCAUGUUGACCAUGACGCCACCCACGACAGGUUGUCAGUACGGCCCGCGGGCGGCGGGCCCCUUCAGCCAGAGAGAUGCUCGAAGGCGGCCAAGCCUCCCCCAGUCGGCCUAGGGCGUAGCUAGCUCCCAACAGCCGGCUACCUCCCUCCCUCGAAGUAUGUGCAUCAUUAAGGAGAUAAGACGAGGUAAGGCUAUAGUGAGAGCCCGCCAGGCGGCGGCACUGUAGCCAUGCUUACCUCGACAAAGCCCUCGUCAUCAGGGGCGAGGCUACAGUAACCAGCCACCGACAAGACCCCCAGGCAGUGGGGCCGGCCUGUCGGCCAAGAGGCCGGCAGCCGGCGGGACCCACCAGUCGGCAGGCCCCAGCGGCCGGCGGAGAAGCCGGUGAAUACACACACUGACGGCUAGGACCUGCGUCCAGCCGGAUUACCAUUGUACCCCUGGGGGUAGGCCUAUAUAAACCCCCCGGGGCAACCAUGCAAAGGGUUGAUAUCUUAGAGUUUUAGACACCACAUAGAGAGAAGAGGAGAGCUAGCCUUGCCGUUCCUCCUCCUCUAGCCAAACAGCUCAAGGAGCCACUUGUAGCUACUUGUGUUGAUCUAGUGAUCAUGCGGAGACCCCGCAGAGCAGGAUUAGGGGUGUUAUCUCCACGGAGAGCCCCGAACCUGGGUAAGAUUCGCCGGCGUGCAUGUCUUUGCCUUAUCCCGUUUCCAGGCACCGGCGAUGUCUUACUGGCUCCCACAAUGAUAAGCCACCCGUUGGCAUAUGUCGCACCUACCACCUGACAUUUGGCGCCCACCGUGGGGCCAGGUGCACCGUCGUCCGAAGACCUGUUCUGGACGGGAACCCUUUUCCUCCCUAGCGAGCGUAGCCAACCCGGCACGCCCGAUGGCGCUUGCCCCGACGCGCUGCAAGGCGUCGACGACGCUUGCGCGGCGAGCUGCCUCGCCGAUCUUCUUGGCGAGGCUCGCAUCUCCGACGAGCCUGCGUCCGACGCGGGCACAGACUGCCCCGAGAGCCGCCUCGUCAGCCUCCUCGGCCAGCUUCACGUCUCCAGCGAGCUUGCUGUGGACUUGGAGUCGGUCAGCUCCACCGACCCGAUGCUUGUCGACUCCGACACGGCAUCACUUGACGCCUUCCCCACCAACGUGGUGAUCAUUGACGACCCUCUUCCUCGAGCCGACAGUGGCAGCAGCGCUGUCACCGAGGUGUUGGUCAUCAACCAUGGCGCCAUCUCAGGCGAGAACGCCCACGACGCCCUACAAGCGGUGCUACACGACUUGUCCGUCCCCAUCCCGCCUGACGCCGACGCCGAGACACUGGAGGCAUGCCGCCUCGCCCUCGUCGCGGAGGGCUAGAAGAUAGCAUCCAUGAGACGCCUCACUGAGGCUCACCAGCGCGAAGUCGACCGCGCCGCCUUUGCUACGCCGUCUCCUGGCGGGCCGAGCCGAGCCGGCUUCGUCAAGAAGCGCGGCGCGGCCAUCGCCAGCAUGCUGGGAGCAGACCGCCCAGUCUACGCCACGCCGCUCGAGAACCUGCGUGCCGCUCAGGCGGCCGUAGACGAGCUGAACGGGCUGGGGGCCGACGAGCUCCCCUACAUGACUAGACGCAUCCAGCAGCUGAUCGACGCGGCCGCAGAGCGGCAUGAAGCCAGUGCCCGCGCUAGAAGUCCUACCCCACGCCGAGAGCACGGCGCGACAUCCCGGACGCCGACUGUAGACGGCGCCCGCGCAAGAAAAGAUAAGGAGCCGGCUGCUAGCCGCAGUCGGACUCGGCUCACCAUCGAGCGCGACGCAGAAGGCUGCCCCCGAGCUGUGGAACGACGAGGCGAUCCACCUCCUCCCCCGCCUCGUGGGGAGAGAUAUCCCACCCCGCCGCCUAUUACGCAUCCGACUCUCGACGGCCGACUGGGCCAUCGCGAAGGAGUCGGCGAGAAUGACGCCCGCCAUCGGAUCGAUCUCCUGGCGCGAUCCCUGGCGCUAGAAGAAGAAGAUGAUGUCGGCCCGCCUUGCUUUGGCCCCCGCAUCCGCGACGAGCCCUUCCCCAAAGGGUUCUCGCUCCCAAGAGACACGCCAAAAUACAACGGCUCCGUGAAGCCGGAAGACUAGUUGAUCGAUUACUCCACCGCAGUCCGCAUAGCAAACGGCAACAGGCGCGUUGCCGUGAAGUACGUCCCGCUCAUGCUUCAAGGCACGGCACGGACUUGGUUAAACAGACUCAAGCCCUACAGCAUCAACAGCUGGCUAGACUUCACGGAAGUCUUCAUCCGCAAUUUCACCAGCACGUACAAGCGGCCUCCCAAGCCCCGCCAGCUCUCCUUGUGCGUCCAAGGGCCCAGCGAAUCAACUCGCGACUACCUCACGUGUUGGGCCGAGCUCCGCAACUCCUACGAAGGGGUGCCGAGGUUCAAGCCAUAGGGUACUUCACCGCCGGGUGCCGAGAGGGCACCCUCCUCAAGCACCGGCUCCUCUGCGACGAGCCGACUACCCUCGACGAGCUCCUGAUCAUAGCAGACAAGUACGCCACGGCCGACUCUUCAAUGAAGACCGAGCUUCGAGUGGAUGCCUCUGGAAAGGUGCUCGCUCCGGCUCCAAAGACACCGGCUGGCGACUCCAGUCGACGCCCUUACCAGAACGACAACAAGCGCAAGGCCCCUAUGCCGCCUUCCACCAGUCGGCAAGUAGCCACAGUCGAAGACGAACAACCUGAAGAACGGCCCCCGCCCAAGAAGCAGAAGGGCGGCAAGCCGGCUUGGCGGCCAGCUUUAUCCUACGAGCAAACCCUUGAUUCCCCCUGCAAGUUCCACAGCGGCGCGAAGCCAUCCAACCACACGACCCGGAAGUGUCAUUGGCUCACGCGGAUCUCCAAAGGCGAAGGGCUGGUGCCGCCUCCACCUGCUGGCCAGCCGCCCCCAGCUCCUCAGCAGCCGGCUGUUCGACCAGCAGUCAGAGCCAUUCAAGAUGAGUUCCCAGACGAGCAUGCCCCCUACGUCGUCUUUACAAGCCAAACUGAAGACAGGCGCAGUCGGCGCCGACAACACCAAGAAGUCAACGCGGUCGCCUCCAACAACCCAGAGUUUAUGCAUUGGUCUGAGAAGCCUAUCAGCUGGAGCCGGGCCGAUCACCCAGAGGUGAUGCCGUCUCCCGGCUCUUAUGCAUUGGUAUUGGAUGCCGCCCUCGCGACAGAAAGGCGAGCUGCCCGUUCUCCCGUGUACUGAUUGACGGUGGGAGCAGCAUCAACAUACUGUACCGCGACACCAUGGAGAAGCUGAACAUCAAGACGAAGCAACUCAUGCCAAGCCGGACUGUGUUCCAUGGCAUCGUACCCGGUUGUCCUGCUCACCAAUCGGCAAGAUCAAGAUGGAUCUUCUCUUCGGAGACAAGGAUCACUUCCGCCGAGAAGCAAUCUGGUUUGCAGUGGUGGAUCUAGAGAGCCCUUACCACGCGUUGCUUGGCCGGCCUGCCCUGGCCAAGUUCAUGGUUGUGCCCCACUACGCCUACCUCAAGAUGAAGAUGCCAAGCUCGAAAGGGAUCAUCACCAUAGCCGGAGACUACAAGAAGUCCUCCGAGUGUGCUGCAGCCAGCAGCCGGCUGGCCGAGUCCCUCGUGAUUGCUGAAGAAAAGAAGAUGCUGGACCGAGUCGUGGCCAUGGCCGGCAAGCAGCCGGCCCUGUCCCCUGACCCCAAGGAAUAUGAUGCUCAAGGCUCCUUCCAGCCAGCCAAGGAAACAAAGAAGAUACCUCUGGACCCGGAGAACCCGGAGAGGUUUGUUGUCAUUGGUGCAAACCUGGACAGCAAAUAGGAAGGCGAGCUCAUCGAUUUCCUCCGUGAGAAUCGGGACAUUUUUGCAUGGUCCCCAAAGGACAUGCCGGGUGUUCCGAAGGAUUUCGCCAAGCACAAGUUACACGUCCGAGCAGACGCAAAACCAGUCAAACAACCCCUCCGCCGACUGUCGGAGGAAAAGAGAAGGAUUGUGGGAGAAGAGAUAGCCCGGCUUCUGGCAGCCGGCUUCAUUAUGGAGGUGUUUUUUCCAGAAUGGCUUGCCAACCCGAUCCUGGUGUUGAAGAAAAACAAUAAAUGGCGCAUGUGUAUAGAUUAUACCAGCCUCAACAAAGCCUGCCCCAAAGAUCCGUUCGCCUUACCUCGAAUCGAUCAAGUGAUAGACUCCACAGCCGGAUGCGAGCUGUUGAGUUUCUUGGAUGCUUACUCAGGCUACCAUCAGAUCAAGUUGGAUCCAGCCGGCCGCCUGAAGACCGCCUUCAUCACACCAUUCGGAGCUUUCUGCUACCUGACUAUGACAUUCGGCUUGAGAAAUGCCGGUGCCACUUUUCAGCGUUGCAUGCAGAAAUGCCUCCUCAAGCAACUCGGCAGAAAUGCCCACGUCUAUGUAGACGAUAUUGUGGUGAAGACGGAGAAGCACGACACCCUGCUGGAAGACCUCAGAGAAACAUUUGACAACUUGCGCCAGUUCCAGAUCAAGCUCAACCCUGAGAAAUGCGUGUUCGGAGUACCAGCCGGCCAGCUUCUAGGCUUCUUGGUCUCCGAACGCGGCAUCGAGUGCAACCCAGUGAAUAUCAAGGCCAUAGAGAGAAUGGAGAUUCCUACCAAGCUGCGAGACGUCCAAAAGUUUACCGGGUGCCUGGCCUCCCUGAACCGCUUCAUCAGCCGGCUAGGAGAGAAGGCUCUCCCCCUGUACCGACUCAUGAAAAAGUCCACCCACUUCGAGUGGAACGACCAAGCAGACCAAGAUUUCCACGAGUUGAAGAAGAUGCUGACAACGCCGCCUGUCUUGGCGGCGCCGACUGAGAAAGAGCCCAUGCUCCUUUACAUUGCCGCGACUAGCCGAGUGGUCAGCACAGUUAUUGUGGUCCAACGCCUAGAAGAAGGCUGGGCUCUGUUAGUCCAGAGGCCGGUGUAUUAUUUGAGCGAAGUACUGUCCACCUCGAAGCAAAACUACCCGCACUACCAGAAGAUGUGCUAUGGAGUAUACUUUGCUGCCAAGAAGCUGAAGCCCUACUUUCAAGAGCAUCCCAUCACGGUCGUAUGCACUGCCCUGCUUGCCGAGAUCAUAGGCAGCCGGGAUGCAUCCAGCCGGGUGGCUACUGGGCCAUUGCGUUGGCUCCUUACACGAUCUUCUACCAGCCUCACACCGCCAUCAAGUCCCAAGCAUUGGCCAACUUCCUUGUCGACUGGGCCGAGACCCAGUACCUACCGUUGGCUCCCGACUCCACUCAUUGGCGGAUGCACUUCGAUGGAUCCAAGAUGCGCACCGGCUUGGGAGCCGGCAUCGUCCUCACCUCUCCCAAGGGCGACAAACUCAGAUACACAUUGCAAAUUCAUUUUGCCGCCUCCAACAACGUGGCCGAGUACGAGGCGCUCAUACAUGGGCUCCGGCUAGCCAAAGAGCUCGGCAUCCGCCGGAUCCUGUGCUGUGGCGACUCGGAUUUGAUAGUCCAACAAUCAUCCGGCGACUGGGACGCCAAGGAGGCAAACAUGGCGAGCUACCGAUUCCUCGUUCAGCAAAUCGGCGGAUACUUUGAAGGAUGCGAGUUCCUCCACGUGCCAUGGGACGACAACGAGCAAGCAGAUGCCCUGGCACGAAUCGGCUCCACCCGACAAGCUAUACCAACCGGCGUCUCUCUCCAAUGCCUCCUCAAACCAUCUGUCAAGCCGUCUCCAGAAUCAGACUCCAUAUUCGUACCGCCUGGCCCUGAUGCAGUCGGAUCCGACUUGGGGAACCCAGCAGGCGGCUCGGGGACUUCAACAGGCAGCCCGGGGACUGCCGUAGUCGCACCCAGCUCGGGGACUUCAGAACCCGGCCCGAGGACUGCAAUGACACAACAGGUGGUGGCCGACUCCAACUCUUCACCACCCAACCCACCCACCCUGGUCGGAGUAGCCGUAUUGGCAAUAGAAGAAGUCACAGCUCCAUCAUGGGCCCAACCCAUCCUCAACUUCCUGGUAAACAGAGAGCUGCCGACUGACGAGAUCUCGGCAAGACAAGUUCAACGCCGAGCCGGAGCAUACACAAUAAUAAACAGAGAACUCGUUAAGCGCAGCGUCACUGGAGUCUUCCAGCGCUGCGUCGAGCCAGAGAAGGGCAUAGCAAUCCUGAAGGACAUCCACCAAGGUGAAUGCGGCCACCACGCGGCCUCAAGAUCACUUGUCGCCAAAGCUUUCCACCAUGGGUUCUUCUGGCCGACUGCUUUGGAAGACGCCAAGGAAUUAGUCAAAUGCUGCAAAGGGUGCCAUGUCUCGCUCCAAGCAACACCUGCCAGCUUCUGCACUCAAGACCAUCCCCCUCACCUGGCCCUUUGCCGUCUGGGGAUUGGACAUGGUGGCCCCAUUCAAGACGGCGCGCGGCGGCAUGACACAUCUGCUUGUCGCCGUAGACAAAUUCACCAAGUGGAUUGAAGCGAAGCCAAUCAAGAAGCUGAACGGGCCGACUGCCGUGACAUUCAUCGCAGAUAUCACCACCCAGUAUGGCGUACCACAUAGCAUCAUCACCGACAAUGGCACAAAUUUUGCCAAAGGAGCACUGGCACGUUUCUGCGCGACACAGGGCAUCCGACUGGACUUAGCGUCCGUUGCUCACCCGCAGUCAAACGCCCUAGUCAAGCGAGCAAACGGCCUCAUCCUCUCCGGCAUCAAGCCCCGACUGGUCGUACCACUGGAGCGUUCGGCCGGCUGCUAGCUCGAUGAGUUGCCCGCCGUCCUCUGGAGUCUGCGUACUACCCCGAACAAGUCAACCGGCUUCACCCCUUUCUUCCUUGUAUAUGGUGCCGAGGCUGUCAUCCCAACUGACAUCGAGUUCGACUCACCUCGUGUCACCAUGUACACGGAGGCGGAGGCCAAGGAAGCGCGAGAAGACGGCGUUGACCUGCUGGAAGAAGGCCGGCUGUUAGCACUCAGCCGGUCCGCCAUCUACCAGCAGGGUUUGCGCCGUUACCACAACCGGAAGGUCAAGUCAAGAUCCUUCCAAAAAGGCGAUCUUGUGCUCCGGUUGAUCCAGCGAACAGCCGGCCAGCACAAGCUCUCGGCCCCUUGGGAAGGCCCCUUCGUCAUCAGCAAGGCCCUAGGCAACGACUCCUACUACCUGAUCGACGCACAGAAGCCGAAGGCACGCAAGAGAGAUGAUUCCGGCAAGGAGUUGGAACGACCAUGGAACGCCAAUCUCCUCCGAAGAUUUUACAGUUAAAAGCAGUAUGUACCACGCUACCUUUUGUAUUAAGUACAAGACAACGGGCCCCCCGAGGAGCACUCGGGGACUGCCAUCUUUUAUCUAUGUAUGACGAGUGUCAUACCUAUGAAUGUAUUGCUACAUUUGUUUUUCUGUCCGGCACCGGGUUCGAUCAGUCGGCCCGGGGACUUGCCGCCUUGAGUUAUAUUAAAGUUCUACCUGCAGUCAGACAAGUAGUCUGCCGGCACCAAAGCCCUCUCUUGUUGAAAGUCGCAGCUCGAAGAAUCGACUGGCCGACAGGCAAUAGUCAAAGGCAGGAAAGGACGCCCACACGAAAAACGGCUAAGGACUAACAAACUUAUAUAACACAAGCCGGCCUCCCACCCCGCCUACCGGCUGUCAGAACAGCCGGCUGGCCGGCUUCCCAUUCACCUUGCUACAAUCUAAGAAAGCUAGACUACUUUUCCUCCCAAAUGGCCAAGCACUUCUCCAGCCAUAGACUGCAGAGCAGCUGUCCGGCUGGGAAGGCGGCGACCAAGGGAGGGCGGCAAAGGAAACAGCCAAAAAGAUGAAAAGCAAAUGCAAUCGGAAGCCAAGCACAUGCAUGAAUAUUUACACAAAAGGCCUUCGACAGGCCGGCAGUCAACAUAGUUUGAAUACACCCCCAGUGGGUGGAACUGCGCAAACUUAACAAAAUAUUGUUCAAAGAGUAAUAAACAGGAAAUCAAAGGCGGCGGAUCAGGCUAAGGGUGCAACAGGCUAGCCAGGCAGGUCGGUGGAGACGGCAGUGCUGGCUGGAGGAGUGGCCGGCUGGCGAGUCUCGGCUUGAUCAUCGCCGGCUGCAGGCGGCGCGCUCGCACGUGCCUCGUUGCUGGAGGCACGAUCAAGCUGAGGUUGGCCAGUUGCUCCACCAUCCGGCACGGCGUCUUCACCUUCCUCUCCCUCCGCCGAGUCCUCACUGUCCGCUGGGUUCAGCCCAAACCACUCCUCCGGCUGAGCAACACCGUCAUCAUCCACCUCAGGGGCAAAGGCACUGGUGUCGGUGUAGUCGGCGAUCGCCGAGGCGCGCUGGAUGAUAGCCGGCCGCACCGCCUCCAGCUCCGUGUCGGCCUCCUGCCGCCAGGUGGCCAGCUGGUCCAAACUCAGCUCGGGAUACCAAGCUUUGACGAACUCCAGCGCCCGCCUCACGCCUGACCGAGCUGUAGAAGCCUUCCAGGCCUCGAAGCGGCCAACCGCUACCUCUAGCCAGUCGGCAAUCCGACUGGGGGUACAGGGAACCACCUCGCCGGGCCAGAGGGUGGCCAGCACUUGCGCCCCAACGCGCUGAAGACAGCGGAGCAUGCGGUGAGCCGGCUGGAGGCGGGCUUGGAUCGCCAGAAACUGCUCCUCAAGCGACCAACGAGCAUUCGGCGCGAUCUCAGCACCAGCCUGCCUUUGCGCCUCGCGGUGGGCCUUAAUGACUUGGCUGGCGGCAGUGGAGUAACCAGGGAAGUACUCUGCACAAGUAAGAAAGGAAGAGAAAAAACACAAAGUCAGAGAAUGGACCAAAUGGAACGCGGUAAGCGAAGGAACGAAGAAGAAGGCGUCCUACUGUCAACCAAGUCUUCGAUCUGGCCAUCGCCAUUGAUCAGCGAUUGCCUUGCCUCAGCCCAGCUCACCGCCUCGGUCUCGUAUUUGGCUUGGAGGGCGGCCUCACUGUCCUGCACCGCCUUCAGGGCCGCCUUAUGGCUCUCCUCCUGGUCGGCCAGCUUCUUGACCAAGCGGUCACGCUCCUGAGCCAAGGCAUCGAAAUCGGCUUCCCUGGCGCGAAGGGCGGUCUAGGCCCCACCCAACUGCUCCCUCAGGUUGGCAUUGGCCUUUGCAGAUAUGGUGAAGAAGAAAGAAGCAAUAAGAAAGAAGUCGCCAGGAAAGAUCCGGCCCGACUGCUCAACAGUCGGCCCGAAUCUCGGGGACUACACCCAGUGGGUGCGCUGACGCGCCCCCACGUGAGAUAAAAGAUGAAGCACUUGCUCCGGCUCUUAGUUAGAUCAGCGGUCUUCUGGGUCAGCUCCCGAGCCUGGGAGUUGAAGGCAGCCGCGCGGAGGUUGUGGUAGUCCUGCAAGUAGGACAGAGAAGCGAAUAAGAUCUGUUGGGGAACGUAGUAAUUUCAAAAUUUUCUACGCACACGCAAGAUCAUGGUGAUGCAUAGCAACGAGAGGGGAGAGUGUUGUCCACGUACCCUCGUAGACCGAAAGCGGAAGCGUUAACACAACGCGGUUGAUGUAGUUGUACGUCUUCAUGAUCCGACCGAUCAAGUACCGAACGCACGGCACCUCCGAGUUCAGCACACGUUCAGCUCGAUGACGUCCCUCGAACUCUGAUCCAGCCGAGUGUUGAGGGAGAGUUUCGUCAGCACGACGGCGUGGUGACAAUGAUGAUGUUCUACCGACGCAGGGCUUCGCCUAAGCACUGCUAUGAUAUUAUCGAGGUGUAAUAUGGUGGAGGGGGCACCGCACACGGCUAAGAGAUCAAUGAUCAAUUGUGUGUCUAUGGGGUGCCCCCCUGCCCCCGUGUAACGCCCUGAGACCAACGCUCCAGAAGCCUUCCAGUUAUUUCAUUGUUGUCGUGUGUUUUAUUUGUUUGUUGCAUUCACCAUCGCAUCAUUCGCAUUGCAUCAGCACUCUGUUGCCGUCAUUGUUUUCAAACUUGCAUUCAUUCGUAGUUGUCGCGUUCCCCCCUUGUCUUCGUUGAUGUUCCGAGACCAACCGUGUUUUCGGUUCCCUCUUGUCAAACCAACUAACCUCUCUCGUCAGCCCGUGAUCCCCUCCCGCGCGUCCGAAAGUUGUCCCGUACCCGACCCGGUUUGUUGUUACCGUUGGGUCCAGAUCAUCCCCUAACAUCUACAAAACAUCUGCGUUUUCUUAUUUGGACUCCCUACCUAUUAUUUUCUCGAUCGUCCGAUUUUAAUCGGAGGGCCCAAAUAGCCUCUAAUCUAAUCCCACGAGAUAUAUAUUGACCAACCCUAGAAAUUAGGAGCCUUUGUCCCAUCAGUCCCAUCCCGCCGCCGCCAGCAUCUCCCACCUCGGGAUCCCUCUAGAUCCACCCUCUCUCCCUCGAUUUCCCGAUCGGGCCAACCACCUCCUUCCCUCGAUCCACCCAAUCCCGCAACCGAGGCCCGAGCUCCUCCCGCUCGAUCCCUCCUCGAGCACCUGCCUCUGCCCGAGCUCCUACCGCAGCUCCCAUCACCCUCGACCCCACCUCGUCGGCCGGUCGACAACGGCGACCAGAACAACGCCGGAGAUGAGUGCCCCAACAGCCCCGCUCUUUUUCCCCUCCUGCUUCUCUACCGAUCUUUCUCACGAUCUUCCCCUCCCUCUCUCUGUUUUCGCUCACAGGAGACCACCAUGGCCGCUGCAUCAAGCUUCGUCGUCGUUUCGUGCCGAGGAUGGAUGGAUCCAUGCUCCGCGCGCCUCCUCCCGCAGUCCCGCGCCGCCGCCGUUCCAUCUCCGGCCACCCGAGCCGCCGCAGCUCCGGGCACUCGCCGCCCCUGCGCAUCAAGCCCCUGCGCCGUGCUCCUCCCCUGCUGCGAGCCUCUGCCUCGACUCGUGCCCGAACUCCUUCCCGAGCCGGAGCUCCUGCCUCGACCUCACCCCCACCUCGUCGCGCCGGCGACUCGUCACGCUGGACUCCUCCCGCAGCAGCUCCUCCUGAUGCCAUCGCCUACCUCCUCGUCACCGUGCCCAUAGCCACGGAGCAGAAGCCCAAGCCCCGGCGACCCCUCCUGGACCUGUUGCUGCCGCCGCCUCGCCAGCGCCGCUCGCCUCCCCGGCGCCGCCUUCUGCAUCGCCGUGAAACUGCCGCUGCUUCUGUUGCUUGUUCUUCACAAGCGAGCAGAGCCACUGCCGCCCAACCUGGCGCGCCUCCGCCCCUUCUCCGGCCAAGUCCGGUGCCCCAUGGUCGGAUCCGUCGUCGCCUGCUCGUCGGUAGCCGCCGCCGUGCCCGCGACCCCUGCUUCCUGUCGCCAUAGCGCCGCUGCAGUUCUUCUGCAGUUAGAUGCAGCAGCGCUGCAUCGAGCGCACGCCCGCGCCGCCGCGUUGAUUUCGUCGCCCUUCACCAGCUACCAGGCCCAGCGCCCGCUUCUGCCUUGGCCUCUCCACCGACCUGGGCUUGGCCCAUGGUGAGAAACCCCCCAGCGCCCCUUGGUUUUUCUUCUGUUGGGCCUGCUCCGGUUUUAGUUUUGGCCCGUGUAGUUUUUUCCCAGAUCUGCGAUUUUAUGCAUUAUCCGGAGAACAGCAGUUUUACAGAAAACCCCUUGAGUUCAUGCAUAUAAUAACUAAUUAAUCAUGCAUCAGCUUUAAAUAACCUAUAUAUGAAAAGUGCUUAGAAUUUCAUCUAGUUUCAUAAUAUGCCACUUUCAUCCCAUGUUCAAAUGUUUAAAAAUGUUGUUUGUUUAUUUUAUUCAAAUGCCAUGUUAAAAUGAUUUAUUUCACAACUAAUUAACCGUAACUCGGAAUUUAAUAAACUUUAUAUGUAAAUGGGGUAGAAAAAUGCAUAGAUUAACAUGGUGCACUUCAUUUUGCUGUUUAACAACAUUAAAAUGUGUUUAUGGCAGAACAGUAGCAAAUCUAAAAUAUGCACAUGAGGAUUUUCCGGAAUUGUUGUUGGUUGUCUCCGGCCUCAUUUAAACUUGCCUAAAUAGUUAGUUUCCAUAUGCUUAUCCUCUUGCCAUGGUUAAUAACAUUUAAUAAUGUUGGGUACAUAAAUGAGAGAGAACUAAAUAAUUGAUGUGGUGUUUCGUCAAUAUGUAACUCGUUGCAUAUUGAGCUCCACUUAAUUUGUAGUGUUGUUUGUUGCACUUUGCCAUGCCAUGCCUCAUUAAACCGGACAUGCAUCAUAUUUGUUUUUGCAUCAUGCCAUGUGUAUGUGGUGGUUGUUUACUAUGUUGUUUGUUUCUUUCUGGGUUGCUUCUCUCGUUAGCUUCGGUUUCGUUCCGGAGUUGUGAGGAUUCGUUCGACUACAUCCGUUUGUCUUCCUCAUGGACUCGUUCUUCUUCCUUGCGGGAUCUCAGGCAACAUGAUCAUACCCUCUAAAUCACUUCUAUCUUUGCUUGCUAGUUGUUCGCUCUAUUGCUAUGCAGCGCUACCUACCACUUGCUCUUCAAGCCUCCCAAAUUGCCAUGAACCUCUAACCUUUGUCACCCUUCCUAGCAAACCGUUGUUUGGCUAUGUUACCGCUUUGCUCAGCCCCUCUUAUAGCGUUGCUGGCUGCAGGUGAAGAUGAAGAUUGCUCCAUUUUGGAUUAUGUUUAUGUUGGGAUAUCACAAUAUCUCUUAUAUUAUUAAUGCAUCUAUAUAUUUGGUAAAUGGUGGAAGGCUCGGCCUUAUGCCUGGUGUUUUGUUCCACUCUUGCCGCCCUAGUUUCCGUCAUACCGGUGUUAUGUUCCUUGAUUUUACGUUCCUAACGCGGUUGGGUGAUUUAUGGGACCCCCUUGAUAGUUCGCUUUGAAUAAAACUCUUCCAGCAAGGCCCAACCUUGGUUUUACAUUUGCCUCAACUAGCCUUUUUCCCUUGGGAGUCACGCUCUCGAGGGUCAUCUUUAUUUACCCCCCCCCCCGGGCCAGUGCUCCUUUGAGUGUUGGUCCAACCUGUCAGUCGCCGGUGGCCACCAGGGGCAACUCUGGUCUGGCCUACCGGAAGCUUGGACAAUCCGGUGUGCCCUGAGAACGAGAUAUGUGCAGCUCUUAUCGGGAUUUGUCGGCACAUUCGGGCGGCUUUGCUGGUCUUGUUUUACCAUCGUUGAAAUGUCUUGUAACCGGGAUUCCGAGACUGAUCGGGUCUUCCCGGGAGAAGGAAUAUCCUUCGUUGACUGUGAGAGCUUAUAAUGGGCUAAGUUGGGACACCCCUGCAGGGUAUUAUCUUUUGAAAGCCGUGCUCGCGGUUAUGUGGCAGAUGGGAAUUUGUUAAUAUCCGGUUGUAGAGAACUUGACACUUGACCGUAAUUAAAACGCAUCAACCGCGUGUGUAGCCGUGAUGGUCUCUUCUCGGCGGAGUCCGGGAAGUGAACACGGUUUCUGGGUUAUGUUUGACGUAAGUAGGAGUUCAGGAUCACUUCUUGAUCAUUACUAGUUGACGACCGUUCCGUUGCUUCUCUUCUCGCUCUCAUUUGCGUAUGUUAGCCAUCUUAUAUGCUUAGUGCUUGCUGCAGCUCCACCUCAUUACCCCAUCCUUUCCUAUAAGCUUAAAUAGUCUUGAUCUCGCGGGUGUGAGAUUGCUGAGUCCUCGUGACUCACAGAUACUUCCAAAACAGUUGCAGGUGUCGAGGAUACCAGUGCAGGUGACGCAACCGAGCUCAAGUGGGAGCUCAUUGAAGCUCUUGUUAGUUGUGUUGUUUCUUUUCCUGUUGAUCAGUAGUGGAGCCCAGUUCGGACGAUCAGGGAUCUAGCAGUUGGGUUGUCUUCUUUUCUUUUGGCUUUGACCGUAGUCGGUCUAUGUGUGUAUCUUGUAUGAUGUGUGAAUUUAUUAUGUAUUGUGUGAAGUGGCGAUUGUAAGCCAACUCUUUAUCCCUUUCUUGUUCAUUACAUGGGAUUGUGUGAAGAUGACCCUUCUUGUGACAAAACCACAAUGUGGUUAUGCCUCUAAGUCGUGCCUCGACACGUGGGAGAUAUAGCCGCAUCGUGGGCGUUACAAGUUGGUAUCAGAGCCAUCCCCGACUUAGGAUCCCCCUGCUUGAUCGAAUCGCUGACGUUGUUGAGUCUAGAACGAAAAUGUUUUGAGUCUUAGGAUUAUAUAUAUCGGAGAGUAGGAUUCUUUUUACUCCUCAGUCCCUUCGUCGCUCUGGUGAGGCCUCCUGACGUAGAAGUUUUGACUUUUCUCUCCUCAAAUUGCACUAAAAAAAAUUUAGGAUCACGCGGGUAUCUUGGAAUCGUUCCGAUGGUUUUGUGACGAGAACAUUGUUCUUGGUGCCUCCUGACAUUUAGGGGUUGUGGCAGUGUCCCGGGGAGUUGAGCUCCGAGGUGUUGUCGUCACAAUUUUAUCGUUGCAGUUCUGGAAUACCUGAGUUCCGCCGACAUCGAAAUCUCUUUUAUGCAGUUGUUGGCGAGAUCACCUCGACGCCACCCAGUACUGGGGCGGGAGUUCGGGAGUAUUUCCAUAACUCGUAUAACGGAUGCUUUUCGAAGGUUGAGAUAAACGAUUUCUGAAGAUUUCUUGGUUAUGUGUUAACGGAUGGAUACAGCUGGAUCUAGGUAUUGUUAGUUUGGGUGAUAUAUUUUGUGUCCCCUGUAUCCCCAACACCAGAUUGCAUAACCAGAAAGUUUCGGGAGUUUAUAAGUGGGAAUUCAAGUAGCUCCUGGGAUAUCUUUCCGACAGAUGCAUGAUAUGAGAUUGGGGUUCGACGUCUAGUGGUCCGCCUUUCCACGGUUGGUUUAAAGUGGUCUCGUAGUGUCUUAAAGAGUCCUUGGCUAUGCCGACUCGGGGACGCUUCGUAUGUCAUGUGCACUGCCUUGUACAUGAUGGUGCUGUACGAUCGAGCCCGUGUGGGCCCCACCACGAAAACUUCGGACGAAAUAUCUAUCAUAUGUUUGUUCCGGCUUAUUUCCUAAGCCAAUCAUUUGUUUUGUUUUAAGUUGUGGUAUUCGAGUUGCUUCAAUGUCAAGUGUCGAAUCCAUACCUUCCCUAAACGGUUUUCUCAUAUUGCUAGGUGAAUACUAAUCCUUCUUGAUCAUCGAGGUCAUCAUGUUAAUUCUUUUCCAACCGGCGUGUUUCUCUUCAAGUGGAUCCGAUCAUUUUCAACAUUCACAAGAUCACCUCUCAGUUUUUCCCAACGUUGUUUGUUUCAUCCAUCCCAAAUUGUCUUUGUUUUCCCGCCCUCCCACCCUUUUCCUUCAAGGAAGCAGAUGUCUUAACCAAGUAUCCAUUUUAUUCACGUGAAGUCUCUUCAUUGUUUUCCUUCAAUGUUCUCACCCGGUGAUUCUUCAUGAAGAUACUAUCGAAACUUCGAGUUUAUUAUUCUUCGUUCCUUUUUCUUCCCCGGUGAAUUCAAUUCAAGCUUUCAGUGUCGAUCAUAGCCCUUUCCUCCUUUCAAAUGCUUUCUCAUGUUGGUGUACCUUUUAAUCAUCCACUUCUCGCCAUUCAUUUGUUCUGGAGUGCCGAAGAUAUCUCAAAAGAUUCACAUUUCCAUUCCAAAUCCGUUCAAGCUAUUUUGAUGUUGUUAUCUCAUUCAAGCCAUUUAAUUCAACCGGCGCAAUCUUUCUUUUAAUCAUUCAACGGUGUUUCUUUUGAGUGGGCCCUAACCCACAGGUAUUUUUCCAGGAUCCUACCUGACUCUUCUAAUUCUUUCCGGAGUUAUUCUUAAAUUCUUUUCAAAGUUUGACGUAAGAAUUUUCAUCAGUCAUAUGUCUUUCUCCAAGAUCUUUCAAAUUCUUUCAUCAUUGGUUCAACCUUUCUAAUUUUCAUCCCGGAGUAUCUCAACAAUUCAUGGUGGUGUUUCUUGUCAUCAUUCUCAACAUCUGAAGACCGAAGAAGAAUUUCUCCUAAAUCUUGGUCCGUUCUCUUGAAAAUUCAUAGUUCUAGCUUAUGCCGUCCUCUCAUAAUUGUUUUUCGAUUGUGAGAAUUCUUUUCUUACCCAUCCGGAGCAUUUCAUGAGUUGUUUUCAUUUCUUGAUCAUCCAAAGGCCAUCAUUUCAGAAGAUUUCUUCGUUCUAAGUUUUCAGAUUCGUUCUCCAAUUAUUCUAAAAUGUUGUCUCUUUGUUCAUCUCCUUAUUCUCCCGGUGCAUCGUUCAAGUAUCCUCUAGUCAGCUCGUGAUCUAUUCGUUCUCAUGUAUCUAAAUUCCCUCGAGUAUUUUCGCGCGUUCUUUAAUUCUUACGGUGUUUCGUCCUCUUUUCUUUAAUUGUUUUCAAUUCUCGCGGUGGUUCGCUCAAGAUUUUUCUCUUCCUUCGUUAUCAUAUCAAUUUAUUCGUUGUUUCAAUCCUACCGGUGGUUCGAUGAAGACCUUCCCUAGUUUGCGCUAUAUCUAUCUUAAUCCUUUCUACGAGAAUAAGUGGUAUGCCAAAUCCGUUGUUUGUCAUCAAUCUAAAUUCGUGAAGGAUACGCGUAAUGUAAUUCUUAUUCUUGUCUCCUCCAAGUGAGUAAUUCCUUCUUCCGGAGUUCGUUCAUGAUAUCAAAUUCUCGGUUCCAAGUUGUUCAUCUUUUCUUUCCGGAGCUCCAAGUUAUUUCAAUUAUAUCAUUCCAAAGCUUCAUCUAAUCAUUGCAAGGCUUCACCUUGUGUUGUCAACUUCUCUUUCUUUUUAGCAUCCUUUUAUUACCGGAGUUCUUCAUGGAGGCUCUACAUGGUGGUUCAUCAAAGAUUCUUUUUAUUCUUCAAUUGUUCUUCAAGAUUUCUCUUGAAGUUAUGACCUGCCAAGCUUUACUCUAAAACAAACAUGGUGUUCAGGACAUGUUUUGUUUUGAGGAGUUCAAGUAUUCUUCAUCUUGCAUUCCAGAGUGCAAUUCUUUCUAUCUUAUCGUUUGAGAUGGUGAUAUGUCAUUCUUGACAAUUUCUUUUCAUGUUUCAUGAUUCACAAGUUAUCAAGAAUGAGAUAUUUAAACCCACCAUUUUUUCUCUUCGCUCAGGAGAUCUUUCAACACAUCAAUCUCUUUGUUGGAGUUAUCUUGGGUUAUAUUUCACCUAAAGCCUUCCCUAAGGAAUGUUGCUAAUUGUGGUGUCUAUCAAUGAGCCAAGUUUUUCUCCUAUCCUCUCGGCGAGAGAAGUUUUCAUCUCUUCGUUGAUCUCAAGCAAGCAAUUGUUUCCGGUAGUGGCGGGUUGUCACCUCAUAAUUUUGAGAUGUGUUCCAUAAGCCCACCACAAGCUUUUUCUUUUCGUUGUUGGUUUUAACAACUCCGUUCAACCCUACUUCGUAAGGAUGCUCUUAAAAUUCAUUUAUGGUAGGAGAUGUUGGUUUCAUUCUUCGUUCUAUUCACUCCAAUUAUCUAACUAUCAUGCAUUGUUUCCGGAGGCUUUGCGAUGUUGCUCUCUUCGACCAAUCAUCUUGUUUUGUCAAGAUCAUGUAAUUUUUUCCUUUCUUAUCCGUUUAGCCGGAGUGUCGUGUUUUCAUUCGAGUUCUCUCAUCUUAUCAAGUUUUGCCUCCCUUCUCAACCGGAGUGCUGUCUGAAAUAUUUCUUACCCCUUGUGCCAUUCUUUCAUUAGUUCCGGAGAAUAUGUGUUGUUAAUUUCAUCGAGUAUCCUCUCAUCUUGUCAAGAUCACGUUCAAUUCCUUCCAUUUACAGUCGGAGUGCUGCCCAAAUUAUAUCAUUCUUAUUCCUCCUUUAUCUUGUUUUAAUCGGAGUGUUGUGUCGAUCAUUACUCUUUUAACCGGAUUCUCAUCCAAGUGCUUUCAUUUUGCCAAGUUCAUAUUCUAUCUCUUCCAUUUUUCAAACCGGAGUGUUUGUAAUCUCGUUCAUCUUUGUUGUAUUCUUUUCUCAAAAUUGUUUAACCUCUCAAGGUUCUUUGGUUUCACUCGUUUGUCAAAGAAGCAACUUUGUUUUACCUCUUCUCUUCCUCUCCCGUUUUUCUCCGCUGCCAUCCUAAAUCUCGGGACGAGAUCCUCUUGUAGUGGUGGAGUGUUGUAACGCCCCGAGACCGACGCUCCAGAAGCCUUCCAGUUAUUUCAUUGUUGUCGUGUGUUUUAUUUGUUUGUUGCAUUCAUCAUCGCAUCAUUCGCAUUGCAUCGGCACUCUGUUGCCGUCAUUGUUUUCAAACUUGCAUUCGUUCGUAGUUGCCGCGUUCCCCCCCUUGUCUUCGUUGACAUUCCGAGACCAACCGUGUUUUCGGUUCCCUAUUGUCAAACCAACUAACCUCUCUCGUCAGCCCGCGAUCCCCUCCCGCGCGUCCGAAAGUUGUCCCGUACCCGACCCGGUUUGUUGUUACCGUUGGGUCCGGAUCAUCCCCUAACAUCUACAAAACAUCUGCGUUUUCUUAUUUGGACUCCCUACCUAUUAUUUUCUCGAUCGUCCGAUUUUAAUCGGAGGGCCCAAAUAGCCUCUAAUGUAAUCCAUGAGAUAUAUAUUGACCAACCCUAGAAAUUAGGAGCCUUGUCUCAUCAGUCCCAUUCCGCCGCCGCCAGCAUCUCCCACCUCGGGAUCCCUCCAGAUCCACCCUCUCUCCCUCAAUUUCCCGAUCGGGCCAACCACCUCCUUCCCUCGAUCCACCCAAUCCCGCAACCGAGGCCCGAGCUCCUCCCGCUCGAUCCCUCCUCGAGCACCUGCCUCUGCCCGAGCUCCUACCGCAGCUCCCCAUCACCCUCGACCCCGCCUCGUCGGCCGGUCGACAACGGCGACUAGAACAACGCCGGAGAUGAGUGCCCCGACAGCCCUGCUCUUUUUCCCCUCCUGCUUCUCUACCGAUCUUUCUCACGAUCUUCCCCUCCCUCUCUCUGUUUUCGCUCACAGGAGACCACCAUGGCCGCUGCAUCAAGCUCCGUCGUCGUUUCGUGCCGAGGAUGGAUGGAUCCAUGCUCCGCGCGCCUCCUCCCGCAGUCCCGCGCCGCCGCCGUUCCAUCUCCGGCCACCCGAGCCGCCGCAGCUCCGGCCACUCGCCGCCCCUGCCCAUCAAGCCCUGCGCCGUGCUCCUCCCCUGCUGCGAGCCUCGACUCGUGCCCGAACUCCUUCCCGAGCCGGAGCUCCUGCCUCGACCUCACCUCCACCUCGUCGCGCCGGCGACUCGUCACGCCGGACUCCUCCCGCAGCAGCUCCUCCCGAUGCCAUCGCCUACCUCCUCGUCCCCGUGCCCACAGCCGCGGAGCAGAAGCCCAAGCCCCGGCGACCCCUCCUGGACCUGUUGCUGCCGCCGCCUCGCCAGCGUCGCUCGCCUCCCCGGCGCCGCCUUCUGCAUCGCCGUGAAACUGCCGCUGCUUCUGUUGCUUGUUCUUCAGAAGUGAGCAGAGCCACUGCCGCCCAACCCGACACGCCUCCGCCCCUUCUCCGGCCAAGUCCGGUGCCCCAUGGCAGGAUCCGUCGUCGCCUGCUCAUCGGUAGCCGCCGCCGUGCCCGCGACCCCUGCUUCCUGUCGCCAUGGCGCCACUACAGUUCUUCUGUAGUUAGAUGCAGCAGCGCUGCAUCGAGCACACGCCCGCGCCGCUGCGUUGAUUUCGUCUCCCUUCACCAGCUACCAGGCCCAGCGCCCGCUUCUGCCUUGGCCUCUCCACCGACCUGGGCUUGGUCCAUGGUGAGAAACCCCCCAGCGCCCCUUGGUUUUUCUUCUGUUGGGCCUGCUCCGGUUUUAGUUUUGGCCCGUGUAGUUUUUUCCCAGAUCUGCGAUUUUAUGCAUUAUCCGGAGAACAGCAGUUUUACAGAAAACCCCUUGAGUUCAUGCAUAUAAUAACUAAUUAAUCAUGCAUCAGUUUUAAAUAACCUAUAUAUGAAAAGUGCUUAGAAUUUCAUCUAGUUUCAUAAUAUGCCACUUUCAUCCCAUGUUAAAAUGUUUAAAAAUGUUGUUUGUUUAUUCUAUUCAAAUGCCAUGUUAAAAUGAUUUAUUUCACAACUAAUUAACCAUAACUCGGAAUUUAAUAAACUUUAUAUGUAAAUGGGGUAGAAAAAUGCACAGAUUAACAUGGUGCACUUCAUUUUGCUGUUUAACAAAAUUAAAAAUGUGUUUAUGGCAGAACAGUAGCAAAUCUAAAAUAUGCACAUGAGGAUUUUCCGGAAUUGUUGUUGGUUGUCUCCGGCCUCAUUUAAACUUGCCUAAAUAGUUAGUUUCCAUAUGCUUCUCCUCUUGCCAUGGUUAAUAACAUUUAAUAAUGUUGGGUACAUAAAUGAGAGAGAACUAAAUAAUUGAUGUGGUGUUUCGUCAAUAUGUAACUUGUUGCAUAUUGAGCUCCACUUAAUUUGUAGUGUUGUUUGUUGCACUUUGCCAUGCCAUGCCUCAUUAAACCGGACAUGCAUCAUAUUUGUUUUUGCAUCAUGCCAUGUGUAUGUGGUGGUUGUUUACUAUGUUGUUUGUUUCUUUCCGGUUGCUUCUCUCGUUAGCUUUGGUUUCGUUCCGGAGUUGUGAGGAUUCGUUCGACUACAUCCGUUUGUCUUCUUCAUGGACUCGUUCUUCUUCCUUGCGGGAUCUCAGGCAAGAUGACCAUACCCUCGAAAUCACUUCUAUCUUUGCUUGCUAGUUGUUCGCUCUAUUGCUAUGCAGCGCUACCUACCACUUGCUCUUCAAGCCUCCCAAAUUGCCAUGAACCUCUAACCUUUGUCACCCUUCCUAGCAAACCGUUGUUUGGCUAUGUUACCGCUUUGCUCAGCCCCUCUUAUAGCGUUGCUAGCUGCAGGUGAAGAUGAAGAUUGCUCCAUUUUGGAUUAUGUUUAUGUUGGGAUAUCACAAUAUCUCUUAUAUUAUUAAUGCAUAUAUAUAUUUGGUAAAGGGUGGAAGGCUCGGCCUUAUGCCUGGUGUUUUGUUCCACUCUUGCCGCCCUAGUUUCCGUCAUACCGGUGUUAUGUUCCUUGAUUUUACGUUCCUAACGCGGUUGGGUGAUUUAUGGGACCCCCUUGAUAGUUCGCUUUGAAUAAAACUCUUCCAGCAAGGCCCAACCUUGGUUUUACAUUUGCCGCACCUAGCCUUUUUCCCUUGGGAGUCACGCUCUCGAGGGUCAUCUUUAUUUACCCCCCCCCCCCCCGGGCCAGUGCUCCUUCGAGUGUUGGUCCAACCUGUCAGUCGCCGGGGGCCACCAGGGACAACUCUGGUCUGGCCUACCGGAAGCUUGGACAAUCCGGUGUGCCCUGAGAACGAGAUAUGUGCAGCUCCUAUCGGGAUGUGUCGGCACAUUCGGGCGGCUUUGCUGGUUUUGUUUUACCAUCGUCGAAAUGUCUUGUAACCGGGAUUCCGAGACUGAUCGGGUCUUCCCGGGAGAAGGAAUAUCCUUCGUUGACUGUGAGAGCUUAUAAUGGGCUAAGUUGGGACACCCCUGCAGGGUAUUAUCUUUCGAAAGCCGUGCCCGUGGUUAUGUGGCAGAUGGGAAUUUGUUAAUAUCCGGUUGUAGAGAACUUGACACUUGACCGUAAUUAAAACGCAUCAACCGCGUGUGUAGCCGUGAUGGUCUCUUCUCGGCGGAGUCCGGGAAGUGAACACGGUUUCUGGGUUAUGUUUGACGUAAGUAGGAGUUCAUAUCACUUCUUGAUCAUUACUAGUUGACGACCGUUCCGUUGCCUCUCUUCUCGCUCUCAUUUGCGUAUGUUAGCCACCUUAUAUGCUUAGUGCUUGCUGCAGCUCCACCUCAUUACCCCAUCCUUUCCUAUAAGCUUAAAUAGUCUUGAUCUCGCGGGUGUGAGAUUGCUGAGUCCUCGUGACUCACAGAUACUUCCAAAACAGUUGCAAGUGUCGAGGAUACCAGUGCAGGUGACGCAACCGAGCUCAAGUGGGAGCUCGUUGAAGCUCUUGUUAGUUGUGUUGUUUCUUUUCCUGUUGAUCAGUAGUGGAGCCCAGUUCGGACGAUCAGGGAUCUAGCAGUUGGGUUGUCUUCUUUUCUUUUGGCUCUGACCGUAGUCGGUCUAUGUGUGUAUCUUGUAUGAUGUAUGAAUUUAUUAUGUAUUGUGUGAAGUGGCGAUUGUAAGCCAACUCUUUAUCCCUUUCUUGUUUAUUACAUGGGAUUGUGUGAAGAUGACCCUUCUUGCGACAAAACCACAAUGCGGUUAUGCCUCUAAGUCGUGCCUCGACACGUGGGAGAUAUAGCCGCAUCGUGGGUGUUACACCCCGUAUAUAAAGGAGCAAGGGGGAAGGCCGCCGGCCUAGGAGGAGGGCGCGCCAAGGGGGGAGUCCUACUCCCACCGGGAGUAGGACUCCUCCUUUCCUUGUUGGAGUAGGAGAAGGGAAGGGAGAAGGAGAAGGAAGGAAGGGGGCGCCCCCCCUCCUUUUCUUGAUUUCUACCUUCGUCGAUUUCAGCAUCGCGAAGAGCUUGGGAAUUACUUUCGUCAUCCCUUACAUACUAUAGUUCAUCAUGAAGUUCUACUAACUUGGUGAUGGUGACUAGAAAAUUCUGUCAAUUACUAUUUUAUCUGGAAGAUUAACUCCCACUUGAUUCAAGCGAUUGUAGUACCCAGACAAUCUGAGCACAUGCUCACUGCUUGAGCUAUUCUCCUCCAUCUUUUAGCUAUAGAACUUGUUGGAGACUUCAUAUCUCUCAACUCGGGUAUUUGCUUGAAAUACUAACCUCAACUCCUGAAACAUCUCAUAUGGUCCAUGACGUUCAAAACGUCUUUGAAGUCCCGAUUCUGAGCCGUUAAGCAUGGUGCACUAAACUUAUCAAGUAGUCAUCAUAUUGAGCUAGCCAAAUGUUCAUAUCGUCUGCAUCUGCUCCUGCAAUAGGUCUGUCACCUAGCGGUGCAUCAAGGACAUAAUUUUUCUGUGCAGCAAUGAGGAUAAUCCUCAGAUCACGGAUCCAAUCCGCAUCUUUGCUACUAACAUCUUUCAACAUAAUUUUCUCUAGGAACAUAUCAAAAAUAAACAUAGGGAAGCAACAACGCGAGCUAUUGAUCUACAACAUAAUUUGCAAAAAUACUAUCAGGACUAAGUUCAUGAUAAAUUUAAGUUUAAUUAAUCAUAUUACUUAAGAACUCCCACUUAGAUAGACAUCCCCCUAAUCAUCUAAGUGAUUACGUGAUCCAAAUCAACUAAACCAUAACCGAUCAUCACGUGAAAUGGAGUAGUUUUCAAUGGUGAACAUCACUAUGUUGAUCAUAUCUACUAUAUAAUUCACGCUCAACCUUUCGGUCUCAGUGUUCCGAGGCCAUAUCUGCAUAUGCUAGGCUCGUCAAGUUUAACCUGAGUAUUCUGCGUGUGCAAAACUGGCUUGCACCCGUUGUAGAUGGACGUAGAGCUUAUCACACCCGAUCAUCACGUGGUGUCUGGGCACGACGAACUUUGGCAACGGUGCAUACUCAGGGAGAACACUUUUAUCUUGAAAUUUUAGUGAGAGAUCAUCUUAUAAUGCUACCGUCAAUCAAAGCAAGAUAAGAUGCAUAAAAGAUAAACAUCACAUGCAAUCAAUAUAAGUGAUAUGAUAUGGCCAUCAUCAUCUUGUGCUUGUGAUCUCCAUCUCCGAAGCACCUUCAUGAUCACCAUCGUCACCGGCGCGACACCUUGAUCUCCAUCGUAGCAUCGUUGUCGUCUCGCCAACUAUUGCUUUUAUGACUAUCGCUACCGCUUAGUGAUAAAGUAAAACAAUUACAUGGCGAUUGCAUUGCAUACAAUAAAGCGACAACCAUAUGGCUCCUGCCAGUUGCCGAUAACUCGGUUACAAAACAUGAUCAUCUCAUACAAUAAAAUAUAUCAUCAUGUCUUGACCAUAUCACAUCACAACAUGCCCUGCAAAAACAAGUUAGACGUCCUCUACUUUGUUGUUGCAAGUUUUACGUGGCUGCUACGGGCUUAGCAAGAACCGUUCUUACCUACGCAUCAAAACCACAACAAUAGUUUGUCAAGUUAGUGCUGUUUUAACCUUCGCAAGGACCGGGUGUAGCCACACUCGGUUCAACUAAAGUGAGAGAGACAGACACCCGCCAGUCACCUUUAAGCAACGAGUGCUCGCAACGGUGAAACCAGUCUCGCGUAAGCGUACGCGUAAUGUCGGUCCGGGCCGCUUCAUCUCACAAUACCGCUGAACCAAAAUAUGACAUGCUGGUAAGCAGUAUGACUUAUAUCGCCCACAACUCACUUCUGUUCUACUCGUGCAUAUAACAUCAACGCAUAAAACCUGGCUCGGAUGCCACUGUUGGGGAACGUAGUAAUUUCAAAAUUUUCUACGCACACGCAAGAUCAUGGUGAUGCAUAGCAACGAGAGGGGAGAGUCUUGUCCACGUACCCUCGUAGACCGAAAGCGGAAGCGUUAACACAAUGCGCUUGAUGUAGUCGUAUGUCUUCACGAUCCAACCGAUCAAGUACCGAACGCACGGCACCUCCGAGUUCAGCACACGUUCAGCUCGAUGACAUCCCUCGAACACCGAUCCAGCCGAGUGUUGAGGGAGAGUUUCGUCAGCACGAUGGCGUGGUGACAAUGAUGAUGUUCUACCGACGCAGGCCUUCGCCUAAGCACUGCUACGAUAUUAUCGAGGUGUAAUAUUGUGGAGGGGGGCACCGCACACGGCUAAGAGAUCAAUGAUCAAUUGUGUGUCUAUGGGGUGCCCCCCUGCCCCCGUAUAUAAAGGAGCAAGGGGGAAGGCCGCCGGCCUAGGAGGAGGGCGCGCCAAGGGGGGAGUCCUACUCCCACCGGGAGUAGGACUCCUCCUUUCCUUGUUGGAGUAGGAGAAGGGAAGGGAGAAGGAGAAGGAAGGAAGGGGGCGCCCCCCCCCCUCCCUAGUCCAAAUCGGACUAGUCCAUGGGGAGGGGUGCGGCCACCCUUUGGGGCCUUUCUCUCCUUUCCCGUAUGGCCCAUUAAGGCCCAAUACGAAUUCCCGUAACUCUCCGGUACUCCGAAAAAUACCCGAAUCACUCGAAACCUUUCCGAUGUCCGAAUAUAGUCGUCCAAUAUAUCGAUCUUUACGUCUCGACCAUUUCGAGACUCCUCGUCACGUCCCCGAUCUCAUCCGGGACUCCGAACUCCUUCGGUACAUAAAAACUCAUAAACUCAUAAUAAAACUGUCAUCGUAACGUUCAGCGUGCGGACCCUACGGGUUCGAGAACUAUGUAGACAUGACCAAGACACGUCUCCGGUCAAUAACCAAUAGCGGGACCUAGAUGCCCAUAUUGGCUCCCACAUAUUCUACGAAGAUCUUUAUCGGUCAAACCGCAUAACAACAUACGUUGUUCCCUUUGUCAUCGGUAUGUUACUUGCCCGAGAUUCGAUCGUCGGUAUCUUAAUACCUAGUUCAAUCUCGUUACCGGCAAGUCUUUACUCGUUCCGUAAUACAUCAUCUUGCAACAAACUCAUUAGUUGCAAUGCUUGCAAGGCUUAAGUGAUGUGUAUUAACGAGAGGGCCCAGAGAUACCUCUCUGACAAUCGGAGUGACAAAUCCUAAUCUCGAAAUAUGCCAACCCAACAAGUACCUUUGGAGACACCUGUAGAGCACCUUUAUAAUCACCCAGUUACGUUGUGACGUUUGGUAGCACACAAAGUGUUCCUCCGGUAAACGGGAGUUGCAUAAUCUCAUAGUCAUAGGAACAUGUAUAAGUCAUGAAGAAAGCAAUAGCAACAUACUAAACGAUCGAGUGCUAAGCUAACGGAAUGGGUCAAGUCAAUCACAUCAUUCUCCUAAUGAUAUGAUCCCGUUAAUCAAAUGACAACUCAUGUCUAUGGCUAGGAAACAUAACCAUCUUUGAUCAACGAGCUAGUCAAGUAGAGGCAUACUAGUGACACUCUGUUUGUCUAUGUAUUCACACAUGUAUCAUGUUUUCGGUUAAUACAAUUCUAGCAUGAAUAAUAAACAUUUAUCAUGAUAUAAGGAAAUAAAUAAUAACUUUAUUAUUGCCUCUAGGGCAUAUUUCCUUCAAGAACAAGGUAGCAAUCGAAGUCUACUAAGAAGUUCCAAGCCGCCUGCUCAGCAGCCGACUCGGAACUCGGGGACUACACCCAGUGGGUGCGCUGACGCGCCCCCACGGAAGAAAUCAAGAUCAAGAAACAAAAAAGCGGGAAGACUCACCCGAAUGGCCAUCCGUGUCGCGAGGAACUCUUGAUUGUACUGCCUCAGCACGGCGGCCUGGGACUGAAGCCGGUUCCGGACUUCUUGCACCGCCACGUUCACCACGGCCGUCCCACCACCCGGCGUCCACCCCGAGCUGGUGCUGGCCGUCUCCAGAUCCUGGGCCAACGAGCUAGAGCCCGCGGCCUUCUGCGGGUCCGGCGCCGAACUCGCCUUCCCCGCGCGCUGGCGUGAUGGCGACCGGACCACCAGGUCUGUCCUCGCAGCCGGCUCGCCUCCAGCCUGUUGCACGGGCGGCGCGUUAGGCCGGCUGCCUUGGUCCGCCCCAGUCGGCGAUGGAGGUGCUGCCUCCCCUCCCGGACGACGACGUCGUCCUCCUCCCUCUCCAUCCCCGUCAGGUCGCCACCGGCUUCCUCCGGCGGGGACUCCGGGAUCUCGGGCGCCACGGCGCGCAGGGGGACGACAAGCAGGGCCUUCACCGCCCUCUCCGUGGCUGCAGCCUCCGCCUGGGUCUUGGCCGCCGCAUAGGCUUGUGCCGCCGCCGACUCCUCCACCAGAUCCUGCGUCGCCUUGGCAGCGGCCGCCCUCAGCUCCUCUGCCUCCCGCUCCUCCCGCGUAUUCCGCUCCGUCGCCGCUUGAAGCUCGGCACGGGGGUCCACGCGGCGGGUGCUUGCGGAUCCUCCCGCCGAUCCAACCACGGAGGCGGCAGCGGUCUGCUCAAGAGAGAGCGGAGCCCUGUUUGACAAGUCAAGACAAGGACUCAGAAGAUAUCAACGAAAAAGAAGAAAGAAUACGCAAGAAAAUCGACACUUACGCCGAAACCAUUUGUGGCUGCUUCACCACCUUGCGGAAGCGGGCAGCCUUCGCGGCUGCCUCGUCCCGCUUGGUUGCUGCUGCCGUGCUCUUGGGCUUCUUCGGCCGACUGCCGAAUAGGCCCGGCGCUGCACGGCGCUUCUGCGCCGCCUCGGGCAGCUGGCGCGGUAGACGAGCCCGCGCCAUGACCGGACGCCGGCUGGCGGCGCGGGACGAUUUCCGCCUCGUCAUCAUCCGGCCAGUCGUCGAAGCUGGCUCCAAGCCCGAAGCCGCCUGCCUCACCGCCUCCCCCCUCAGUGUUGUCGUCCAUAGCGGCCGCCCCAAAGUCGGGGUCGUCCAAGUCGUGCAUCGCCCGGUCGGGAAGAAAUUCGCGCUCCGCCCCCGCUGCCCCGGCCGCCGGUCGAAGGAGGGGGCUCUGCCAAGACAAACCGACUGGUCAGAGUCGGCCAAGAGAAACUUGGUGAUAAAAGUAAAGAAGAGAAGAUAAAGAAAGCUUACCAUAGGCGGGGGAUGGGCACGGGAGUACGGCUCCUUGCCAAACUGCCACUCGUCGGUGAGCUUGCAGUUCGCGAGGUAAUUCACCAUGAGAGCUACCUCGGCGUGAGGCAUCUCCUUGGUGCACAUCCGACUCGGAUCGAGUUGGCCGCUCAUUUGACAGAUCAUAUGAGGGCGGCCUUGGAGCGGGAGCAUCCGGCGCACCACGAAGGCGGCCAGCAGGUCAGACCCGGUCAGGCCCUCCGACUGGACCAUUACCCGGAGUCGCGCGACGGCGGGGGCUCCAGCAGGCGACAGCGUUCUGGCCUGAUAGGACCACUGGGGCCACCUCCCAGCCGGCGGGCCAGCUACAUAAGCCGGCAAGUUGACGAAGUCGCCUUGCGAGGCGACGUUCUUCACGUAGAAGUAGGAUUUCUGCUAGAGCUUCACCGACUGGAUCAGCGUGAUGGCAGGAAAGGGGUUGUCGGCCACCGGCCUCCGCACCGCGAUGAAGGCGCCGCUCUGAGCCGGCACGCCCUGCAUGGCAGUGCCGAGCUUGGACUGGAAGAAUUUCCCCCAGAGCUCGAGGAUGGGAAGGACGCCAAGGAAGCCCUCGCACAAAGUGACGAAGGCAGACAGCAGCACCACCAUGUUUGGAGUGAGGUGGUGCGGCUGGAGCUGGUAGAAUUCGAGGAAGGAGCGGAAGAAGGCACUCGCAGGCAGGCCUAGGCCGCGCAGGAAGUGCGAGCGGAAGAUUACCCGCUCGCUCUCCUCCGGCGCCGGUGAGAUCUCCUUCUUCGGCGCAAGACGGACCCGCACAUGGUCCUUGCCGGGCAACCGCCGCGUCUUGCGGAGGAAGUCGAUGUGGUCCGCGUGGACGUUGGAGCCGUCCCAGUCUCCGUCGCGCAACAUGACGGCAAGAAGCUGAUGAGAAAGGGCGCGUCGACAGCGAAAACACGGCCCCGCGGCGGCGAAGCUGCGGGGUAGUGCGAAGACUAGAGGGACGGCGCGGCGGCGAGGGGUUGCGGCGAUGGAGAAGAAGAAGAUGAUGAUGGCGGAGCGAGGGUGAGCGUGCGAGCGUCUGCUGCUCCCCCUCCUCCCCCUAUUUAUAGCCUCGUGCGGCGAAGCCGAGGAGGCAAGGCGUGGGGGGAGUGGGAUUAACUGCGCCCACUCCCCACGUCCCGCGAUUAUUGCGCCCUAACGGCAUGCGGAAACUGCCGUUGGAAGGCGAGCGGCCCGUUUUGGGCCACAGAAGAUCCACACCUAGGCCUAGGCGUGGAAGUGGUGGGCCCCGGCCUGCAGCGGCGUCCCGUCAUGCGCGUGGGCUGGCAGGCCCUUCCAGCCGGAGGGUGCCACGUGGCGCGCGGGCAGCAAGCGGCCGGCCCGUAACCCGGCGUGCGCGCCGGCUGGCUCCCGCCUUCAGUCUUCAAACCCUCACCAAGACGGCGUACCUGAUCAAAGCCGGCUCCUAGCUGCUGGCUCUUCAAGAUAGGAAGCUGAUUGAGCUUCUCGUCCUCCUUUCAGCCUCGAAGCCCGACCAGCUUUGGGGACUACUGUCGGAGUAAAUGGCCACGGGUAGCUUAACUGACUCCCCCUGGCUCUUCAAAAAUUAUCAGGCCGAUCGAGCCUUCCAGCACCCAAAGCACAGGGCCGCCUUCCCCUGGCUGGCUAUCUCACAGGCCGACUACUGGAAGGCGACCCGGCCCUAAAGACCCUCCCAAAGAGAGCCACAAGAUGGCCGACUCCAAGAAGCCGACCACAAGAGGACCGACUCCCAGAAGCCGGCCAAGACUGCACCCUCAAGGGCUGCACCCACAUAACGGUGACGAGACGGGGCGUGGCUACAGUACAGCCUGCCACCCCCGAAUCCCGGAGCACGCGUGGCCACAGUGCGCCGUACAGGUCGGGCAUCCCCCGUCCGGCGCGGCACUGUUGCCAUGUUGACCAUGACGCCACCCACGACAGGUUGUCAGUACGGCCCGCGGGCGGCAGGCCCCUUCAGCCAGAGAGAUGCUCGAACACGGCCAAGCCUCCCCCAGUCGGCCUGGGGCAUAGUCGGCUCCCAACAGCCAGCUACCUCCCUCCCUCAAAGUAUGUGCAUCAUUAAGGAGAUAAGACGAGGUACGGCUACAGUGAGAGCCCGCCAGGCGGCGGCACUGUAGCCAUGCUUACCUCGACAAAGCCCUCAUCAUCAGGGGCGAGGCUACAGUAACCAGCCACCUACAAGACCCCCAGGCGGUGGGGCCGGCCUGUCGGCCAAGAGGCCGGCAGCCGGCGGGACCCACCAGUCGGCGGGCCCCAGCGGCCGGCGGAGAAGCCGGCGAAUACAGACACUGACGGCUAGGACCCGCGUCCAGCCGGAUUACCAUUGUACCCCUGGGGGUAGGCCUAUAUAAACCCCCCGGGGCACCCAUGCAAAGGGUUAAUCUCUUAGAGUUUUAGACACCACAUAGAGAGAAGAGGAGAGCUAGCCUUGCCCUUCCUCCUCCUCUAGCCAAACAGCUCAAGGAGCCACUUGUAGCUACUUGUGUUGAUCUAGUGAUCAUGUAGAGACCCCGCAGAGCAGGAUUAGGGGUGUUAUCUCCACGGAGAGCCCCGAACCUGGGUAAGAUCCGUCGGCGUGCAUGUCUUCGCCUUAUCCCGUUUCCAAGCAUCGGCGAUGUCUUACUGGCUCCCACAAUGAUAAGCCACCCGUUGGCACAUGUCGCACCUACCACCCGACAUCUGUUUUUUUAUAAGAGUAGAGUAGAGAUAGAGAUAGAGACUACUACUACCAAUGUGUUGGCCCGUUCGUUGCAAUGGAUCCAAAGUAGUAGAAUAAUACUUGUUCACGGGCUUGAAAUAUAAACACUCUAGUUUUGAUAUACAUAUAUCAGUAAAAGUAAAUCAUGCUUCACUCAAAAUAUAUUCCUCGGGAUCUUUUGAUGGUUUGAAGAUAACAGGUUUUAAAAAAAUUGGAGCUGUUUUUUUUACAUUUUGUAGCGUGGCACGGCAUCCGGUGCACCUAAGCAUCUGGAAAAAAAUUGAGUUUGGGUCGGUGGCACACCCUGCGGCAAGAUGCCCGUGUGGGCUUCUUCUAUAACUAACAAGAUGCCCGUGCAUUGCAGGGAACAUCAAGAUGCAUUUUUUUACAGAACACCUGUUGUGAUUGACCCUUGCAGGAAUAAUCCCAUGUGUAAAAACUAAUGAUAUCUCGAUAAUUUUAUCGGAAAAAUGGUAUCUUUGGAACAAGUUUUCUCUACUACUGCUCCUUGCACUGAGCGGUAUGCAAUGCAUGUGUCAGCAGACAUGAUAGCUUGUCCAUGGAAGUUGAACCACGGCGACCAUCACGUUUCUUGUUUCUACCACUGCCACACCCACACGCGAUUCCCACGACGCCGCUCCAACCCACGGCACGACGUCCCCCGAUGUGCGCCUCAUCCCUCUCGGCCCCACCGCUCCUUUGCCUUUGUGUGCAUGACAUGCGGGCCAGCUGAACUGCGGUGACCAUCAACUUUCUACCACAGCCACACCCGAUUGGACGCGGUUUGCCUGGUCCGAUCCGUACUCCCGCACCAUCGAAUUUUCAUCCAGCGGUUGUGACACAUUUCGUCCCGGGCAUCAAUCCUCGGCUGGAGUACUAGUACCCGCCGGUGUGGCCAUCUACGCCUCGUAACGCCUCGACGCCCAACUGUGGCACCCUCGCCACGGCCACGCCACCACCGGCCGGUUCAUCUCGAACGAGUGAGUCGUGAACCACGCCGCCACCAUGAGAAUGACAUGUGGGCUAGCCGCAUUUAAGGUCCGCAUGUCAUUGACUCAUAGGCCAGUGCACUAAGCCACUGAAGCUCGGUCCCGUGGGCCCCGAGAGGGAAAUGUAACUCCUGCGGUAGGCCUUGUGGUGCUCCCGCAGUACGAGCUCGUGCCAAACCCGGAUGAGAUUUGGUAACCAACUAGUAAGCUACAUGUGCAUUGCACGCACGAGAUUUGGUAACCAAAUCUCUACUUUCUAUAUCUAUAUCUAUACUCUUAUAAAAAAUAGAGUUGGUGAUGAUGGUGUGCCUGCCAUCCUGCAAUAUAGGCCAUCCGAUUUAUAUCUUACCUAUAGGAAGGAAACUAUGGCAAUUUUGCAAAAAGAUACCCACACCCCUCUCCACAUUUGCAAAUAAGGCCUUCUCUUGUUCAUCCUUUUCUCCCACAACAUAAACUACUCAUACAAAUGCAUCUUGAUUUUCCGUGCAACGCAUGGGCAUCUUGCUAGUUAUGAAUAAAUAACACUCUAUCAAUGAGCCCCAUCAGACACCAAAUUUCUUGCCUUCCGUGCUACAGGUAGAUCUUCCCCUCAUUUCUGUUUUCCAACCUGGCGGCGGGCGGGGUGCGGUUUGCCAAUAGUCAGUUUGCUCAACGGCGGUCCCACAUGAAAGUGAAAAUGCUAGGCAACACGCCUUCCCUAGCUAUGUGGUGUGUCGGACGGGCAGUGGAGUACUCCCGAUUCCCGAGCAUGUGGGGGUGCGCCGCAAAUGAGGCAGGCCUUUUCCUUUUACUGGCAAUGUGCCCGUGCGUUGCGACGGAUCCAAAGUAGUAUAAUAGUAGUACUUGUUCACAAACUUGAAAUAAAUCACUCUUGUUCUGAUAUACUCCUAAUAUAUUACUUUUCACUCAAAAUAUAUUUCUUAGGCUGUUAUGAUGAGGUGAGGGAGGGAUGUCGUUGCUUUCAAGAUAAUAAGGGGUUUUCUGCAAAUUGGAGCAGAGAAGUGGGCUAUUGUUGCAAAAAUGCCACAACUUACCUCACAGCCAUUAGAUGCAGAUCUAAUGGUCAGAAACGACGAAUAGCAGACACACCACCAUCACCAACUGAGUCUUUUAUAGGAGUAGGAGUAGAGAAAAUGUAUAAAUUGUAACAUUUGGUUCUGCUCCUUGGCACGGUCGAUAGAUAGAAAUAACGGUUGGAAACGCUAGGGUGGGGCUAUUUCCGCCAGAUAAGCAGGGUACGUAGUAGCUAGGUUGGCGCAUCAUCGGUUUGGUCACAUGCGGUCCGACAUGUUCUAGUGUUUCUAGCAAGAUGCCCGUGCGUUGCACGAAGUUGAUGGAAAAGGUAAGCGCAACUUAUAAAUUGACGGAUGGAGUACUAGUUAUAGUGAUGCAUAUAAUUAAGCAAAGGGAUUGCACAUGUCAGUAUUGACCAGAACGAGAAUGCAAUAGCACAAUAAGAAUUAAGGCCGCGAUGAUGCGAUCGCAGUGGUGGUUACAGGAGGCAAGAAGAAAGAUGCAUCCAUCAAUGUACGACCUCCUCCUCCUCAACUUAGUGCGCCAGGCCACCGACCGGUGGCUAAGGAGCGGCGGAUUUUGUGGCGAGGUCAAGGUGCUUCUCAGCAAAGGCUUCCAAGGCUUCCAGCCGGUUGAGGAAGGCCAACGUCGUAGCAUCCUCAAUGGCCUUGUAGAUACCUAUGUACACGAUUUGCUCGUACAUGUGGAUGUGUAGGUCGACGAAUUCUUGCAGGGUGAGGCGCCUCACGGCGAGUGAGGGAGUCCUGGAUUAGGGGGUCCUCGGACAGCCGGACUAUAUACUUUUGCCGGACUGUUGGACUAUGAAGAUACAAGAUUGAAGACUUCGUCCCGUGUCCGGAUGGGACUCUCCUUUGCAUGGAAGGCAAGCUUGGCAAUUCGGAUAUGUAGAUCUCCUCCCUUGUAACCGACUCUGUGUAACCCUAACCCCCUCCAGUGUCUAUAUAAACCGGAGGGUUUAGUCCGUAGGACAAGAACAAUCAUAAUCAUAGGCUAGCUUCUAGUGUUUAGCCUCUACGAUCUCGUGUUAGAUCAACUCUUGUAAUACUCAUAUCAUCAAGAUCAAUCAAGCAGGAAGUAGGGUAUUACCUCCAUCGAGAGGGCCUGAACCUGGGUAAACAUUGUGUCCCCCGCCUCCUGUUACCAUCCGCUUUAGAUGCACAGUUCGGGACCCCAUACCCGAGAUCCGCCGGUUUAGACACCGACAGCGAGCGCGACCUCCAGGUGGACAUUCUUCGUGGCGUCGGCGGGCAGUCACAUGGCCACCAGUGCUUGAAAGAGGUUCCGGCCAUGGAGGCCGAUUAGGGUGGCAUGCAAUGAGGAGCCCGGGUGUCGGUGUCAAAACCGGCGGAUCUCGGGUAGGGGGUCCCGAACUGUGCGUCUAAGGCUAAUGGUAACAGGAGGCGGGGGACACAAUGUUUACCCAGGUUCAGGCCCUCUCGAUGGAGGUAAUACCCUACUUCCUGCUUGAUUGAUCUUGAUGAUAUGAGUAUUACAAGAGUUGAUCUACCACGAGAUCGUAGAGGCUAAACCCUAGAAGCUAGCCUAUGAUUAUGAUUGUGAUUGUUAUUAUUGUCCUACGGACUAAACCCUCCGGUUUAUAUAGACACCGGAGGGGGCUAGGGUUACACGGAGUCGGUUAUAGAGAAGGAGAUCUACAUAUUCGAAUCGCCAAGCUUGCCUUCCACGCAAAGGAGAGUCCCACCCGGACACGGGAUGAAGUCUUCAAUCUUGUAUCUUCAUAGUCCAACAGUCCGGCCAAAGUAUAUAGUCCGGCUGUCUGAGGACCCCCUAAUCCAGGACUCCCUCAGUAGCCCCUGAACUAGGCUACAAUGACGAUGAGUCCGGCGCGCAGAUUGUCUUCGGCAUUGCAAGGCGGGUUCUUCUCCAAAUCCCGAGUACCUGUCGUAACGAGUAGUGUCCGCCUUCCCAUGAAUGUUGCACUCCUCGGCUUCUGUGCAUUAAUAAUGGCUAUCUCCACGUGUCGAGCGAAUGCGAGAAGUCGGGGCAUUUUUACAUUUACCACCCUAACCAUGUAAGUAAACCGUCUAUUUAAAGAGACGGGGAUCCUCAGAUCCAGAUCACACCAUCCUCCCAUAGCGAGUAUCCCCCAGAGCGCGCCCGGAAAGGACCAUCCCAUCAUGGCCGGCCAUCGCAGCUCCUCCUCUCGCCCCCAUAGCGCUAAGCCAGGCAACUGGGAGAAAUGUUCCAUCCCCCAUAGCCAAUUAGUAGAGUUGCAGACCUAGGGGUUUCUCCCUCCUGCGUAUAUGGUCCCCGUCCGAGCUAGACUAGCCACUUAUAAUGGCGGGGCGCAAGCGGAGAGCUUUCCCAACCCAUCCAGGGGGGAGCGGGUAUGCCUUGUCCCUUACUUAUUGAGGGGACUCGGAUUUCCAAUCCAUCCGUUCCUCCGCGGGCUCCUGGAGUUCUAUGGCCUCCAGCUGCAUAACUUUACUCCCGCCUCCAUAUUACACAUCGUCGGCUACGUCGCCUUUUGCAAGCUGUUUCUGGGCUGCAAAGCUCAUUUCGAGCUAUGGAAGAGGCUAUUCUGCCUCGUACCCCGUACACAGGAGGGGUCAAUAUAUCAAGUGGGCGGAGCCGAAAUAUGGCGCAUCACCGGGACCGGAUACCUGUCCGGUACUCCGAAGAAGAUGUCCGAAGACUGGCCUUCGGAGUGGUUUUAUAUGGAGGACGUCCCCCUUCCAGACCCUAUUCGGAUGGGCCUUCCUGAGUUUGAUAAUGCCCCUUUGAAGAAACGCCACAGCUGGCGCCCUCGGAGCCCCCACGAGGAAGAUAACAGAGAGGUCCUUUACCUGAUGGGCAGGAUAAAAAUGUUGGCCAAGUCAGGACUGACAAUAGUCGAGGUUAUGUCAAUAUGUAUAAUGCGGGGGGUGCAGCCACUUCAAUAUCGGGGGAAACCCAUGUGGCACUUCAAUGGAGAAGACGAUGCCACCCGCUGCGGCCGUAAAGGUCCGGACUCCGCCGCUGCUUUAGCGAAAAUACUGUCUGAUUUGUACAAAGGAGAGGAAGAGGAGUUCAUCCGCAUUAAGGCAUGGGAUGGAUUCUCCAUGUACAACCCCCCAAACUGGGUGAGCUGCUACCUUUUACUCCAGACCUUCCCGCAUUCUUCAUCAUAAAUAUUUACCUUGCUAUUUCAUAGCAGGAACUGUGAAAAGCUGUGAGGGAGGUCCACAGCCCAUCUCCACAACCAGAGGACACUGACCAGGCCCUCGACCCCGGACUAGAAGAAGAUCCGGACAUAUUCGUGGAGCUCGUCGACGGGACGUUCUAUCAGUUAAGUUGCGAUGGUGCCUUGGUGGCCAUCAGAGCCGAUUAUCCUGGCUGCUCCCUGCAUCGCAUGUAAGAAAAACCGGAGUCCCAACUUCCGAGAAGGAUCCCUUCUUUGCACUUUACCCACCGCACACGUAUUGCGUCUUACAGGGAAGGCCCUCGGGGCGCCAUGCUGAACCCGCGGUGACUCAUCAACAAGGGGCACCAAAGCCGGGCAGGCUUAAAAGGAAGGUGGUCAGGACUGAGACGCCGUCGCAGAGGUAUGAAAAAACCCUGCUUCGUGGUUGUCGUCUAAAAAUGUAAUAACGUCGAUGGUUCUUGGCAGAAAAAACGCUCGCCGGACUAUGCCCGGAGAGCCUGCCGGCCACGCCUCCACCAGCCAGACUCUAGAACCGGACUUAGGGGUAGAUGCUAACGUGGGGAAAACACCGGAUAUUCCUCCUACAGGAUGCGGAUAGGCUGUCCGCUACGAAUUCCAAAGUGGAGAGCGCCAUGAAUCACAGGCGUCGCCGGGCCGUACUCCACGACCCUAGUUUCUCCGAAGAGGCGUUUGACGCCUUCAACUCAGGAGACGUGUACAUCCGAGUUGCUCAAAAUGGCCUAGCCAGAGCGACGGACCAGUAUGUAAAGGAUAUACGGGUAAGAAAAUCUGAUAAUUAUUUAUACCAGUAGCCCCUGAGACUUGAAACAGUUGGCACAACUGAUUUAAGGAUCAUUAUAUGCAUAGGUUCUUAUGGACAAGAAUACCCAGUUGUCUCAAGAGCUGGAGAAAUGCAAAGCCCAGCUACGGGCCGCAGUUGCCGGAAUGGAGGAGUCCAAGAAGGCCCCAUCUGGUAAUACUUGUCUUGAUCGAAAAGAAUGAAAUGACAGGUACCAGUUAGUAUUCGGCAUGCAUGCAAAUCUAACAAUAGAUUCUGCAGAUAAUCCCGGAGCGAAUCCGAAGAUCGUGCGAGGGGAUGAGCAACAUGCUCAACGACAGCUAGAGGCUGGCGAGCGCGUGCUUACGCAGGUUAGGUGGGAGAAAAACGAUCUCCAAGAUGCCAAUACCCGGCUGAGCGUUGAACUGAAAGUUGUUCGGGCCCAGCUUGUUGACUCCGUAAAGGAGAAUAAGAGGCUUCGACGUGGCAUCUUUAGUAAGUGCUUGAACAAACUUUUAUAGAGUUCAGCGAAGAAACCAGCUAACAGAGUUAUAUCUGUAGGUAUGCUGACGGGUCGUCCCGAAGAGGAGAUGCCCGGAUCCGCGGGCGAUCUUCUGCAAGAGCUCUCACAACUGCACGAACAAGUUCGGUAGGUGAUGCAGGGCAUUGCCCAGGCCUUAUGGCCAUCCGCCUCCCUGCCAGGAGGCAUGGGGGAGCUCGUAGAGAUGCUCAAGGGAGCGCCGCGGCGCUUCCGAUUAUGGAAGAUAUCGGCCUGCCUACAAGGUGCAAGGGAAGCCCGGGCCAUGGUGAAGACGCGAUAUACCAAGGCUGACCCGAAUCACAUGGCCGAGGUCGGACCUGUAGGGUAUGAUGGGAAAGAGAUCCCCGUUAGUCUGGUAUAUGACCAGGUAAAAUUAGCCGCAAAGUAUUCCCAACAGGAUUGUAGGCUAGAUAGCCUGUUGGAUGGUAUAGAAGAAGAAUUUAGUUAGUCGAAGUGACUGUGUACUUCAAAGGACAUAUGUUGUCCCUAGCCAGAUUAUAAAUCAUUUGUCAUGGCGGACCUUUUCGCUUUGACCUCCGGACCCGACAGUCCGGAGUGUAUCUGAAUACCCGCUCAGUUGUGUAAAAACCGGGGUACGCGUGGAAACCAGGCAUAGGGGUCAUAAGUGCUUGAACAGACAAGUACCCAACUAGCUAUGUUAUAUUACAUGGAUAGUAAGAAACAUCUUCCAGGGAGAAUAGUUCCGUUAAGGGUUCCUUUCCUGGGUACGCAUGCAUUAAUGUGCAUGUCCGAACAGUGAAAAGAGACGCAGGAUAUAAACAUCUGGGGGCAUGUAUUGCAAUAAAUAAAAGUCAUCUUUUGUUCACCGACCGAAUAUUCCCUUAAGAACGCUAGCUUUCGGCUUCACCCAGUCUGAGGUACACAUUCGGCUGACCCGGUAGUAACAAUCGCAGAGGUGCUCCCCUUAUGCCCUAGCCGAAUUAACGGGAACGUAGGGCAUAUACACAAGUGCCAGGCAACCCAGCUUGGCCAACACUUAAGUCAUAUCGAUGCAUAUAAUGGCAAAGAAAAGGUACAUGUGGAAGAGUAACACAUGUGCAGGGGGCAUAAAGCCCGGAAUAUAAUUAUAUUAAGCUUCUGUAUAAGAAGCCUCCAGGUAUAAUGAGCACGCCCGGCGCGUCAAGGUUGUGUAGUCAAGACCCAUUUUAAGCUUUUAAGGCCAUGAAGAAAAAGGGAAGAGAAAAAAAGAAAGACAGAUAGAUGAUAUAUAUAAAAAAGGUGGAGGUAAGGAGAUGAACACAGAGUCCGGCACUAGGCGUAUAACCUUCAGAGUCUGGUCGCGUUCCAUGGGUUUGGCUCGAGUCGAUUGUCAGAUGCAUCACGCAGACGGUACGCUCCACCGGUUAGAACUUUAUCGAUGAUGAAGGGACCUUCCCAUUUGGGCUUGAGCUUGUCCUUUUUCUUCUCUGGUAGGCGUAGAACGAGUUCGCCACCGUUAUAAGUUUUGGCUCGUACUUCUCUGCUUUGAUUGAUGUCACAGGGUAGUACCGCCUCUGUGCCGUACACCAUAAAAAACGGUGUGUAUCCGGUAGUGCAAUCCGGCGUGGUCCGCAGCCCCGUAGUACGGAGUCGAGCUCCUCAACCCAAUGUGUAUCUGAUUCCUUCAAGGAUCGCACUAAUCUGGGUUUAAUGCCGCUCAUAAUAAGACCAUUUGCUCGUUCGACUUGACCGUUUGUUUGGGGGUGAUAGACGGAGGCAUAAUCAAGCUUAAUGCCCAUGUUGCCGCACCAAGUUUUUACCUCGUCAGCUGUGAAGUUCGAGCCGUUAUCGGUGAUGAUGCUGUGGGGGACACCAUAACGGUGUACAACCCCGGAUAUGAAGUCUAUCACUGGUCCGGACUCGGCCGUAGUAACUGGUUUGGCUUCUAUCCAUUUGUGAAUUUAUCCACCAUGACCAAUAGGUAUUUUUUCUUAUGGCUUCCUCCUUUAAGGGGUCCGACCAUAUCAAGCCCCCAGACCGCAAAGGGCCAAGUAAUGGGGAUUGUUUGGAGAGCGGUAGGUGGCAUAUGGCUUUGGUUUGCAAAAAGCUGGCAACCGACGCAAUGUUGGACGAGGUCCUGUGCGUCUGCUCGGGCUAUCGGCCAGUAGAAACCUAUACGGAAGGCCUUGCUUACAAGGGCCCGAGCUGCAGCGUGAUGGCCGCCAAGUCCAGCAUGAAUUUCUGCCAAGAGUUGUCGUCCUUCCUCUUCGGAGAUGCACCUUUGAAGUACUCUGGUAGCGCUUUUCUUAUAAAGCUCUCCCUCGUGGACCUUGUAGGCUUUAGACCGCCGCACAAUGCAACGUGCCUCGUUUGGGUCCUCAGGGAGUUCUUGCCUAUUUAGGUAAGCCAAGAAGGGUUCUGUCCACGGGGCGAUGACAGCCAUAAUCACGUGGGCCGAAGGUGUUAUUUCGGCGGCGGAGCCUCCGAUUACGUCAGAGUGUUCGGGCUCUGGUGUUAUGGCCAGAUCCGGACUGUUGUUGCCGGUCUCCCCACACCACGGAUGGCUUGAACAACCUUUCCAAGAAGAUAUUAGGUGGGACAGGGUCGCGCUUAGCACCGAUGCGAGCGAGGAUAUCCGCCGCUUGAUUGUUUUCUCGGACCACAUGGUGGAAUUCGAGCACCUCGAACCGAGCUGACAUUUUGAGGACGGCAGUGCGGUAAGCCGCCAUUUUUGGGUCCUUGGCGUCGAAGUCUCCAUUUAUUUGAGAUAUUGCAAGGUUCCAAUCCCCACGCACCUCUAGGCGUUGAAUGCCCAUGGAGACUGCCAUCCGGAGACCAUGCAACAGGGCCUCAUAUUCUGCUGCAUUGUUGAAGUCUGUGUAUAAUAUUUGGAGUACGUAUUGCACUGUGUCUCCGGUGGGGGAUGUCAGGACGACGCCUGCCCCCAGACCAGCCAGCAUCUUAAGAGCCGUCGAAGUGCAUGAUCCAAUUGUAGUACGCGCCGUACUCUUUAGGGAGUUCGGCUUCUAUCCAUUCGGCGACGAAAUCAGCCAGUACUUGUGACUUAAUGGCUCGCCGUGGUUUGUAUGUUAUGUCGAACGGGAGGAGCUCAAUAGCCCAUUUAGCGAUCCGGCCCGUGGCAUCGCGGUUAUUUAUUAUGUCGUUGAGUGGUACUUCGGAGGCCACCGUGAUUGAACACUCUUGAAAGUAGUGUCGUAGUUUCCGGGAUGCCAUGAAGACCGCGUAUGCUAUCUUUUGAUAAUGUGGGUACCGUGAUUUGCAUGGGGUGAGGAUAGUGGAUACGUAGUACACCGGCUUUUGAAGCGGGAACUUAUGUUCGUCCGUCUCUCGUUCGACGACGAGCACUGCGCUUACAACCUGGUGAGUUGCCGCUAUAUAUAACAGCAUUGGUUCGCCGAUAUUUGGUGCAGCCAAGAUUGGGUUGCUGGCCAAGAGGGAUUUUAUUUCUUCCAAUCCGGUCGUGGCCGCAUCCGUCCACUCGAAGUGUUCGGUGCGUCGAAGGAGGCGAUAAAGAGGUAGUGCCUUUUCUCCCAAUCGGGAGAUAAAGCGGCUUAAGGCAGCCACGCAUCCAGUUAAUUUCUGGAUUUGCUUGAGGUUUGCUGAGAUAGCCAACUGUGACAGAGCUCGGAUUUUAGCCAGAUUUGCUUCAAUUCCUCUAAACGAAGAAGCUCAAGAGCUUUCCGAUGGGCACGCCGAAAACGCAUUUUCCGGAUUGAGCUUGAUGUCAUAUGUUCGGAGAUUGUCGAACGUAAGCCUCAAGUCGUCUAUUAAAGAUUUGACGUGUCUGGUUUUGAUGACCACAUCGUCUACGUAUGCCUCCACUGUUUUGCCGAUUUGUGUUUCCAGGCAUGUCUGAAUCAUGCCUUGAUAGGUUGCACCGGCGUUUUUGAGCCCGAAAGGCAUGGUGUUAAAACAGAAGGGGCCGUAUGGGGUGAUGAAUGCCGUUGCGGCUUGAUCGGACUCUGCCAUCUUGAUUUGAUGGUAUCCGGAGUAUGCGUCGAGGAAACACAAUGAGUCGUGUCCUGCGGUAGCGUCGAUGAUUUGAUCGAUGCGGGGGAGGGGAAAGGGAUCCUUGGGGCAAGCCUUGUUAAGGUCCUUGAAAUCGACACAUAGGCGCCAGGAUUUGUCCUUCUUUGGUACCAUUACCAGGUUUGCUAGCCAGUCCGGAUGUUUUAUUUCUCUAAUGAAUCCGGCCUCGAGUAACUUGGCUAGCUCCUCUCCCAUGGCUUGUCGCUUAGGCUCUGAGAAACGCCGAAGAGUCUGCUUGACCGGCUUGUAUCCCUUUAGAAUGUUUAGGCUAUGCUCGGCCAGCCUGCGUGGGAUUCCUGGCAUGUUUGAAGGAUGCCAGGUGAAGAUGUCCCAAUUCUCGCGCAAGAACUCUCGCAGUGCGUCGUCUGUUGUGGGGUUCAGCUGUGCUCUGAUGGAUGCUGUCUUUGUAGGGUCCAUUGGGUCGACCUGGAAUUUGACUAUUUCGUCCGCUGGUUUAAAAGAGGUGGAUUUGGGUCUUUUGUCGAGUAUCACGUUGUCCCUGUCCACUGUGGAGCGCAGCGCAGUUAGUUCUUCGACCGCGAGGGCUUCGGAUAACGCCUCGAGGGCUAGUGCGGCGGUUUUAUUUUUGGCGCGGAGUGCUAUGUCCGGAUCACUAACUAGAGUGAUGAUUUCGUUGGGCCCGGGCAUCUUGAGCUUCAUGUACCCGUAACGGGGUAUAGCUUGGAAGAUCGUGAAUGCCUCCCGCCCUAAAAGGGCGUGGUAUCCGCUAUUGAACAGGGCCACUUGGAAUGUGAUUUCUUCGGACCUAUAAUUCUCCGGCGUGCCGAAUACCACAUCUAGUGUGAUUUUUCCCGCACAUCGUGCCUCCUGACUAGGGAUGAUUCCUCUGAAGGUCGUGCUGCUUUUCUCAAUGCGGCUCUUGUCUAUUUCCAUUUUGUUAAGAGUCUCCUCGUAGAUGAGGUUUAAUCGGUUGCCACCGUCCAUGAGCACUUUAGUAAGCCGGAAGCCGUCCACAAUUGGACUAAGGACCAGAGCGGCUGGUGCUCGGGCUGCUCGGAAUUGAGGUUCGUCACUGGCAUUGAAGGUUAUGGCCGUAUCGUUCCAUGGAUUUAUUGCUGCAAUGUGGCAGACUUCGGCGAGGCUGCGGAGUGCUCGCUUGCGCCUAUUAUUUGAGGUGAAAGUCUCGAAGACUGUCAAUACUGUAUUGUUAUUUUCCACGGGAUGGUGCUCUGUGGUAUUGUUGAUGAGGAGAUCCUCGCCGCUCUUGGCCACCUGCUGGAGUAUCCAACAUGCUCUAAGGCUGUGUGUUGGCAUGGUAUCCGGUGUACUGUGAAUUUUGCAUGGCCCAUUGAGCCAUCCCUCCAAUACGGUUCCACGCCCUGUAGUGGGCUUUGGUUUCUUUGUAAUUGGAUCAGGUGACUUACGAGAGUACACCCUUUUAGCUCGGACGGGGGGUUUAGUGAGAGCCGGAGGAUCCCAGAAUUUUGUUUGGGUUUUCCACGCGCUUUCCAUCACACAGUACUUCUGUACUAUGGCCACCAAGUCAAUGAAGUGUGCUAUGUCACGGCGACUUAUGGCGUUGAGGAUUCCCUUGUCCAUGCAAUUUUUGCAAAAGAAUGAAAUUGCGUCUUCCUCGCGACAGUCCUUGACCUUGCUCAUUACAAGGAGGAAUCUGGCCCAAUAGUGAUGUACUGUCUCUUGCGGCUCUUGUCUAAUGUGGGAAAGAUCACUUAUGUCUGGGUGGGUGGGUAGAUUUAGGUCCAAACCCUGACCCGGUCUGAGACCUAGGGGCAGAGGAGUUUCCGAGCUUGGCAGUUCGGGCUACGGGAUGCUGCCCAAUUUUUCUGGCCCGCUGUCCGAUUCUAGGUUCGAAGCUUGGGCCAUGUCCUCCCGUAGACGGGUAUCCGGCUCGGAGAGCUCGGGAAUCCGGACAUAGUUUGUCCUCAAAAUAGAGGAAGAAUCGCUGCAUUGCUCCUCCACCACCGCUAUCUGAUGGGUGACAGGCGGAAAGUUAAUCUCCCUUUGGUUGGGUUUAAGCCCGAUCCGAUCAUAGUCUGUAGCGACUCCCAGGGAGGCGAUGCGAUCCAAGAGCUCGUUGAAGGAAGAGAGCUCCAUUGGAUCCAUCUGCUCGGGGAAUCCCGAGCCGACGUGGAGGUUGUUUUUGAUGACCCGAGAAGUCAUCGUCGGUGCGUCGGCCGAACGGGUGGUCAUGACGAAGCCGCCUAGUCGGAGAGUUUGGCCUACAGCCAGGGCUCCCCCAGAGGUAAUGUUGUCCUUGACAACAAGACGAGCCAUUAAGCCUUACCGUGACGACACAGUGGAACUCUCAAUGAAAGCACCAAUGUCGGUGUCAAAACCGGCGGAUCUCGGGUAGGGGGUCCCGAACUGUGCGUCUAAGGCUAAUGGUAACAGGAGGCGGGGGACACAAUGUUUACCCAGGUUCGGGCCCUCUCGAUGGAGGUAAUACCCUACUUCCUGCUUGAUUGAUCUUGAUGAUAUGAGUAUUACAAGAGUUGAUGUACCAUGAGAUCGUAGAGGCUAAACCCUAGAAGCUAGCCUAUGAUUAUGAUUGUGAUUGUUAUUGUUAUCCUACGAACUAAACCCUCCGGUUUAUAUAGACACCGGAGGGGGCUAGGGUUACACAGAGUCGGUUACAGAGAAGGAGAUCUACAUAUCCGAAUCACCAAGCUUGCCUUCCACGCAAAGGAGAGUCCCACCCGGACACGGGACGAAGUCUUCAAUCUUGUAUCUUCAUAAUCCAACAGUCCGGCCAAGGUAUAUAGUCCGGCUGUCCGAGGACCCCCUAAUCCAGGACUCCCUCACCGGGCGCGUGGGCUGGAGGAGUACGGCGAUGUCGUCCCCGAGCUUCUUGAGGACGGUGAACUUGUUGGUGGUGGCAACGAUCAUCUGGUCCAACUGAGAGUCGUAGUUGGCGUCGACGGCAGCCAUCCACCAGCCGGUCGCGAACACUGUCUGGAGAUGAUCCUCGGCGCCAUGCCGCAGGCCAGCGUCGUGGACCAUCUGGCACAGCCGCUUGCAGCUCGUGCGCAUCGCCGCCAUGGGUCUGGAGUGAUCACUUUUGCACUUAGUGUAGGUGCUUAGGCAAAUGCUUAGGUGCGUACGAUGUGGUAGAUGCAUUGGAAUGGAGGGGUGCCUUUAUAUGAGUGCAAACUGUGUUGCAUUCACAUCAUGCAGCCUCUUUUCCUGGUCGUCCUCCCAUUACUUCCCUCAUGCAUGCACGAUGCUAAUUGAAGGAGGAUGCAUCAUUGGCCGUUCAACAUUUCGGGAACCGCUACCCCUCCCUCGUGUGCAUUAAAGCCGUAUCGGGAACUGCGACGCCCGCUGUCAAAUCGAAUAGUACUGCGCCGUCCGCUGCACGCCUGGCUGAACACACCUCCUCGCCUCCAUCAAACCCCUCUGUUAAACCCGCAUGCAAAAUGAGAAACCUACUCCGGCCACACGUCCGUUCAUGAGCGGGCCGGAAUUAAACGCAACACCGGCCGAGCUCCUCCCGUCCGCCCUCAGUUUAAACAAGGACAGACGCCGGCCAAGCUCCUACCAUCCGCCCUCUAUUUAAACAAGGUCAGACAGACAGCGGGCAAGAAUCACACCCCUCUGCCGCUCCCCCAUCUCCUCCUUCACCAUUUUCUCCACUCUUCUGAUGGCUUCCGAGGAGCCGUUCUCCGGCAUACUACCCGGCUGGGUGGCCCGCCGAGCCCUCCAGAGACGGGCGAGGCCGCUCGGUGCUUCAUCAACCUCGCUUGGCCCGACGGAGCCAGUUGCCGCCCCAAUUCGGUGGUUCGGCAACUCGCUGCUCCAGUUCAGCUCAAUGAGGAGUGGUGAGUUGCUCCACGCCGGCACGGCGGCGAGCACGCCGGUACGGGCAUCGUCGUUGCCGCGUCGUACCGCACCACCAGUGUCUGCGGUGGCCGCGCCUUCCGUGUCUGUGGGCGCGCCUCCCGUGCCUACGGCAACGCCAUGCAGGCAGAGACAGACGUCGGGUGCGUGGAGAGCGACGAGUCGGUGGCCAGCUUCUCCGUGUCCGUCGCCAUCAUCGAGGAGAAGUAGAACACGGGAGGCCGCCGCCACUUGUGUCCCAUGAAUGCCACCGCUGAGGCGACGACUGCGCAUUCAGGUGGUUUCUUUGCUGCUUUGUCUCUUCCGAGGACCUUCGUCGACCCCGCAAGUGUCUGCCGGACAUGAGGAAGACAAUGGGAUCCGUGGGCGGCCAUUUAGAUUAGGUACUCCCUCUCCGGCUGGCGGGAAAUAUUUGUUCUAAGAAUGGAUAAAUUGGAUGUAUCUAUAACUAAAAUAAGUCUAGAUACAUCCAUUUCUAGGACAAGUAUUUCCGGAUGGAGGGAGUAUUAAUUAUACCAAGAGAGCCGAAUUAGCACGGCUUAGUUCAUGUAAAUGUAAUGAAAUCCAUCAUGUUUAUAUGAAGAUCCAGCUUUUUUAUACGAAAUCCUGCAUGCUUAUAUGAAAACAGUUCAUGUUUGCAUGAAUUUCAUCUGUUUGGUUAUAGUUGUGAAAAUUUAUGCCGCUGGCGUUUGAUGUCGUCCUCCGCGGAAGGAAGCGGGAGGAAAUUUGCCGGGUGCCAUUGGAGAUGCUCUUAUGCUGGAAAUAAUAGAGUCACAUCCAAUCCAUUUGAGUUAAUUGCGUGUAUGAUUCUCCCUCUAUAAAAAGUUAAUUGCAUGUAAAGUGUACACGUGACUUGCAGGGUGGCUACAGCUUCGUACAGAAAGUUAAAAAGGAACAAGUUCAUCCUUAAUCUUGUAUUCUAAGUACUCUAUGGGUUCCACUGUCAGUAUAGUAGCGAAAGAAGUAUAUAUUAAAUAAGUAAUAUAUAAUAUAAAAAUCUAAAGUUAAAGACAAAAUUCAAACUCAGGCCAUCGCGUUGCGAGCAUCCGGCACUAACCAGUCCAGCACAGUUUUGUUGUAGACCAUGCUGGAGAUAUAUCUCCAUGUCUACUCUUAUACUCCAUCCAUUCCUGAAUAUUUGUCUUUUUCAGAUUUCAAAUGGACUACCACAUACGGAUGUGUAUGUAGACAUAUUUUAGAUUGUAGAUUCACUCAUUGUGCACUGUAUGUAGUCACUUGUUGAAAUCUCUAAAAAGACAAAUAUUUAGGAACGGAGGGAGUAGAAAACAGAGUUGGUGAUGAUCACUACAAAAAAAAUACACUUCCGUGAUGAUACGUGUUUGUCACAGUAGGUCGCACUUUUUGUCAUGCAUGUACAUGCAUGACAAUUUUAUGACAGAAUCAAGAUAGUCAUACCUGUGCUGUCGUAGAAGUGUUCCAUGACAUUACCAAAAUUAUCAUCACGGAAGUGUCCACUUCCAUGACGAUAAAUCGCGCGUCACAGAAGUGCUUUCGUCAAGGGUGACCGACACGUGGCAUCCACCCUAACAGAACGCCGUUAAGCUAUCGGGUCCGGUUUUGGAUCCGAUAACCCACUAACAGCCCCGACCAAUGGGGAUUUUCCACGUGUAAAAUCAUCAUUGGCUGGAGGAAACACGUGUCGGCUCACCGUUGGGACAGAUGUCAUCCACUCAUUGGACAGGAGGCGCCUAUGAUAGGUCGACAUGUGGCAUGGCCCAAUAGUGGCCCAUUCCGGUGAAAAGGCCGGCCCGUUUGACUUGGUCAAAAGGUGGCGGGCCAGCCCACGGCAAGCCUGUUAACGGCUUGUUCGCAUAUAGCCCAUUUAUAGCCCGCUAACCCAGGGCCCGUUUACGGCCUAUCUGAAUUAGGCCCAGUAGCGUCAUCUGGGCCGUCCAAUAUAAUUCUAGCUUGUUUUAACUUCCGGCCCAUGUAUGGCCCAUGACGUCUUUUGGCCCUUAUGAGGCCCUUAGUAAACCUCGGCCCAUUAACGACCCGUGGUAAAACUGGCCCGGAAUGAACAGUGUAUCACUUUAUACCCAUUAACGACCCAUUAUUCCGUUGGGCUGUUUCCAGCCCAUGUUAUCUUUCGGCCUUCUCAGGGCCCAUUUAUUCUUGGGCUCAUUUCUAGCAUUCGUUUACUUUCGGCCCAUUACUGUCAUUUUCUGCUUGUGGGCCAAAUACAGCCCGUGGUUACAGUCAGCCCGUUUGUGGCCCGUUAAUACGUUGGGCCAUUUUCAUAGCGUCAUCAAAUAUGGCCUAUUAACGACGGCCCAUUAUGGCCGGCCCAUGAACGGACGAUUUCAACUCUAGCCCAUUUACAGCCAUAAUGUGGUCUGUUAUUGGCCCAUGUUUGGCCAACCGAUCGUACGGCCCGUAGAAGGCCCAUUGAUGAUACGGCCCGUAGAAGGCCCAUUGUUUCCACGGCCCUUAGAAGGCCCAUUGUUUCUACGGCCCUUAGAAGGCCCAUUGUUUCUACGGCCCGAAGGAGGCCCAUGUUAACUACAGUAAAUAUGUAGCCCAUUGUUAAUGUGGCCUAGUUUUAAAAAAUAGGUUAUUCCGGCCACUAGCAAACCGCGGAAAAAGAACUGCACUGAAAUAAAUAAACAAGACAACGGAAAUAAAUAAGCAAGCAACUUACGCUAGGCUAUCACGGCUAUUACACAUAUUACAUCCACUGGGCAUCAAAGUUUGCCACAAGUGCAAAUAUAGGGAACAAAGCAGCAUAUAAACGCCGCAGCAAAACAAGUCCAGAACUGAAACCACUUCAGAAGAGCUCAAGAAACAAUAUCCUGGGUACCCAUAAUGCUGGCAAGAUGCUUAGCAAGCUUAUUAACUUUCUCUUGUUUGGCGCUUAAAUCCUCCAGCACUUGCUGUUGCACCAGAAAGUAUGCAUCUGAAUUCUGCAGGGACUUCCUCAGUACUUCGGCUUCCUGUCACAUAACAUUUGAUCGAUGUCUUUCAACUUGAAGUUGAGACUCAAGAAGCCGACCUGAUUCAGGCAGCGAGUUCGAAGAGCCGGUGCCAGCAGUAGUAGCCAGUAACUCGAACACUACAUCAAGAUAGGACUUUGGGGUUUUCUCAGUGUCUUCAAUAUAGUUUUUAUCAGCUUUCUUGGAGAACAACAGGGAUGUCUCACUAUCUUGAACCUGAUCUGCAUUACUUCCUUUACCAUUGCAUAACGGGGUACUCUUCUCCAAUAGUUUAUCCGCGUUCUAAAGGAGAAACAAACAAACACAUCACAGGUUUACAAUGUAGUAUAUGAAACUCAUUUUGGUAAACCAGUUUAGUAGUAAGGUGGACAGGAUAAUAGCAUGAAACAAACAUAUAUCUAUGUCGUAUGGUCACUGUAUGGUCUAUAUCAUUCUAGUUUAUGUUGCCAAAUCAAGAUAGAUACAGUUCGAAUCAUAUCUAUUUAAGACAAAGCAGCAUAGACAGAAUAUAAGUGUGGGAAACUACACAGCAAUAACAACACUUGUAAUGUGCUUGGCAUGAGAACAUAACUGUUUAUUCAAUUGAAACUGAAAUCAACAUAGAGCAAGUACAACAGCAAACACGUUAAAGAAACAGGUUUAAAACAUACCUGUUGCGCCAUUGGAGUUUCAAUUGCAUCCUUCAAAUUUGAAAUUAGUUGGUAUGAGAAAAUACAGUGAUGCAAGAGCAAAGUAGUAUGAACCAUAGCUACGGAACCUGACCUGAGAACAAUUCUUCUUCUGGUUUAAGCGUUGACUUGGGGUUCGGAGUGGUGGUCCUCGUGCUUUGGGCACUGCAGUUGCCUUACUAACUGCUCGUGUUUGGGUGCUCUGUGGUGGAGACGAUGCUGUGUCAACGGGAACUGGGUUACUAUCUGCUGGGGUUGGGGUUAGAAGGGGUGUAGCUGGUUCUCUGUCCAACUGGGUAGGGGUACAAUCUGCGUGAGUCUGGGUUACGUGUGGUGGGACUGGUUCUUGGGCAAGUACAACCGUGGUUCUAUCUCCGUCGAUAGGUAGCACGAUCUUUUCUGAAGACCGUGUUUUUACUCCCACAGAUACUGCCAUCACCCCCUCCAAUUGAAAUGGCUGAUAAACAAGAAAAGUAAUUGAAUGUACAGACAUUGUAAGAUAGACAGGUGCAAUGGAUAGUAGGGAAGAAAACAGGGCAUGAAAUAAUUCACAUUUAUGUUGUCUAACCAAACAGAAUAGCAGGACAUAAUUUCAAAUAUAUGAUGGCUAAUUAAACAGGAUAGCAUGACACAAUUUCACAUGUAUGAUGGAUAACUAAACAGGAUAGAAUGACAUACUUCAAAAUAUGAUGACUAUGUAAACAGGAUGACAUGAUAUAACUAUAAGAUGUGUCUAUUAAAGUGGUUGGCAUGCCAUAAAUUACAAACAUGCCGUCGAUGGAAACAUGAUGGCAUGAUAUAAUUCACGGAUAGAAUGACAUAAUUCAAAAUGUGAUGACUAUGUGAACAGGAUGAGAUGAUAUAACUAUAUUAUGUCUUUAGAAAAUGGGUUGGCAUGCCAUAAUUCAGAUACAUGUUGUCUAUGUAAACAUCAUGGCAUGAUAUAAUUCAAAUAUAUGAUUUAUAUACUAAGGAAGUGAGCAGAGGGCAAUCGCAUAUAUGAUGUGUCAACUAAGGAGAUGGCAUUCAAUAUCGUGUAUAUGAUGUAAAAACUAAGCAUUGCAAUACAACAUAUGCAUGAUAUGAGUAAUAUAACCCUGCCAAGUUUGAGCAUACACCUCAGGGGGGUAAUAGGACUGGUCAUCUGCCUCUAAAUCCUCCUCUGAAGAGCUAUCUGUAACAAGCAACAUAUCUGCUUCACCAGGUAGCAUUGUCUGCUCUAAAGACCUUGUUUUCACUCCAGAUUUCUCCAUCACCAAUUCAAAUGGCUGAUGCACAGGAAGAGCAAUUGAAUAUACAAACAUUGUCGACAAAAGCAAUGAGAAAUACAAAAAAAGGACAACAUGAUAUAAUUCACAUAUAUGACGCUUGGCUAAACAGCAUGGCAUUGCAUAAUUCACAUAUAUAAUGCCUUGCAACAAGAUAGCAUUGCAUAAUUCACAUAUAUAACGUCUUGCAAAAAGAUGGCACUGCAUAAUUCACAUAUAUGGUAAUUAGACACUAAACAUGUGGCAUUCACACAAAUCAUGUCUAAACUAAGCAAAUGACAUAGCAAUGCAAGAUACCAUACGCACGAUAUGAGCAACAUAACUCUGCCAAGUUAGAGCAUGCACCUCGGGGGGGGAUAGGACUAGUCAUCUGUCUUUGAAUCCUCCUCUGAGGAGCUUUCGAUAACCAGUGAGAUAUGCGCUUCGUCAGAUAGCAUAGUCUGCUCUGAAGACCUUGUUUUCACUCCAGAAUUUUCCAUCACCGUGUCAAAUGGCUGAUGCACACGAAGAGUAGUUGAAUGUACUAACAUUGUUGACAAAUGUAAUACGUAACGAAAAAAAAGGAUGGCCUGAUAUAAUUCACAUAUAAGAUGACUGGCUAAGCAGGGUGGCAUUGCAAAAUUCACAUAUAUGAUGCCUGGCUAAACAAGAUGGCAUUGCAUCAUUCACAUAAACGAUGAAUAAACUAAAUAGAUGGCAUUCACACAAAGCAUGUCUAAGCUAAGCAGUUGACAUAUUUGAUGUAUAAAGUAAGCAAUGCAAGGCACCAUAUGCAUGAUAUAACCAACAUCACCAUGCCAAGUUAGAGCGAAGACCUCAUGGGGUAAAUAGGAGUGGACUUUUGCUUCUGAAUCCCCCUCAGAAUAGUUAUCUUCCGCUUGGUUACGAAACGAAAUGGGUGGAGGGGGGCUGCCUUUGCGCCCACCAUGGAGCGACGUCUGCAUGAAAUUUUAUUGCCAUGCAAGGCUCGUCUCUUUUGCUCUACAUGUUCAGUUCAUUGUGUACAAUAACUGACAUGCAUAGGAAUAAAACAUAGUGAGAUUAUGUAAGGAGUGCAUGCACAAAUCCAGAGUGAUGGUAGCAAACUGUGGAUAGACCCAAAACCAAUGAUAGCAGGCAGGUAAUAGCUUUAGUUAAAAAAUACAGAUAAUGGCUCCUUUAAUGUUUGUUUGCACCCAACAUGAAACUCACAGUAGACACCCGAGAUUAACCAGAUAGUAGACAGAUAGUACUGAUUGCUGCCCCAAUAUGUACCCCACAACCAUUUAAAAACUCAAGUUUCAUCAUAAGUGGACCUGAGUCGGAGUCUAAUAGGUGAACACGACGAUAAAGUAGCAUGUCAUCAUAUUAAGCGAUGCAUAACGUAAGCAGACACGGAAGAGUGCGACCUCUCUUGCGGACCCAUGUAGUCCUCAAGGUCAUCUGCUCAGUUGAUGAUGGUAAUGCAGUUGUCGUGGCUGCCAGCGGCGGGGAAGAGGAUCUGAGGCGGCGAAAGACAGUCUGGAGAGUGGAUCCCUGCUGUGGUGAACCCUUCCGUCGUUGGAGCAGCUGAGCUGGGGUGGAACACAGCACCGCAGGAGCAGGACAAACCACACAAGGUUUUCUUUGACACAUAUCUGUAACAGAAGUAAUUGUGUAAGGACUUGUUUGAAUUUGAGGAUUCUAAAAAUGCAGGGAUAGGAAAUAGACAGGAAUAGGAUAGGAAUGCACAUGCAAAACAGAGAAUUCAAAAACACAGGAUUUCUGCCAAUCUGGGUGUUUGGUUCACAAGAAUUGGAAGAUCACAGGAUGCAAAGAAGCAUGGUGAGAUUAAGUCAAACCACAAGAAGUGUACAACCUCUUUGGCGAAGCCAUGUCGAUCUCGGCGUGAUUGGGUUGGCCGGUGAGGAUGCUCCGGCUGACUUGGCUGUCGGAGGAGGGGAAGAAGAUCUUAGGCGUCUGGAGAUGGAGCCCGAGGUACUGCUCUGCUGUGAUGGAGGGUUUCGUCGUUGGAGCAGCUCUGGUGAGUUGUACGACGCCGAGGCUGAAGCAGGACAAGAGAGACAACGUUAACCUGAGUGGAAUUCUAAUAGCAUCUCCAAUAGAUGACGUAAAAUACAUAACCACAAAGUGCUAGAUGUAUACAUCAGCCGCUCAUCUCUGAACUUAACUGUCGAAACUGAAUUUAACUGUCGAAACUGAACUUAACUGUCGAAACUGAAUUUUGCUGUCGAAACUGAAUUUUACUGUCGAAACUGAACGCACUAGAGGUGAGGCUACACGUCAGUCGACUGACUUUUUCAUCUCUGGUCAGUCGAUUUUGCAGCCGUUGGAUACGAAAUCAAGGGCCUGCAGUUCAUCUUCAACCUCCACCCCCCUGAGCCGCCAGCCACCACCGGCCAAACAGCCGCCCCCCGCCGCCCGCGGCCGGCGGUGCGCCGCCCCGCCCGCCCCGAAAACACUCCCCACCGCCGGUCCGCCGCCGCCCCGGNNNNNNNNNNNNNNNNNNNNNNNNNNNNNNNNNNNNNNNNNNNNNNNNNNNNNNNNNNNNNNNNNNNNNNNNNNNNNNNNNNNNNNNNNNNNNNNNNNNNNNNNNNNNNNNNNNNNNNNNNNNNNNNNNNNNNNNNNNNNNNNNNNNNNNNNNNNNNNNNNNNNNNNNNNNNNNNNNNNNNNNNNNNNNNNNNNNNNNNNNNNNNNNNNNNNNNNNNNNNNNNNNNNNNNNNNNNNNNNNNNNNNNNNNNNNNNNNNNNNNNNNNNNNNNNNNNNNNNNNNNNNNNNNNNNNNNNNNNNNNNNNNNNNNNNNNNNNNNNNNNNNNNNNNNNNNNNNNNNNNNNNNNNNNNNNNNNNNNNNNNNNNNNNNNNNNNNNNNNNNNNNNNNNNNNNNNNNNNNNNNNNNNNNNNNNNNNNNNNNNNNNNNNNNNNNNNNNNNNNNNNNNNNNNNNNNNNNNNNNNNNNNNNNNNNNNNNNNNNNNNNNNNNNNNNNNNNNNNNNNNNNNNNNNNNNNNNNNNNNNNNNNNNNNAUUCAGUCAACUGAAGUGUAGCUAAAUCGGAGCAGCAUCGCAAGCAAGAGCAAGAGCAAGAGCAGACCAGACAGGGGACCGAGAGCAAGAGCAGAGCAGCAGCGCGGGCGAGAGCUAAAGCAGCAGCAGCUCCUACUAAUGUGGACGUCACCGCCGAGGGAGCGACGCCGUGGAGGAAGUGGCCGGCGACGCCGCGGUGGAUGGAGCCGCGCUGUGUCGGCUCGGGACCGAGCGCCGGCAGCACCGUGAGAUCGAAUCAAGAAGAAAAUGCGGCGAUUAGUGUACAACCUCUUUGGUGGCGCCGAUUAGGCCGCAGCUUCAUCCGAGGAAACGGUGAUGCUGAUGCUCUUCCGGUGGUGCAGGUGAAGAUGGCGGUGUGGGAAUGGAGCGGCCGCGAUAGACGAGGCGAUCGUCGGAGCAGCUCCUUGGAGGUGGAGGAUGGGGCAGCUGGACCGGCGGGACGACGAGAUGGACGAUGGAUCCUCAUCCGGGGAGGUGGACGACGGACGUCGAGCUGUUGCGAUGGACGACGUCGUCGGGGAAGAGGCUCCGGCUGGGCAGUGGUGAGGUGGCGGACGGAGGAGGGUGGGGUUUCGCGGCUGGAGCGGAGAGUUUAUGGCGGCCUGGGAUUUCGAAUGGCAAAAAGGAGGCGAUGUGAGGGGGUGAACCAUGACUUAGGGACGCGCUUGUCCAAAAUGUAGGGUGUGUUACAAAAGUACCCCGCACCGAUUUGAACUAGCGGCCCUUUCGGCUCAGGGUUAGAAGGGGGAUUUCGCGUGUCGGGAUUUGGCAGCUGGAGGGAGUUUUCGCGCGCAUUGUAAUUUCGGGAUAGCAGGGCGCGGGUUGUGAAGGCGCCAGUUUUGGGAGCACGAUAUCUGAAUUUUUGGGAUAUAACAAGGCGCGGGUUGAAUUUGAGGGACAAGCCUAACGUGUAAUAUUGUACUUAUACGUACCAAAUCAAUUCGCACUUCCCUCAACCAAAAAGAAAAUGAAAAAAAUAAAACUAUUCACACCACACAAAGAGAGAGUCUUGCCCCGUUUUACUAUAAAUAUGCUAUUUAAAGCUACUCAUACCAACAAUUUAGUGCAAUUAAAUGCUAUUCGGUAGUAUGAAUCCAUGUUAUGUCCAAUUAAUUUUUUUUGCUUGCUGUAUAAUGCAUGUAACCUACUCAUACCAACAUUUUAGUGCAUUCCAAAUGUCUAUACUACCGCUGCAAUUCGAACUGAAUUUGAAUUCGUUUCUCUAUUUCAAUAACAAAUCUACAAUCAUGAUUGUUGCCAACUUCAACCAUCAUUCGUGUAUUACCUUAAUAACACACCACAUGAUUACUAUAGAGAUAGAUAUGAACUAUGUGUACUACAUGAACUCGAAUUCUAUUUUUUGAAUACACUUGAUGUUGAUUCCAAAUAAUAGUACAUUUGAUGUACUAACUAUAUAUUCAUAAUCUAAACCAUGUUCCAUACGUGUACACCGUGUUUAUCACACAUAGUAUAGUGCCCCGCCCCCUACAUUAUGACAAGUAUUUAGACCUCAGCUGCAAAAGCCACACAUUAGCCCAAAUUAUGAUCAAUGUUCUAUAUGUUAUACGUAGUACUAGCAAGAUGCCCAUGCGUUCCACAGAACAUCAACAUGAUCAAGGGGAGGCCUAAUUUGCAAAUAUGGAGAGGGGUGUGGGCAUCUUUUUUCAAAAUUGCCAUAGUUUCCUUCCUAUCCGUCAGAUAUAAAUCGGACGGCCUAUAUUGCAGGAUGGCACCAUCAUCAACAACUCCGUUUUUUAUAAGAGUAGAGAUAAAAUAUAUUAUAUGUAGUAUAACAUGUUCAUAACCACACCAUGUGUAUCACCGUUAUAUAUAUUCACACAUGCGUCGGUUUAAAACACUAUGAUAAAUUCUUCAAAUAUCCGAAUUCGCUUUUUGUAAUGAAGUAUGAUCUCUAUUCGUCUUUUACACCCACACAAUCCUCUUAUCUUUGUAGCUAGCUAGCGCUAACUUUCUCUUGUGCAUGCAAACGCCCGCAUCCCUCUAACCCUCCCUCGGCAUUCUCUAGCUCCAUCGCGCAAAUUCAUCUUUUCACUUUAGGUCGUUCACCCAUGGUGUGUGUAGGCCCCUCCAGCUCCUUCUUUACGGCACACGUCAACCGAUAUGCCUCUCUAGCCAGGUGUGCCUAGCAUAAACACAAGCUUCCCCUCUUCUCUUAUCACCGUCCAUGCCUCACUCCCACCACUCUUUUCAUCGAUCUCAUACUCGCACACUCCUUCCCCCUCGAUAUAGUAUGACUCUCGCACCACCUCCUAGAUGCAUCCCUCUCUCUCUAUCCUUCUCCCCGUGCCUCAUUUGCUUCUAACACACACAUGCAUGUAUACCGAUCGAUCUCCCAACAUAUACCUAGGUCGACUUUAACUAUCCCCCCCCAUCGAUCGACGUACCUCACAAGUUAUGUCUCUCCUUUCUCUGAAUAAGGACGAUUGAUCUUCCUAUGUAGUUAUGUCUGCUUACCAUAGCCAUAUCGCCCCCCCCCCAUCAUUCAUGCAUGCCUCCUGACCCGUCUCUCACACGCACGUGCACAGACGGGCAGCCAUCCCCUCUCUUAUUGAUAUUGCAAGCGUGCCCUCCGGUUGUCUAGCAAGCCUAUCCCACCAUUUGUUAGAAGCAACUCCACUACCACUCCCUCCAACACUCUAGCUCUGUCUCUCUCCCAACCUUAUUCCUCUCCUACACAUAUGCAUGGAUGCCGAUCGAUCUCCCUUAAUACAUCAGGUAGAUCGAUCUCCCUUAAUACAUGCGGUAGGCCUCUCUCCUUCUCCACACAUAUACCAGCCAUUGUACAUCUAUAGUUAAUUAGGCCUCCCCCCCACCACACACCGAUAGUCGAGCGCUGUAGGUAGGUACCCAUGUCAAGAGACAAACCGCACCUGUCCCCUCUCUCGUUCUAGUAGGCCAACCACUCUAUAUCUUUGACGUGGGCACACACAAAUUAGAUGGCACUCUUUAUCGACCGCGCGCGCACACUCACACACAUCAUCCCUCUCUUCGAUUCUAUGGACACCUCAAGUCGAUGAUACCUCCACUCUCUUCUCGUGGAUCACCCCCUCUAUAUAUAUGAUAUAUCCAGGACUCUAUUUCACACACAUUGCAUAUGUUACAUUUUUUGAUUGACCCCCCCCCCAAGAAAACUCUCACGAACCCACACACUAUAUCUCUCUACGUUUGUAUCUCUCUCACACAACCCCACGUAGGUGGUGUACGUAUACAAGAAGAGAAUAGGUGCACCGUGCACGUACUCACACUUCAUGCCCAGCCACACCCGCGUGGGUACACGGUGGAGCUCAUUUCUGUACGAAAUGGCAGCCCACGUGCUAAUUUGAACGCGUGUAGCGGUUGUUUACCUACGGAAGUCGUGUACCAUGCGUGCACGAAACAAAGUUCGACUUGAUGCGUUGGCGCGUUAUUUUUAAAUAAAGUUAUAUCGCUCAAUGGCACGUACACAGAAUAUGAACCGAUUUUUAUGGAGAAAAAGGUAGUCCGCUCCACUAUAUACAAUGGAGCCUCCCUGCCUGGUUUGUCUCUCUUCAGACUAUCUCACACAAGGCUGCGGUGGCCUCUCUCUCUCACCGUUGGUCACUGGUCCCGCCGCAUCCCGUCCGCCGGCGGAAAGGGAGGACGUGCAUCAUUUCUCCGUUCGACGGCGCCGAGACAGCACGUCCCGAUCUGCGGUGCACACCGUUCUCUCUGACCAAGCUCCGGCGCGGUAGGGCCUACGCCACCUGCUCGCUGCCGCGGUAUGGGCAGAUUCCGCCCGCCGCCGCUCACCUAGUUACAUCCCGGCGACCUCCAGGUAUCCCCUCCGGCCUUUCUCCACUGCCCGUCUUCCCACGUCGCUGCAUGUGGAUCUUCCAUAGUUCUUUGCACAAAACGUAGCUUGUCCGGCGUACUUUCCAUAUUGCAAUGUCGUCCUCACACCGUUUUAGACAAACACAACCAUGUUGUUAUCUUCCCUUAGGACAAGGAAUAUGCUUCUUUUUUGUCGUCGCAACUGUCAUCAAUAAUAUUUGUCUUUUUACAAAUUUCAAAUGGGCAUAUUUUAGAGUGUAGAUUCACUCAUUUUGCUUCGUAUGUGUACUCCCUCCGUUCCUAAAUAUUUGUCUUUCUAGAGAUUUCAACAAGUGACUACAUACGAAGCAAAAUGAGUGAAUCUGCACUCUAAAAUAUGUCUAUAUACAUCUGUAUGUAGUAGUCCAUUUGAAUCUCUAAAAAGACAAAUAUUUGAGUAGUCACUCAUUGAAAUAUCUAGAAAGAAAAAUACUCCGGAGUAUAUUUAAGAACCGAGGGGGUAGUGCACAGCUGCAUGGGAGACUCAGACCGGUUGUUACACCGCAUUAAUAGUGAGUAAUGAGCAGUCAAAUCAUAAGCCCCACCUUUCCCACUAUAAGUUGCUCGGAAGAAGCAACCAUCAAUACGCUCUUCUUUGAAUCUGCUCAUACUACUCCAUCUGUCACUGUUUAUAGAGCGUGCUUCAGAAAAAGACAAAAUCUCUGGGACCAAGGCGACUAGUGAUCGGCCUGAAAAAUAGCAUUGGUAGUUAUAGCACGGCGUCUAUUACUAGAGGAAAUAAUGCGUACACACAUGCAUGCAGUGCUUCCACCCCGGGUAGACACAUGCAUGCACUUACUCCACUCCGUAGUACUACAUCGAGAGAAAAUUGCAGUUACCAUGCCCUAAUUAAUUGAGCAUUAAACCAAACGUGUCUAAAGUCUCUCUGGUGGUGGAAAUGCAUUGAGAGAAAUGCAUCAUAAUGAAGCGCGCCCUGUAAACUGUGACGGAGGGAGGAGUAGUAUGAAGGUGCAAACAAGUACACGUAUGGCCAGUCGGUCAACGCACCUCCUCUUGGCAUAUCACUGACAUGUGGGACCGGAGUGUGAGCAAACCGAUCUCAAUUGAUGGCAAAAUGGCCAACCCGUCGUUCCUUGAGAGAGACGAGGAGCGAGAACACACACAUGGGCUCGCACGGAGGCCAAGAUAUAUUCGAGCAUGGUUGAUCGAUAUCAUCAUUACAUGUUGGGCUGCCGUUUUCCGCCCUUCUCCGGAAUAAAUGUGUACUUUAUCAAAGAUUAAGGAGAAUAAGAGUAUAGAGGCUCCACCAUGCGGUUCUAGUAGUAGUACUACUCGUACUACUAAACCUUGCGCUUGGCUCUUCGCCUCUUCAUGAAGUCGAACAAUGAUGGUACUCCGCAUGUUCGGUACUACAGUGUAUGCAUGUGGCAAUCUGACACCGAAUGAACUGAUGCAUGUCCACCGCCUGGGCGAGGGUACGUUGCAUUAGUCAAAAGGUGUAAGCGAGCUUCACCUUGUCCUGCAAGCUUCUCCUCAUUCUGCGAGUUGACGGGACCCACCAACAAGUAGUGCUAGUCCAUACUCCCUCCUUUCCGGUUAAUAUGGCUUAAUCUUUUUUGCGGGUAAAUGAGAGAGCUUUAUUCAUAUAUAAGCAUUCUUAGGACGAUCAGCCAAGACACUGGUCACUAGGAAGCGAGGUACCCCGCAAAAAAAGAAGUAGGAAGCGAGGUGUUUCAUCAAGCCAGCUCUCGGCCACAUUCAAAGUGCAGCAAGCACGGUUCGCACAAAGAUGCGCCGCCAGGUUUGCUGACCUGUUUACAUGCUGAAUAACAAAAAAAAGGAAAUAUUACCGAGCGCUCCUAUUUGUAACAGGAUAUGAGCCAUAAUUAAAGCGAGAAUUGUGGCGAGUGUUCCAUGCAAUCAACUUCCAUUAUCACAUGCGAGACCCUCGAAGAGAACCAAAUGUGUUGAAGAUUGCUUUAUCACAUUUUAAAAAUAUAAUAAGAGUGCAGACGCUCCUCCAUCCGGUUCCUAGUACUAGUAUAGUAUACCUCUAUAGACUAUAGUAGUAGUACUAGUAAACUUUGCGCUUGGCUGUUCGCCUCUCGGGAAGUGCAACAAUAAUAGUACUAGUAUAGUGUAUGCUUUUGGCAAUCUGACACCGAAUUAACUGUUGCACGUCCACCGCCUGAGCGAAGGACAACUUGCAUUAGUCAAAAGUUCCUCCUUGUCCUGCGAGCCACCGCGCGCAAGCCCUCCCGUCCUGCAAGCUUCUCCUCGUUCGGCAAGUUGACGGGACACAGCAAAGUAAUGCUAGUCCAUACUGCCUCCUCUCCGGUUAAUAUGGCUUAAUUUCAAACGAGAUAAAUACACUGUCUGUCACUGUAUAUUUGUAAAAAUACGGUCAGUGGACUUCAUAAUACGCUCAUUGCGCUCAAUAUAUACAUUUUCCGGUGUUUAUACGGUCACUAGCUCACCCUGGCUGAGUAUGUGUGUGCAUGCACGUGUAGGUUGAGCACUUGAGCGUGACCGUGUGUGUUCCAUCAUGUGCUCGGAUAUGCAUGCAUUAGGGCGUCGCGCGCGUUUUUGCGUCCAUGUGUAUGUGUGACUAUUGCAUACACGUAGGGGGAGUACGUGUAGGGGCCACUAAAGGAGCAGUCAAAUCACACAGUAAGUUAGUCGGAAGAAGCAACCAUCAUUUCACUCUUCAAUGACACGUACGCAAUAUAAAAUGGUUGAUAUGGAGAGAAAAAGAAAACUACUAUAUAUACACUAGCAGGAGCCUAAGCUACAAGCCUGCUUGCUUGGGUUGCUCUCUUCACAAGCAUAGAACGACGGUGGCCACACCGCUGGUCACAUAUCCGGCCUGAUCCCGCAGCUGGGGGAAGGGAACAAUGUCCUGCGUAGACGCGGUCGACAUCGGCGAGGGAGAAAAUCCAUAGUCGGUGCGUCCCAAUCGGGGGUCACCGCGGUAUGGGCCGAUGCCGCGUCCCAACCGCCCUUCUAGCUACAGCCCGACGUCCGUUUCAAAAAUAUUAGUGCAUGUCAACAAAAAUUAUACUAGUAUCGCUGUUCCGUUUCAGAAAAAAAGCAUAUAAGCUGUUACUUCUUACCCAAAGGAUCUUUAUAUCCAACAGACACAAAAUAUCCAUUCGACUGUUCGAAAUUACUUUCACUGCUGAUCUGAUGUCGAGGUAAUUGCUGCAUCGCCACCAAAACCCACCAUCUCUUAAGCUAAAGUAGACCGAGCUAACCCCUAUAUUAGCAUAUUACUAAGAUAAACAGAAGGCACUGUAGAAUCAUUUAGGACAUGAGCUUGUCAAUCUGAAUGUGGAGGGACACCAGCUUAGCCCCGGCCAGCAGCUUGGGCGGAACUGUGAAGAAGGUCAGCUCGUGCACGGCGACGUCGCUGGGAUCCCUGCUGCUUAUCACCUCCAUUUCCACCUUGACGGCGUCGGUCCUGCCUUUGGGCUCCCCCGGCAGGCCGUUCGCCCACAGCUUGGCCACGUAGUGCGGCAGUGGGGACGCCCCCGCUCUAAUGCAGACGACCGACAUGGCGAUAGGCGCGCCGAUGUCGAGCACGCCGCCGACCAAGAAAAAUGUGCGGCCGUCCUCCUCCGUGAACAGCAAGAGUCGUGGCUCCGACAGUGGCACUUGCAGCUGGAGCGCCUUGCCGUACUGGAUCCUGUGCACGGGCAUGGUAUGCACGGUGCUGAUGUGGUGGGAGAGCCACGGCGACGGGCCUUCGUAGCCGCAGACGGGCACGGGGCAUUUGCAGGGCACGAGCGGACACACACUCUGGUGAUCGGCGAGCUUGUGGUAAGUGACGUAGAGCCCACAGCCUUUGUGUGGGCACUCCACCCUCACCGAGGAGAGGACGGUGUCCACCGCCGUGUUCCGCACGUCGAAGCCACCGCCGCGCUCGCACUUCUGGCACUGCCGCUGGUUCCCGGGGUGCUCGACGCGGCAGUCCGCGCAAGCCAGGUGCCCUCCCUUGCACUGCACAAAUCAAUCGAACAACACAUCAAUCAAGAAACCUGCACCUUGCUCGAGCAGCCGAACGGACGAGGUGUAUUCGAACCUCAUACACUGGAGGCUUAAAGGGGCGGAGGCACAAGGGGCAGUGGAGCAAGGUGAGGUCCAUCGAGACCAUAGAGAGCUCCAUCGUCGGGUCCUGUUCCGUCUGCAUGAUCUCGCCCUCCUCGUGCACAACCAUCUCUCGCUUUAUUAGGGCUGGGGCAUUACAAAGCUUUACCGUCACAUAUUCAUACUACUUCAAGGUGCAUUAAAUCAACACAUGCAAGUAGCAAAAGGAGAGUCACGGCAUGCAUGCAUGCAUGCGUUGUAAUUAAUGCAUCGGUAAAUGCAAAUUAUUGAAAUAUAUCGAGUGCAGUGCUUUGAUGUGUCGCGUCAACUCGUACAAGACCAAGAAGUUUGAUUACUACAACACCCUCUUGCCUUAACCGCACCUGCCUUUGGCUACAUGACAGGUGGACCACCGACCUGUUGGGCCCACCUGUCAUGGACGCAAAGGCAGGAGCAGUAAUUCAAUGAAGCUGUGUCCCUUCCUCACCCAUGAGCGUGGUGGCUGGCAGGACUAGGAGAAGCUUUCAUUCGCUACACGCUCUCCCCCCCGUACGUGGUGGACAUGCAGCAGUUCAAUCGGUGUCAGAUGGCCAGAAGCAUACUGUAGUACUCCUCCACUGCAGUAGUACUCCAUCAUUUUGUUCGACUUCCCGAAGAGGCGAAGAGCCAAGCGCAGCCCGGACACUCGUGUGGCAGUUUCAUGUGUAGAGUAGUCUAGGAUAGCGUGUACCAUGCCUGUAAGAUUAAAAUCGUUGGGGUUGGCUCCAUGCUAUAUUUUUUUGAUUAAAAUUAUCUUCUGGCCCUACCUGUCAUCCUGGUGAUUCUAGUUUGCACGCUCAUCUGGUCAAGACAGGAACAUAUAUUUUAAUUUGUGGUGGGGUAAAUGUUAGAGGUUGCAGCAAAUGGAGUAUUGUACACUGCGGGUCUUUCAGCCAAGUUUAGAGGCAGGCCAGUGCUAUGAUGUGUCGCGUCAAUUCGUACAACGAGGAGAAGCUUGAUUUUACUACUACACGCCUUCUCCCUCGCCCAUGCGCGCGGUGGCUCGCAGACGAGGACAGGCUUUUGCUUAUAUAGUACUACAACAAGCUAUCCCUCCCGCUCGCGGUGGACGGACAUGCAGCAGUGGAUUCGAUACUGUAGAAGCAGUAGUAGUAACAUCAUUGUUCGUCUUCUCGAAGAGGCGAAGAGCCAAGUGCAACCCGAACGUGGCAGUUGCGAACCUUGGAGCGCGCAUAUAGCCAGGCUCUUGCAUGAGACAAAAUUGCUAUGUGAGCCCACUAUUGUAGUAAGUACUUGCUAGUAUAGCCCUGGAAACCAGAAAGGAGUAUUUGCCUUUCUAGAGAUUUCAACAAGUGACUAGACUACACCGAGACGGAGUACAUAUGGAGCAAAAUGAGUGAAUCUACACCAUAAAUAAAUACGUGGUUCUCUCGUUUUCCUCUCGGCCUUGGUCGCGGUGCACAAUAUUGAGUAUACUACUACUAUCAUCUUGAAAUUUACGAAGUCAGCAUAGGCACCUCGUCGUCGACGGGAACGUCUCCUGACACGCGAUAGACGCGAGCGGUAGUCGCCUCCAUAGGUGCUUGAAUGCCAAGGAGGGAGAGGGUAGUGGUUCCCGAGACGUUGAAUGGUCAAUGAUGCAUCCUCAAAUUACUCUACAUGAAGAGGGAAUUAAUUGGAGAAGCAGAAUAGAGCCAGCACGAUGUGAAUGCAACAGAGUUUGGAUUCUCAUAUAAAGGCGCCCCACCACUCCAAUCCAUCUACUCCUUAGUCUCUGCGCAACACUGCUCACUCCAAUCCAAGACCAAGUGACUAGAAGCCAGAAGCACCUAUGGAGGCGAUGGACGCGAGCGGCAGUUGGUUGUGCCAAAUCAUCCAAGGCGCCGGCCUGCGGCCCCGCACCGCGCAGUGUUUCCAGACGGUGCUGGCAACCGCCGGCGUCGUAGACCUCGCCGAUGCCGGCUUCGCCUCUCGCAUGGACGACAUGAUGGUCAACUCCAUCCGCAAGUUCGCCGCCGUCAAGAAGCGCGCGGACGACCUUGCCGUACUGCUCCAGCACGCGCGCCCAGGCUCCUCAUUGCCUGCCACCCUCAUCGGCCUCCAUGGUGAUGAACUCUUUCAAGCCCUGGUGGCCCUUCAGUUGCCGGAGGUCGCGAUGAAGAAUGUGCACCUCGAGGCCGCAUUCGUCGCGCAGCGCCUCACCAUGCAAGAAACCGUCGACCUGCACAUCCACGUCUAUGAGGAAAUCGUCUACAUAGGCCACUACAAGGCCAGCGAGGACAGAAAGACGUUGGCCUUCUUCCAGCGGCUGGAAUCUUUGGACGCCAUUGUUCAGAAGCACGUCGACCUGGCCACAAAAGCCGUUGCUACUUAGUUGCCGUUCGAUGGGCCGGCGACCUGAGUCGAGGAGGUGGACGUCGUCGAUGGAUGCAUCUCUUCUUGCCUCCUGUAACCAGCACUGCAUCGCCUCGUGGCCUUAAUGUUUUAUUAGUAUAGGAGUAUAUGGCAUUUUUAUUCCAGUAGUAACGUUUUCACUGUGAGGUGAGGCCGCAGUUGAGCAAACCGACCAUCGGCAAAUCCCCACCCCGCCCACCGGGCGUCGGCUGAGUUUAGAAUUAGAAGAGAGAAACGAGGGAGAAGAGCUAGUUGUAGCACAGACGCUGUUGUCAGAUGGGACUCGCGUUGAUAGAAUAGGAGUACUGAGCACUCGUACCUCUUUUUUGUAGGGAAAAAGCAGUCGUAUGUCUAGUACUACCACUAGUUGGGUGCGUGCGACCUAUACCUGUCAUCACUUUAGGUCUCCUUUUCGAACCGCAACUACGCUUCACCGCACAUAUUUUUUCACGCAUUUAUCCUCCUAUAUGUACUCCUAGGCUAUUUCCACGUGCACCCUUUCGCCGACAUGUGGGACAUAGAGCAUCUGGGUCGUAGUGCAUGCACGACUCGGAGCAUAUGCCGGGGUACUUUACAUUUUAGACGUCACGAAUUACAUGCAAACCCCCCGCAGAAGAAUAAAUAAAUGAAUGAAUUACUACAUGAAACCAGAUUAUUUUCGUAGAAACCGGAGCACGUUCAUUAAAUUUUGGACAUAACACGUUUAUAAAAAACUACCGGACCUAAACCAGUCUAAGGGCCUCUUUGAUUCGCAGGAUAUUGAAAACAUAGAAAUGGGGAAAGUAUGAUGGCGAUGAACCGAGACGAGGAGAACUCUACUAACUCAGUUAGAGGUUAGAGUUAGAUUCUAACCCUGAACUAACUCUAAACCAAAGAGGUGUAUGGAUGGCAAGGUUAGAUUGACAAUAAAUGUUCUUUCUCAAUCACUGCGCAACACUGCUCACUCCAAUCCAAGACCAAGUGACCAGAAGCCAGAAGCACCUAUGGAGGCGAUGGUCGCGAGCGGCAGUCGGCUGUGCCAAAUCAUCCAAGGCGCCGGCCUGCGGCCCCGCACCGCGCAGCGUUUCCAGACGGUGCUGGCGACCGCCGGCAUCGCCCUCAUCGACGCCGGCUUCGCCUCUCGCAUGGACGACAUGAUGGUCAACUCCAUCCGCAAGUUCGCCGCCGUCAAGAAGCGUGUAGCGAAAGCUCCUACUAGUCCUACCAGCCACCACGCUCAUGCGCGAGGGAGUGGGCGUUGUAGUAAUCAAACUUCUCGGUCUUGUACGAGUUGACACGACACAUCAAAGCACUGCACUCGAUAUAAGUCUUUUUACACAUUUCAAAUGGACUACUACAUAUGGAUGUAUGUAGACAUAUUUUGCUUCAUAUGUAGUCACUUGUUGCAAUCUCUAAAAAGACUUAUAUUUGGAAACGGAGGGAGUACAACGCAUGCAUGCAUGCCGUGACCUCCCUUUUGAUACUUGCAUGUGUUGAUUUGAUGCACCUUGCCAAAUUUCGACUAUAAAUUUAACUAACCAAAUUUUCAUGCAUGUCACAAAAAAUUACGGGGCUGUUUGGAUUGUGACUAUGUUUGUCUUAUGUUGCCACAUUAUUUUUCCCACACUUGCCUAACUUGAGUUGCUCAAAUUGUUAGACACACUUUGGCUUGCCUAAGGGAAUCUUGCCACACUUUUUCUGUCUAUAACAUGUGGGGUUCAUUGCUAAUAAAAAAAUCUUGUCUUAGGUGUGGCAAAUAAAAAAUACUUAUAUUUAGGAACGGAGGGAGUAGAAAAUAUAAAUAAUAAUGCAUGUUGGGGCAACCCACGUUUCCGAUAAUUUUAGCCGUGGGCUUGUUCACAGUUUUUACGAGGCGGUGGUUGUUCAUUUAAUGGAGGGACUUGUACCAGACUUGAACGAUGCAAAGUGCGACCUGGCACCCUCAAAAAAAAGUACGACCUGGCACACCAUAACACCACUUGGAACAAGCGGGUAGCUAUCUCAAAAAACAAUCAACAACUAAAAAACGGCGACCUGGCACGUAGUACACAAUUUUAAACGAUUGUUUUGAUGGAGUGAAAAAGGAAAACUACCCCACUACGUAUAUAUAGGCCGGAGCCUCCGCGCUUGCUUGCUAGGGUUGCUCUAUUCACACACUCUCAUCCUCUCUAGAUCUAAACAAGAUAGGGGUGGUAACACUGUCUUUCUCCCUUUAAAAAACACUGUCUUUCUAUCCUCACCGCUGGUUACAGAUCCGGACGUAUCCCCCUCCGCCGGUGAAGGGGAGGAGGGGCAGCGUUUAGGCCGUCGUCGACAGCGAGGGAGGAGACCCACUGCCGGGCGCACCGUUAUCUCUGGCCGAGCACCGGCGCAAGAGGUCCUCCGAUCCCUUCGUCGUUGCCCUAGUGUGGGCGGAUCCGGCCUCCCGCCGCCCACCUAUCCACAUCCCGACGACCUUCAAGUAUAUCUUCCUUCGAAACCGCCUUAGCUCUACUUCCCCAGCUCGCUACGUCGCUGCAUGUGCCUCAUUUUCUACCUCUCAGCCCCUCUUGAUCGGAUGGUCCAAUGUCACCUAUUUUUCCUAUUGUUAGAGGUAAAGCUACUUCAUGGAGUCGAAUCUUGUACUUGGUUCAAACAAGAAAUAAAGUGGGGGUGGGGGAAUUUAGUAUGUAGUACAUUGGACUUGGUACAAAUAGGAAGGAAAGGGGGUGAAAGUAGUAUAGACUGGUCAUCCAACCGGUCUCUUGGUCGAAAAGGGAAAUAUAGGGGUAACGUUGUACAUAGUGGUAUGACCAGGACUAGAUUUGUUAUCCACACAUAGGAGUAGGUGGCUAGAGUGAACAAAAAUGGGACCAACCCAGAUAUGUUUCUUGGAUGUUUGUUUCUCGGAGCAACAAACUAUGAAUCACCACUUUAUGCCCCUGUUUAGGUACAUGGUGCUGGACUGCUGGUGCACCCACUGUCCCAUGCCCUUAUACCAAAUAUUUAGCUGUUCUUAAUCUAAUGCCCCUGGUAAAAAUGAAGCCAUGCCACUGUUAUAAGCCAUGACAAGUUUAGCCAAAUGUUUUUGCCUGUAAUUGUUUGAGACUCUGACUGUUUCGUCUGUAGCUUUUUGUGCAAACAGGGAUAUCCAUUUCACCUGGUUGCUGUUGUGACCUUUUGGUGCACUGCACAAAACUCUUCUUAAAAGAAGUGACUUUUGUGCUGUUUAACUGGAAUGUCAGAAUGGAACAGUUGGUUCAUUUCGGUGGAACUGCACAAAGGGAGAUCUGUGUUCCAAUCCUCAUCAUCCAUAUUGGCACCAUAACCUUCCUUUAGGUAAGAAUGAUAUUUAAUGCAUGUGUUCAUCUCUGUAUUGUGACUGCCAUGAGAAAAUAAUGCUAUUUUUUACUAGUACACUUGUACUCCCUCACUGACGAAACCAAUUCUGAAAUAGAAGGCCACUCAUGUACUUGGUUUCACCAACUGGUGAGGAGACUGAGAAACAGAGCAUGAAGAGGAAGAAGAAGAAGAAGAGUAAACAGUGCCAAGGCGAUCUUGCUGAAGCCAGAGGCCUCAGUCGAGGCCAUUCAAGGGCUCCGGCAAUGACUACCUUACAUGUGAGACGAACCUCCAAGGAGCCCUUCCACUUCUGCUAUCUCACUUAAUUAAUUAGGAGUACUUAAGUACCACUAAUUUAUUGCUGCCUAAUUUUCCUGUCGGAGUUAAACAAAUCUUUAGUAGCACCCUAUGCUGAAUCAUGUACGUGUGUAUGUUUGUCUAUGAGGUGAAUCAUGUGGUGGAGCAGGGAGGGAAUGCUAACUUUACCCAUUAAGAUAAUGAGGGUGCUUCUAUUUGUUAGUGUAUGUUUCGUCAACUAGUCCCACUAUUACAGUAAUCUCACUCUCUCAAUAUAUGUGCCAACAGGGAUGCUCGAUUUUGGUGGAACUGCACAAAAACAUUGGGUGCUUCAUUGCCUCGACAGCUUCCUUCCUUUUCUGUUAGUCGCUAAUCUCGGCUUGCAUUCUUCCUUUGUUGUCAGUCGCUUGGCUUAUCUCGGCUUCCAGUCAAAGGAAAUAGUAAUUGAUAUGCUACCUCACACAGGUUGGUACUGGUCUUUAUCCUGAUUAUUGUGCUUGUCAUAUGUAUUGGUAAUUUGGUAUUGUGCUACUAUUUGCCGAUUUCAUAAAGGAGUAACUUGGAGCCUGAACUCGCAGGCAAAUCAUUACAUCGGGUGAUUUCAGUAGAACUGCACAAAAAGAUCAGAUGGGCAGGUACUUAUGCUGCUGCUAUGUACUCCAAAGUUCACUCAGACAAGCAUCGAUGUUGACAAGAGGAAGUGCCUAUAUUCAUUCGAGUAUCAACCGGCGUCAACCAAUUGUCAAACUCCAAGUAUUAGGAGAGUGAACGCCAAAAAUAUUGCUUGGCGCAUAGCCCAGAAAAACGCAGUCCAGUCUUUGGUCCCAACUUGUGCCUUUUGUUUAUCUGCACAUAUGGUAGCGAACUGUAUGGCAUGGAGUCUAAAGAUUCCAGACAAGUUGGUUGAUGCAUAUAUUCAUCUGGCACUUAAUCAGUCUGCACGCCAGGGAUGCUCCAUUUCAGUUGAACUGCACAAAAAAUUUGGGUGGUUCAUUUUCUUAACCGCCUCCUUUCUCGUCUGCAAUGUAGAAUUUUGGCGAGAUACAGGACCAAGAUGAGCCAGUAAACUAGUUGGAUGAAAGUAGUGGCAAAGUUGCUCAAACCUCCCUCGGCACUAGGCCACUAUUUCAGGAUAAACCUGCAAGCAAAGUUCAGAUUGUCUGUGCUGCCUCUUAUGUACUCGAAAGUUUACUCGUAGAAGCAUUAAUUUUAGCAAGAAGUACCUCUGACUGAACACCAUUUACCAGUCUGCAAUGUAGAAUUUUGGCGAGCUACAGGACCAAGAUGAGCCAGUAAACUAGUUGGAUUAAAGUAGUGGCCAAGUUGCUCAAACCUCCCUCGGCACGAGGCCACUAUUUGAGGAUAAACCUACAAGCAAAGUCCAGAUUGUCUGUGCUGCCUCUUAUGUACUCGAAAGUUUACUCGUACAAGCAUUAAUUUUAGCAAGAAGUACCUCUGACUGAACACCAUUUACCAGUCUGCAAUGUAGAAUUUUGGCGAGCUACAGGACCAAGAUGAGCCAGUAAACUAGUUGGAUGAAAGUAGUGGCCAAGUUGCUCAAACGUCCCUUGGCACGAGGCCACUAUUUGAGGAUAAACCUACAAGCAAAGUUCAGAUUGUCUAUGCUGCCUCUUAUGUACUCGAAAGUUUACUCGUACAAGCAUUAAUUUUAGCAAGAAGUACCUCCGACUGAACACCAUUUACCAGUCUGUACCCUAGGUAAUUAAAGUUCGUCCAUGGAUCAUAUUGGCUGUGAUCUCAAUCAUUUGGAUGCAUAAACAUACUGAACAUGUGUAUAUCUGAAUCUUUUUGUGAAUUAUCUAUGAAUAUUGUUGUGUGAUCUAUCAAUCAUUUGGAUCCAUAGACAUGUUGAACUUGUGUAUAUAUGAAUCUUUUGAGUUGUUGAUAGUGAAUGUUGGCUAUGAAAAUGAGCAUGUCCUGUGAACCAGAGUUUUAUACGAAUGUUUACCUUGUCUGCUGUGCUUGUGUGUGAACUUGUUAGUAUGCCUACUGUGGGAUAUGUGACGUGUGGGUGUCAAAGGCACACCUUCUUCCCGAGAAGAAUUGCACCUGCUUUGUUAGGGUAGCAACUGCGCAUCAGCUCUUUUUAAUCUUUUUGCUCUGUCUUGCCCCUCCCCCGCUCAACCCCUGCUGUAAUGUUUUCGGCCUCAAAACAAACAUAGUACUGCGUUGUUUUUGGGCUUGAUGAAAAAUCGAGUGCUGGUUUCUGUAGGUUGGCCCGCCCAGCAAAUGGGCUGCUGGUCCACCACGGACUGGGAGGCUAAAAAUACAAGUUGUAUGGUGCAUAGGCAAGUAAAAAACGCCAUCGAGAGCCAUCCACUGAAGAAGAAAAAAUCUCUCCUGAUGUGCUUCUUCAGUCGUGCCGCCGGCCCCCUCUAUAAUCCAGUUCACUCGGGGAUCUGGUAUCAUUUUUUUCCAGAGGGCGAACAAGUAUCAGCUAGGCCUAGGUUUUGUAUUUUAACAUGCGUAGCCCACGACAUACGGGUGACAGUGGUUUCAACUUAUUUUUUGAGGUCCAUACCGGCCUAUGGGCUUUUUCUUAAAGAUCGACAGCCCAAUGUAUUUUUUAACAACAUUAUAUAUAUUUAUAUAAUUACUAUUAUCAUAUAUUUUAUAGAGACUUAUAUAUACAUUAUGAAAACAUCCCACGUGUUAUUAACUUAUAAAAGUAAAUGUUUAACCGAAGUUGGCAAGGAAAUCCUGGUUGUUUUUGACUCACAGGCAAGGAAAAUCCUUGUGAUUGUGUACAAAAGCUUGCGAAGAUUUUAAGGACCAAUGUAAUAAUAACACGCUCAUUUUUAUUCUGAGCAAUAACUCGCUAAUUUGUUAAUUAUGUAUAUAAAAAAUGUGCCUCUCUGGUUUAUUUUUGAUAUUAAUUGCUCCUUCUAACAUAACAUUAUAUAUAUAACGAGCCCAGCUAAUUCGUGUAUUUGAAGGAAGUGCAAAUGGGCUGGGAUUCCUUAGAUAAUAUAAAUGGGCCGCAUUGACGCGAAAUUAUUUGUUCACCCAGCCCAGUAAAUGGACUGUACAUUCUAGAAAACAUGGGUUAAAUAUAUGCCACAUUUUUGCAGGCUGACAUGUGGGCCAAUAGGUCGAAGCCUACGCAGGGCGUUGUCAACUUGGUCGGCAUGCACCUUCAAUCUCUCGUCUUCUUCCUCCAGCGUCGCCGGGACCGCCUGGUCCGGCCUCCGGCAGCUAGCGGCUCUGCCUAGCACGCAUCGCUGUGAAGCGCUACCCCACCGCCGGCCAGGCUAUCCCUCCACCCCUCCACACCUCCUGUUAUUCUCCACCGACUGCAGCCCCACGCCGCACCAGAACCAGUUAUAACCCUUCGCCUCCACUCAAUCUGCGACUCCACUGCCGCGUCUUCCCAUCUCCGAGUCGUUCCCGUCCGGGGCCUCGCCGUCAUCCUCCGCCUCGCUGCGCUCGGUGCGACGUGGUCAACAAACAAGAGUCAUCGGAAGAGGACUGUACGUGGAGAGCCUGACGGCUGGGACCCACGAGGUCCAUGGUCGCAUGUAAGGAAAGUUCCUCCUUAUUAAGCUGAAAAAAUGUUUCCUCCACCUGACAGCUGGGACCCACCGGCUGUAUCUUCGUACGGAAGGAAGUGCCUCCUUGUUAUGCGAAAAAAAUUAUUCCUCCCAUUGACAGCUGGGACCCGUCAGAUUUGGGGGCUGACUUGCGGGCCUACUAAGCGGACAUGUACGCAGGGCUUUGUCAACUUAAUCAACAAAUGAUUCUAGCAGUUGGACCGUUGGAUGUUAAUCCAGCAGCCGUGCUCCUUCUUCAACCUCUGUUCUUGCUCCUGUCUCUCGUGGGCGGCACCGCGGCUGUGCUGCCGCACACCCGAACAAGUCAAGUUUCCCACUCCCCUCCAUCUGCGACUCCACUGCCCCGUCUUUCCCAUCUCCGGGUCGUUCCAGUCUGGGGCCUCGCCGUCGUCCACCGGCUUUUAGUGCGCUCGGCACAGUAUGGUCAACGUGGUCAACAACCGAGAGUCAUCGGAACAUGACUGUACGUGAGAGGCUGACAGUGGGGACGCACCACGCCCAUGGACGCAUGCAUGCAACGGAACGCGGCAUGGUCAACGUGGUCAAGGAACGACUUCCAUCGGAAGUGUACUGUACGUGGAGAGGUUGACAGCUGGGUCCACAGCCGCAGCAAAGAAGUGCCUCCUUAUUACGCAGAAAAUAAUGAUUCCUCGACCUAACAGCAGGGACCCACCGGACGGGCCACCGUAUUUUGCGAAAAAAACGUUUCCCCCUGACUGCUGGGACCCACCAGACGGGUCACCGUAUUUCGUGAAAAAAAACGUUCUCCCCACUGUCAGCUCGGACCCACCGGAAGUGCCUCCUUAUUAAGCACAAAAAAAAUGAAUACUCCCCCUGCUAGUUGGGACCCACCUUGGUGGGUGGCUGACUUGUGGGCCUACUAAGUUGACGCGGAUGGAGUGCUUUGUCAACUUAGUCAAUAUGAACGAUUCUAGCUCCAGUGACCGUACGAUGUCCAUCCAACUGCCGUAGUGCUUCUUCAACCUUUGGUCUUCUUGCUCCAGCUGCCCAAAGCAGCGCCGGUCGUGCCGCAUGCUCCUGCCUCUCGUGGCCGGCUGUGCUGCCGCGGAGACCUCACCGCCCCCUACUAUUCCCACCGCUGGUCAGGCCCUACGGCGACGGCAGCCUCACACCGCAGCCGAACCAGUGAACCCUCGUACUCCUCUCCGCGCGGGCUUCCACUGCCGCGUCUUCCCCAGCUCCGCGUCGUCCCCUUCCUAGGCCUCACCGUCGUCCACCGCCCGGGUGCUCUCGGCGCGGCGUGGUCAACGUGGUCAAGGAACGACUUCCAUCGGAAGAGUACUGUACGUGGAGAGGCUGACAGCUGGGUCCACGGCCGCAGCAAGGAAGUGCCUCCUUAUUACGCGCAAAAUAAUUAUUCCUCCACCUGACAGCGGGGACCCACCGGUCGGGCCACCGUAUUUCACGAAAAAACAUUUCCCCCUGACUGCUGGGACCCACCAGCUACAUCUUCGCACGCAAGGAAGUGCGUCCGGGCAAAAAAAAACGAUUCGCCCCCCUGACUGUUGGGACCCACCGGCUACAUCUUCGCACGCAAGGAAGUGUCUGACAGUCGGGACCCACCUGGUCGAAGCGUACGUAGAGUUGUCAUUCUGGUCGCGAACGUGUACGUACAUACUGGUCGAUGUAGAGACGCGCACGUGUCGUAGUAGAGGCGCGCACGUAGCAUGUACACGUACGUACAGCGGACAGGGUGCAAGAAAGUAAAUACGGCCACGUACGUACAUACGGGCGGGGUCUCGAACGCCUACUCGCGCGUACGUACGGCCAGGGCUCGUGUACAUGGCUGGGUCAGAACGGAGAAACAGCGUCGUCGUCGUGUUCAUGGGGAGCCAACCGGCUAGGUCGGAACGGAAUGCGUCGUCGUGUUCAUCGGGAGGGCUUGGACGGAACAGCCAAUGGAAACAAGGCCUGGCGUACCGCGGAACGGAGGAAACGGCCUUGUGUUCGACCAGCCACGUUCGAAACGGGAUCCUGUUCAUCGGGAGGGGUCUGGCGUACCGCAAAACGGAGGAAACGGACCUCCUACGGUCAAAACGGGGGUCCUGUUGAUCGGGAGGGGUGUGGCGUACUGCAAAACGGAGGAAACGGACUUGUGUUGGAGCGCUACGGUCGAAACGGGGGUCCUGUUCAUCGGGAGGGGUGUGGCGUACCGCAAAACGGGACUCCACGGGAUACUGUUCAUCUCCACCGUCGACCCCCUCCAGCCUCCACGGGCUACUGUUCAUCCACCGUCGACCUCCUCCAGCCUCCACCUGCGACUGUUCAUCCACGGGCUCCUGUUCAUCCAGCCUCCACCGCGCGCUACUCCACCGGCUACUGUUCAACCAGCCCUCUCCACGGGCUCCUGUUCAACCACCCCUCCACGGGCUACUAUUCAUCCAGCCCUCCACCGUCUACUGUUCAUCCUGCCUUCACGGGGUGGUCCUGUUCAUCCUGCCCUCCACGGGGUCCUGUUCAUCCAGCCCCAACCGUCUCGAUCGAUCGGGGUCCUGUUCAUCCAGAGGCAACACCACGGGGUCCUGUUCAGCCACCCCCACCGGAAUUGUUCAUCCAAACCCCCCCAGCAACGCUCACUGUUCAUCCAGAGGCAGCAUCGAUCGGCUUCAGUUAGCAGCAGAAGCCAAGGAAUCGCUCGAUCGGGUUUAGUUAACAGCCAUCGAUCGAUCGCUCGGGUUCAGUAACGCGUAGCCUGCAGUGCAAUCGCUCGGGUUCAGUUAGAGCCCAACGCCUCGCACUCACGCGUGUGCGUGUACGAGAGAAACGCGCAUCGCUCGGCCCCGACCACCCACCGUAACCGGGAACACCCCGAUAUUUUCCUUGCCCUCGCUUCUACCACGGUUUUUUCCGUCAUGGACGGCCCAAAGAAUGUCAUGCAGCUGCGUCUCUGGCCCGCCCAGGACGAAAAGCCCAUUUUAUUUCAUGAUUUUUUGUCAUAGAAGUAGGACCCAACCACAUAUAUGAUGAUACCGUGUUUUGUCACAAUUAUUGUCAUAGAAGUGUCAUAAGUAUGACAGAAAAAAAUUGUUCGGCCCAAAAUGUCAUGGAUGUGUCUUUUUUUCUAGUGGAUGGUGUGCGUGCCAUCCUGCAAUAUAGGUCGUCGGAUUUAUAUCUAACGGAUAGGAAGGAAACUAUGGCAAUUUUGCAAAAAGAUACCCACACCCCUCUCCACGUUUGCAAAUAAGGCCUCCCGUCAUUCAUCCUUUUCUCUACUCUUACUAGCGAUGUGCCCGUGCGUUGCAACGGAUCCAAAAUAGAAUAAUACAUGUUCACAAACUUGAAGAAAAACACUCUAGUUUGGUGUAUAUAUCACUAAAAAUAUACUCGUAUUAGGUUUCACUCAAAAUAUAUUCCUUAUGGCUAUUUUGAUGAGGUGGGGGAGGGAUGUGGUUGGUUUCAAGAUACUAAGGGGUUUCUGCAAAUUGGAGCAGAGAAGUGGGAUCUUGUUGCAGAAAUGCCACGACUUACAUCAUAGUCGUUAGAUGUAGAUCUGAUGGUCAGAAAUGACCGAUGGCAGACACACCAUCAUCACCAACUGAGUCUUUUAUAGGAGUAGAGAUAAAAAAAAUAGAGUUGGUGAUGAUGGUGUGCCUGCCAUCCUGCAAUAUAGGCCGUCCGACUUAUAUCUGACGGAUAGGAAGGAAACUAUGGCGAUUUUGCAAAAAGAUACCCACACCCCUCUCCACAUUUGCAAAUAAGGCCUUCCCUCGUUCAUCCUUUUCUCUGACAAGAUAAACUACUCAUAUAAAUGCAUCUUGAUGUUCCGUGCAACGCAUGGGCAUCUUGCUAGUCUCUCACAAGAUAAACUACUCAUACAAAUGCAUCUUGAUGUUCCGUGCAACGCACGGGCAUCUAGCUAGUUCCUUUUAAAAUAGUUACUGCGAUAAUUGGGUUGAAGUGAUAUAUUAUAUGUCUGCCCCGAAUGAUUUCAGAUUCACUAGUAGUAACAAAGAAAAGGUUGUCUUGUUAAUUAACAGAAAACAGGGUGAAAACUAUCACAUGAGGCCGGUGAAAACAAGGCACAUUGGGUUCAGCGUCAUCGUCACUACAGCUGUGCGCGCGCGAGAAGUCUACAUAUCGAGGGGGCUAUGGAGAAAAAGACAUAUCAAGUGUGUCUGAGUGAGGCACACAGACACAAUGUUUGAGAGAGAAACCAAUUGCCAGAUUAAGAUCAGAUCGAGUUGUCACCCUUCUGCUGUCAUUGUUGGGGUUGGGGGAUGGGGAAGGGGAAGGGGAGGGAGAGAAAGACGUAUCAAGAGUGCGUGCGGUAAGCACAGAGGCACAACUAGCGAGUGUGUGUGUAUCUGUGUGUGUUUGAAAGAGGAGUAGAUAGAUUACUAUCAAGAUCGAGGUGCCACCCUACUCCUUCGGUGUCGGGUAGUGUGUGUGUGUCUGUGUGUGUGUGUGUGUUUGUGUGUGUGUGUGUUUGAUAGAGUAGCCAGUCGAUAGAUUAGUAUCAAGAUUGAGGUGUCACCCUACUCCUUCGGUGUCGGGAAGUGUGUGGGUGGGUGGGGGGGCAGUGACACUUACAUACCUCUACUCUUAUAAAAAAUAGAGUUGGUGAUGAUGGUGUUCCUGCCAUCCUGCAAUAUAGGCCAUCCGAAUUAUAUCUGACGGGUAGGAAGGAAACUAUGGCAAUUUUGCAAAAAGAUACCCACGCCCCUCUCCACAUUUGCAAAUAAGGCAUUCCCUCGUUCAUCCUUUUCUCCCACAAGAUAAACUACUCAUACAAAUGCAUCUUGAUGUUCCGUGCAACGCUGGGCAUCUUGCUAGUAGGGAGAAGGAGUUUGUGUGACCCAUAUCUAUAUUAAGGGAUAGGUAGAUAGGAUGUGUGUGAGGCAUACUUAAAGCAUCACAGAGAUAAACAAACGGUGUGCAUGCAAGUGCCGGAAAAAAUGAAGUGAUAAACAAUGUCUACGCGCGCGCGCAUGUGUGUGUGUGUGUGAGAGAGAGAGAGAGAGAGAGCGAAAACUCAAAACAAAAGGUGCUCUGCUAGAAUCCCAUUGUAUGUAUUCAUAUGGUUCCGGAACUCGAGUUAACCUUAGGCAUAUGUGUGAGAGACAUAAUUAUCCUUUGAGACAUUAGUGGUUGUGGGUGGGCGGAAUUAAAGGGGUGGGCAUGUUCGACAGAGAGAGCGUGUGUGUUUCUGUGUGAGAGACUUGAAGGAUGGAGUAGAAAGACGAAUUCUAACCUUGAUGGAGGGAGAGAAAUACAUGAAGUGUGCGUGUGUGAUUCUGAUGCCCACGGGGAAAUGAUAAAUGUAUGCGUGUGAGAGAGAUUGCACAAUUCAUUCACGUAUCACUAUCUAGCGAUCGUGGACGUGCAUCGCUUGAACAUAAAUCAAUAUCUACUUUGUAUCGUGGCCAAAGGUACAAUAUUGAUUCAACGCUAUAAAGAUUGGACACUCACAUAUCACAUUUUUUUCUAUCUAAAUAAACCUUUUCAAUUGUGCAUGCCAAAGUUACAUUGAUGUUUCUUCAAACAACCAAUGUAGCUAUCAUGUACAUGCACCAUUGUUACUAUUGCAUUCAACUUCAUUAGUCUUGGAUGAUUUAAGGUUCUAUUAUGAAGUAAUAUAUGUAAUAUUCAUAUAUGAAUUCACGGGUAUGCAAUUUAUGAAAUGGAGGCUAUGUAAUCAUAUGAGGUAACACUUUUAAGUAGCGGACUACAAUAUCCAUUUCUUUUGUGGGACUACAAUAUCCAUUUCUUUUUGUGCACCUUUACACUAACACGUCAAUGCAUUAUGUUUAAAGUAAAUAACCAAUGGCACUAAAUUAUCUAUUUACACGAGAAAUACAUAGGCUGAGCGUUUGAUCCCUUUUUUGUGAACGCGCCUCUACACCCGUACGACUGGCCGCGCCCAUGUGAACGUCCAAGUUAUCGGCGCAUCAUCCCGAGUUAUUGUCUUUUUUUGGGGGUGGACUUCACACCAGUUAUUAACUGCUGACGCGUGCCCCGUGUACACAAUCUCGCAUGACCUUCCCGCUAGCACGGUCCAAAAUUAGUUGAAACUGGAUACGAACGUGUAGCGAUCCGGCCUCAGACGGUCAAAUCUCUGUGCAUAAGUGUCGUCCAUGGAUCGGUAAUGCUGACACACACAGUGCUUGAAUGGAUUUAUAAUAGAGUAGCAAUCACACACUUAUUACAUCGAUAGUCUCAAGAGAGAACUUGUUACAAUAAAUAUUGCUUAAGGCCAUCUCAAUAAGAAAACAGCGGAAGGCUUGGAAGAUAAUGUGAGUCCAUCAACUCCAACGGCAUAGCUGAGUGCACGACAACGAUCUAGCACACCUUACUCUUCGUCUGAAAAGUCUGCAACAUGAUAUGUUGCAGCCCGAAACGGGUCAGCACAUGGAAUAUGCUGGCAAUGUAACACAGUAGAGCAAUGAACAGAAUAAAAGCUAUUACUACAUUCAUAUAUGGCUGGUGGAGGCUCUAUAGUUACAAUGUUUUGCGAAAAGCCAAUUUUUUCCUACAACAAAGGAAUAUAAUUUGUUUAACUAUCAUGGUAGUUGUUAAACAUUGAGAAGGUUCCUCCAACUCAAUCCCAAGUAAGCAGUAUUAAUAACCCAACAAAUUAAUUUAGAGUGAUGAGAUCAACAUGAUAAUCCAAGAACCAGAUACUCAAGAUGUCCAUAACCGGGGACACGACUAACCAUGAUUAGUUUCUACACUCUGCAGAGGUCUGCGCACUUUUCCCCACAAGACUCGAUCUCCUCCGUUGGAUUUCUCGCACUACAUGGUGUUUGAGAAACGGAUGACCGAGACACAGUCUUUCAAAAACAUUAACUCUUUACUCUGGGUGGAUAGUUACACCUACUUAAUUGCUUUCACAAAGCACAUACCUUGAUAAAGUUUUGAAGAAGUUCAAAAUGGAUCAAGCAAAGAAAGGGUUCUUACCUGUGUUACAAGGUGUGAAGUUGAGUCAGACUCAAUGCCCGACCACUGCAGAAGAUAGAGAGAAAAUGAAAGAUGUUCCCUAUGCUUCAGCCAUAGGCUCUAUCAUGUAUGCAAUGCUGUGUACCAGACCUGAUGUGUGCCUUGCUAUUAGCUUAGCAGGGAGGCACCAAAGUAAUCCAGGAGCGGAUCACUGGACAGCGAUGAAGAGCAUCCUGAAAUACCUGAAAAGGACUAAGGAUAUGUUUCUCGCUUAUGGAGGUGACAAAGAGCUCGUCGUAAAUGGUUACGUUGAUGCAAGCUUUGACACUGAUCUGGAUGACUCUAAGUCACAAACCGGAUACGUAUUUAUAUUGAACGGUGGAGCUGUCAGUUGGUGCAGUUCUAAGCAAAGCGUCAUGGCGGGAUCUACGUGUGAAGCGGAGUACAUAGCUGCUUCGGAAGCAGCAAAUGAAGGAGUUCAUAUCCGAUCUAGGUGUCAUACCUAGUGCAUCGGGUCCAAUGAAAAUCUUUUGUGACAAUACUGGUGCAAUUGCCUUGACAAAGGAAUCCAGAUUUCACAAGAGAACCAAGCACAUCAAGAGAAGCUUCAAUUCCAUCUGUGAUCAAGUCAAGGAGGGAGACAUAGAGAUUUGCAAGAUACAUACAUAUCCGAAUGUUGCAGACCCGUUGACUAAGCCUCUCUCAUGAACAAAACAUGAUCAGCACCAAGACUCCAUGGGUGUUAGAAUCAUUACUAUGUAAUCUAGAUUAUUUACUCUAGUGCAAGUUGGAGACUGAAGGAAAUAUGCCCUAGAGGCAAUAAUAAAGUUGUUAUUUAUAUUUCCUUAUAUCAUGAUAAAUGUUUAUUAUUCAUGCUAGAAUUGUAUUAACCGAAAACUUAGUACAUAUGUGAAUACAUAGACAAACAGAGUGUCACUAGUAGGCCUCUACUUGACUAGCUCGUUGAAUCAAAGAUGGUUAAGUUUCCUGGCCAUAGACAUGAAUUGUCAUUUCAUUAACGGGAUCACAUCAUUAGAGAAUGAUGUGAUUGACUUGACCCAUUCCGUUAGCUUAGCAUUCGAUCGUUUAGUAUAUUGCUAUUGCUUUCUUCAUGACUUAUACAUGUUCCUAUGAUUAUGAGAUUAUGCAACUCCCGAAUACCGGAGGAACACUUUGUGUGCUACCAAACGUCACAACGUAACUGGGUGAUUAUAAAGGUGCUCUACAGGUGCCUCCGAUGGUAUUUGUUGAGUUGGCAUAGAUCGAGAUUAGGAUUUGUCACUCCGAUUGUCGAAGAGGUAUCUCUGGGCCCUCUCGGUAAUGCACAUCACUAUAAGCCUUGCAAGCAAUGCAACUAAUGAGUUAGUUGCAGGAUGAUGUAUUACGGAAUGAGUAAAGAGACUUGCCAGUAACGAGAUUGAACUAGGUAUUGAGAUACCGACGAUCGAAUCUCGAGCAAUUAACAUACCGAUGACAAAGGGAACAACGUAUGUUGUUGUGCGCUUUGACCGAUAAAGAUCUUCGUAGAAUAUGUAGGGCCAAUAUGAGCAUCCAGGUUCCGCUAUUGGUUAUUGACCGGAGACGAGUCUCGGUCAUGUCUACAUAGUUCUCGAACCCGUAGGGUCCGCACGCUUAACGUUCGGUGACGAUUGGUAAUAUGAUUUUAUGUGUUUUGAUGUACCAAAGGUAGUUCGGAGUCCCGGAUAUGAUCACGGACAUGACGAGGAGUCUUGAAAUGGUCGAGACAUAAAGAUCGAUAUAUGACUAUGUUUGGACUUCGGAAGGGUUCCGGGCAAGUUCGGACAAAUACCGGAGUACCUGGGGGUUACUUGAACCCCCCGGGGAGUGUAAUGGGCCUAUUGGGCCUUAGUGGAGAAGAGGAGGGGCGGCCAGGGCAGGCCGCUCGCCCCCUCCCCCUCUAGUCUGAAUUGGACAAGGAGGGGGGGGCGCCGCCCCCCUUUCCUUCCCCCUCUCUCCUCCUUCCCUCUCUCCUACUCCUACUCUUGGAAGGGUUGGAGUCCUACUCCCAGUGGGAGUAGGACUCCCCUUGGGGUGCGCCUAGGAGGGCCGGACCCUCCCCCUCCUCCACUCCUUUAUAUACGGGGGAGGGGGCACCCCAUAGACACACAGAAGUUGAUCAGUUGAUCUUUUUAGCCGUGUGCGGUGCCCCCCUCCACCAUAAUCCACCUCGGUCAUAUCGUAGCGGUGCUUAGGCGAAGCCCUGCGUCGAUAGCAUCAUCAUCACCGUCAUCACACCGUCGUGCUGACGGAACUCUCCCUCGAAGCUCUGUUGGAUCGUGAGUUCGAGGGACGUCAUCGAGCUGAACAUGUGCUGAACCCGGAGGUGCUGUGCAUUUGGUACUUGGAUCGGUCGGAUCGUGAAGACGUACGACUACAUCAACCGCGUUGUCAUAACGCUUCUGCUUUCGGUCUACGAGGGUACAUGGACAACACUCUCCCCUCUCGUUGAUAUGCAUCACCAUGAUCUUGCGUGUGCGUAGGAAAUUUUUUGAAAUUACUACGUUCCCCAACAGGAGGCUCUAUGGUUACAAUGUUUUGCAAAAAGCCAAUUUUUCCCUACAACAAAGGAAUAUAAUUUGUUUAACUAUCAUGGUAGUUGUUAAACAUUGAGAAGGUUCCUCCAACUCAAUCCCAAUUAAGCAGUAUUAAUAACCCAACAAAUUAAUUUAGAGUGAUGAGAUCAACAUGAUAAUCCAAGAACCAGAUACUCAAGAUGUCCAUAACCGGGACACGGCUAACCAUGAUUAGUUUGUACACUGUGCAGAGGUUUGCGCACUUUUCCCCACAAGACUCGAUCUCCUCCGUUGGAUUUCUCGCACUACAUGGUGUUUGAGAAACGGAUGACCGAGACACGGUCUUUUAGAAACAUUAACUCUUUACUCUGGGUGGACAGUUACACCUACUUUCCCCUACAUCUGCUAGCCCACCACUGAAAGAGGUCAUGCAACAUACUCAACUAUGCUAGAGCCCAUAAUAGCUUGUGGCUGCACACGGAAGUUUCUAUCAUGAAUAAUCUUAUGAUCCCUUUGAGCCUGGUGGAGAACCAUAGGAUGAUCACACGGGUACUCCGGGAUAUCCUAGGACAACACUGGAUUCUCCAGGUGCCCGCAACCAAUCCACCCAGAUGUGUAUUUAAGUGAACACCUUAAGUUAACCAUUAAUUAACAAUCUCACAUCUGUCAUGGAUACACUCAAACCUAAUCCAUGUCUACGAGCAUAGCAUGGCAAUAUAAGCAUAACAUAUAAGUAACUCCCAAGGGUUUGAUAAUAAAAGGGCAAUAGGUUCUACCUCAUCAUCUACUUCCCAAACCCACAUGUUAAGAGAUCAUACUAAUGCAAUGUUUGAGGGGUUGAGAUAAUGCAUAAAAACUGGGUAAUAAAGGGGUAUGAUCAAUGUGUUACUUGCCUUGCUGACGAUCCGCAAACCCUAGAGACUCGUAGUAGCACGCUUCGCACUCCGGGAAUUCUAUCGCAAACAAACAAUAGCAUACAUAAGCACUCAAGCAAUGAUGCACGGGUAAAACUCAAAUAAGAAGAUCAAAUAUGAAAUUCCAACUAAAGAGAUUCGAUCUGCAAAAAGAAUCAAUCGAAUCGGAGCUACAGAACUGAAACUACGAACAAAAGAACUUCGAAAUCAAAUCUACUUGAAACCAAAUUUUAACUUGUCAAAACCUUGUACAAGUUGAUUAAACAGAAAGAGGGGCUCAAGACGAAGAUUUUGGAAUUGGUUUCACUGGAUUUGGACAAACGGUUUAGAAACGGCGAGGGUUUGAACAUCAUGGGCUAAUCUAUGAUAAAAAUAAUCGCGGAUAGGUCCCUGGCCAAAAAUAAAAUAAAAAGAAAAGACUAACGAACGAACGUUUGCUGUCUGAACCCAAACGGCGAACAACGUUCGUUAAAACAAACGAACAGACGAACGGCCAGGGUCAGGAUCACCAGCUUUUUCGUUGCCGUUGCGGGGACGGUCUUCUUCCUCGCCAUUCGCGUACCGAGUGGCUAUCUCCAUCAUUCUGCUCAUGGUCAAGGUCCCAGACCGAACAAACUUCAAGAUGAGUUCUCUGUAUCUGACACCAGCCUUGAAAGCACAAACUGCCUGAUGCUCGGUGACAUUCUCAACCACAUGGUGAAGUGUGGUCCAGCAUUGUAUGUAAUCUCUCAGAGUUUCAUUCGGCUUCUGAACGCAGACGCAGUGUUGUAAUUCAGUCAACCCGGUGGGAUGCUUGCACGUGCCUUCAAAUGUUUUGAUGAACACUCGAGCUAGGUAUUCCCAGCAGUAUAUGCUAGCAGGAGCCAACUGGUUCAACCACGCCCGGGCCGACCCUUCUAGCAUCAAGGGCAAAUGUUUUUCAUGGCGACAUAAUCAUUGCCUCCGCCAAUCUGCACUGCCACUCGGUAAUCUUCCAACCACGUCUCUGGCUUCGACUCGCCAGUGAACCUGUUAACUCCCAUGGCUAACCUGAAGUUGGGUGGUAUCUCUGCGGCCCAUAUGGCCCUGCUGAAACACUCAAGCCCAGAGAUGUACACGCCACUUCCACUCGGACGAUCUCUGUCCAAGCUCUCUUGGUGAGCUCUGCCACUAUCGACUAGAUUAUGCAAGAGGAGUGACCUCGCGUUGAACCCUGGAUCUCGGGGAUCGACUGGUUCUCUCCGCUCAUCGUCGUAUGGGUGCAUGGCAUCGUACCGCCGGGGCGCGUACGAAUCACCCCUCGGAGGGGGCGUCGUCACGGUGAUGUUGAGGAGCAAACUGACCGUGGCCUUGAUCCAGGUACUGAUCCUGGUGGUAACCGCGAUCUUCACGCUGCGGAGGCGAUCUCGGGUUGUGGGCUGACUGAACUGUGUCUGCUCUGACAGACCUGCUAUGAAUUCUGUCGUGCGAAUGGGAAACGACCGAAUUCUAUUCCCCAGCCGCUGUGAGUAGCGUUCGGAUCUACCGAAGACCUUCUCCAGCUUCGAAUCGGGACGGCUGGAUGGAAUCUGCAAUCCGUGCAGCUGCUGCUAAGUUCUGAAUUGGAGUGUGGAGUACCUGAUACUCAUUUUGCGAUCCACUCGGGAACAGUUGUCGUUGCCAUCGAUUGGAGCUUGAGGGUUGCCUGCGAGAGCGGUCGUCGAGUGAUUUCUGGAGCACCUCGAGAUGCGUGCGUUCAUCCAAAGUGGCUAUGCGCACCGCUUCCAAAGCCUGGGCCUCGGUGGUCGCGUCGAUGAUGGGAGUCCGAAGGACUCGCUCAUUCAUGUGCAGUAGUUCUUCUCUCUGUUGAGUGGUGAGGGAUUGCGGGUAAUACUCGUCGUUGGUAUGUGACGGACCAUUGCCCCCAGCCACAUCGCGGGAAUACCCUGGCAGGCUAUGCUGAGAGCCGACCAUAAGUACUUUCGCCGCCGGGUCGCUGCUCUCGCGCUCGGAAGGAACAUCUGAGUGAUCUGACAACGGAUCGAUCAAAUUGUAGAGGGAUUCGUCGGGCUCGGUUGUCGUGAUCUGCUGAGCGGAUGACUGACGAGCCAACGCAUGCCUAACCCACCGCUCGAGCCGAGAGCGACCGGAUCGCUUGCGACGGCGAGCAGCGGGAAGGGAAAACGCCGUCAGGGCCGACUGAUACUGAGUCAACGGUUGCCGGAGGAGGACGCCACAGGAGCCUGCGCGGAAGUGCGCCGCCCCGCAAAUAGGGAGCGCCUCGACGUCCAAAGGGGCUUCUUGGAGCCACGCCGAAUCAUCGGCGACGAAGCUGAGAGCGCCGAGACGGAUCUCGCGACCCAGGACAGUCCGCCGCCAGAAACCAUGGUGAAGAUGUUGAAAAACGCAACCACGCUGGAAGUCGCCUAGACACCUGCCCCAAGGUGGGCGCCAACUGUCGUGGGAACAGAUCUGACAAUAGAGUAUAGGGGUACGUAUAGGAGGGCAGAGUCUAGCUACGGUAUGGUUGUACACUCGGAUUUACGAGUUCAUGCCCCUCUCGGAAGGAGGUAAAGACCCUACGUCUCGGUGCUGCGGGAGCCUAUUUAUCUGGAGUGUUGUGGUACAAGAGGUGCGAACUCUUGUGUAAGGGUGGAGGGGUGGCUUAUAUAGAGUCCGCUGGCCCCUCAUGAAUGCCCCGUUACUCAAGGGUUCAAUGGAGAGGUUAAAGGAUGUGGGCGUUACAGGUAACGCCAGCGUUAGAUGUUCUUUAUGGUGGUGAACUGAUCGUCUGACUGUUUCUGUCUCAGGGUGACUCUCGGUCUUCUUCCGCCGAGUGACGCUUGGUACUCCGAGUGGGUAGAGAUGGUCGAGUGAUGGUGAGGCUUUCGAGUGGAUCCUUCGUCCGAGUGACUUGUAGGCUGCAGGCAUUCCACUCGGUGACUCCUUCCUAACUUUGUAGGCCUUGAAUUCUUGUAUGUGGUGUCCUUGGGUAGGGUAUGUAGGUCAGGCCUAGGACCCUACCCCAGAUACAUGUCAUCGUCGGGGGGGGAGGGGGAAGAGAAAAGGGGGUUGUGUCCCCGACGGGUGGGCCAGGGGAGGACAAGGGCACGCGUCCUGCCGGUCCGCGCGUUGUCUAUUUUGACGCAAACUCGGCCCAAAUUUGAGCUGGGAAUUUGUUGAAAGCAGACAAAAAGUAGACGUUUGUCUGUUUGCUCCUGCGCGUUGUGCCGCGAUUUGUAUCCGUUUAUCUCAAAUGGGCACGGCCGGACCAUAUGGGGUGGGGCCUUAACCUCAAUCUCACGUAGGUGUGGCCUACACCCUCAUUCCUUCGUUGUCCGUUCCUCUAGCGUGUUGACACCUGGCAAGCACACCUCAAAACACAGAAACCGUCCAAUACUACUAUUCCCGACCUUGCUGGCACCGACCAUCCGUGGACGGUGGGUUCUCUGUCCCACACACCACCACCCAUCCCAUCCGAUCAUCUCCACCACAAUCCCUGAAUCUGCAACCGGUUACUACCACAUCCCUGAAUUUAGCAAGCGUUUGGUACUCGGCAAAAUAGGAUAGGGCAGAUAAGCACACCACUUAUGGCCUCUCCAGAAUCCAGGCCAUGCCAUCAACGCCCAAGAAGGUGUCCUCUCCAAAACAAGCAACUAGUAGUAACGCCAUGCCCAUGCCCAGCUCUCCUUUCCAUCCUUGGCGCUGCCUGCCUCUUCCUUCUUCAGUACAUUCCAUAUGCGGAGGACCGGCCGGCACCCCCACACCGACUGGACCGAUCCGUUCGCCGCGAGUCGCCUCGCUGCCACGUUACCCUUCCUCUGCUGACAGCAUGAACGAAGGUGGUUGAAGGGAAAAGGCACGUCUUGAGAUUUCAUUAUUUCUCGGUUGCGCCGAGGCGAUGCCAAGUGCACGUACCGGGAUCACGCCCUGGCCCAUCGUUGAACCGGGAACCCGGGAUUAUUAUUCCGCGUCCGUUUGCGGUCCCUGGCUGGCUCCUUCCUUUUUAAACCCCCCUCCGCUCUCUCACUCGACAGUGUCUGUAGCAUCGAUCUCGACCUAAUCCUUAACUGCCCUCCCAACACAAAACUCCUCUUCCUCCCCUGUCCGUCUGACACCCCCUUCUUCCUCUUCUUCCUCCCUGCCUUCAUCGACGGUUUCGUCCUUGGUUUCCCCGAUUCAUUCCCUCCUGCUGUUCCUGACGCCCAAGUUGACAACCGCUGCUGCUUCAAGUACAGAAGAGAGGCGUCGAUCCUGAUUUACCUGCGAGUGGAUUCUUGGUUGGAUUCUGCCUUGGUCGCCGUGGAUCGGCCAUGUUCGUCAAGAAGCUCGUGGAGAAGGCCUCCAAGAAGGUAUAUAACCUCUCUCUCUCGCUCGCUCGCUCGAUCCAAUCCGGUCCAAUGCUCUCUGCUGCCAUUUUACUACCACUCCGAUUUAUCAGCUUCCUUGUUCUUGGUCGAUUCUGUGUAGUAGGGAGUAGAGAUUAAGACAAUUUUGCUAGAACAUGUAGAUGAGAUUCGACGGUGGGCAAUCCUAGAAUGGUCUCUUUUCUUUUCCUGAUUGGGGAGUAGUUGUUGGUGUCACUCCUCCCCUUCUCCACCGACCGAAUUCGCACGUAAUCCUUCCUGCGGAAAAUGUCACUUUCUGCUCAUUUCCUUAUUUUCGCCGUGGGAGCAAGAAAAGAAUGUUGCCUCGUGGACGCCGUCGCCCAAUGUCGCCCUGCCUCGUCAGAGACGGAGUGUCGCGCUCGCGUCCUUGUUUCGAUCCGAGCUCCGUUCAAAUUUGAAACACCCACACCCACAAAUGCCAUGCACUCAUCUACCAUUCGGAAAUUUAAGGCGGCUCUGGAAGUCCAUGUGACCUCAUUAAUGUCGUCCAAGCAAAGGACGCAUUGUUUAGUCGCUGCGGAAAUGAUUCUACCCAGUCUCAGUGGCGUGGCACAGCUAGUAGUACAGAGGUAAAAUAAGGCGAUCGAGACGGAUAAGAAAUUUUGAUAGAUUGACCAAGUUCGACGCAUAGAUUGGAUGGAUUACAAUAUGUGGGAGUUCAAGAUAAAAUAUCCUAUAGUAGGCCGGUUCUUCGAGAUCAGCGAGACAACGAGAUUCGCUUAUUCUUAUAUACGUAGUGUACUAGUACGUAUAUGAUUGGGUUCACCGUAGGCAAUGCAUGCCGGCUUUGGCCUGCAGUCACCGACGACUGUUCUACAGCGGGCGUUGUUCAGUCGCGGCUGUCGAUUUCAGUAUCUGGCUUUGGCCACUCUUUCAUAUCGUGCCGUUUCCAAAAUAUGAUCUGCGUCAUAAGCCUUGACUCUCUGCAGAAUUACAGUAGUAGGCAUGUAGGGUUCAUUUUUGACAGGCCACUCUUGCUAAAGACAGGGACAUGAUGGUGCGUGAUUUUCCCUUUUUUAAGGGGAAAAAAAGUAUUAGUAACUUCAUAGUAGGGCAACUGAGGAACGUGCAACAAAGUGGAUAAACAAAAUGAUCCUCUAGUAGGCCAUGCACGGACAGCAACGCGCUAGUACAAACUUGAGAUUUGUGAUGAUUCACUCUCGAAAAAGAUUUUUGAUGAUCUUAAAAAACUGGGAAUUGUGAAAUGCUUCAGAUUAAGUUAGGACAUGAAUCUUAUUUUGAAAUUGCACUAGCCUGACGCGUGUGCCAAUCCGUUGGCAUCAUGAUUCUUUGGCGCUAAUUAGAUCACGCCACCUGGCCGUUUAUUAGAUCGUGCAAAAGUUAAGAUGAUGAUGCUGUUACGUGCUCAUUUCGAUGUGACUGUGCCAUGUGCUUGGCCGGCUGAGCUCAUGGGCCGGGGGAUCAGGACACCCUGACACGUAGUAGAUGGACUUACAUCAAGUAGGAGCCAGGACAUAUCUCGUCCUUUUCCUUCGUUUAUUAUUUUUCUCAGAGAUAAACAUUUCAAGUUUGAAAGUGAUAUUUUAGGGUGCAAUAAGGACAAAAUAGGGUGAGAAAAUGAAAUAUUUGAACAAAAAUUCAGCUCCCGGCGAGGAUCGAACUCGCGGCCUUUCGCUUACGAAGCGAACGCAAUACCACUAUGCUACGGAAGCAGCUGCGUCCCAUUUUUCGUAUGCUUCUAAUCCUUGUUUUACUUCCUCGCAGCAACACAGCGGCGGCAUCGGCGGGCUGCGCGCCGAGGACGUGAGCCCGCGGCUGGCCUUCCACUACGGCGUCCCCGCCGACGCCGCCCUCCUCGCCUACGACCCCCUCCUCCACGUCCUCGCCGUCGCCACCAGGUAACCCACCGACACCGACAGCUCCCAAACCCCACCCGCUUGCUUGCUGCUUCCAUUCCGAGUUCCGACGGACGCGCCGCCCACCCACCUCUCCCCGCCGUCGCUGACGCCCUCUGCUGCGUCGCGCGCCUGCAGGAAUGGGCAGAUCAAGCUGCUCGGCCGCGACAACACGCAGGCGCUGCUCCAGUCCCCCUCCCCCAUCCCCUCCAAGUUCAUGCAGGUACCAGUCGCCACCCGCUUCCAAUCCCGUUGCUUUCCGUGUCCAGUGCUUCAUUGCUGAACCUGGAUCGAUGUGACUGAAUUCGACGCUCACUUUCAGUUCGCCGAUGGCCAAGGGGUUCUCCUGAGCGUGAACACUCAGAACCAGAUCGAGGCACGUCUAUUCCUCCCACGCAUCAUCUUGGUCCAUUCACUAAAUGUGCUCUUCUUUCUCCAUGCGUUGUUGAUUCGGAAAAGGCAUUGUUUGCAGGUCUGGGACAUCGACACGAAGAGGCUGUGUUAUCUGCAUCCCUUUGAGAAGCAAAUAACCGCGUUUACAGUGCUGCAGAAGAGUUUCUACAUGUAAGUGAUGGUUACUGAAUGUACUAGUGCUACGGCAUGGAUCUUGAUGGGUUAAAUGUGCUAACGAGAAUUCUGGGUUGCGCAGAUAUGCAGGAGAUAGUUUUGGAAAUGUGUCCUUGUUCAAGCUUGACUUGGGUCAGCGGUGUCUAGUUGACCUGCCAUAUUGCAUUCCUUUUGCUGAGUCCUAUGGUAUGCUGUCUUUUUUUUUCUUUCCUUGAACACGCAUCAAAAUGCGUGUCACUUUGUAUUAGGGAAAAAGCACCAAGACAAAGGCCAAAACGCCAGAACAGAACGAAACUAUCGGAAAAGAACUAGAAUCGUAACGAACCAAAAAAGCAGCAAACCAAAUCAGGAAAGAUAAGCCGUCCCUAGAAUAUCAAUGUAUAUGUUGCAUACUCACUUUUCUUAAGGCUAGCUGCAUACCCAACUUUGUUUAUUCUUCUUCAAAAAAGUUUAUUCAGUUUGCAGUUAUAUGUAAAAUAUCGUCCCUAUUCAGAUAUUUUGUAAAUAUUCAGAAAGAAACUUCACAACAGCAGUACUGAUGCCAAUCAAUAAGAGCCAUUGUAAUUGGAAAAUUAAAUUCAAAUUUUGACUCACUUUGAUCUGUUAUUGAAGGUUCCACGGCAAAUGGUGGUAAUGGGGUAGAUGUCGCAUUUGUAUCGCCGCAGCCUUUGGCUGAAUCUAACAGGUGGGUCUCUUCUCAUUACCAUGGUUUGGCACGAAUAAUUGCAGCUUUUGAGCCAUGUCAUAUUCGUGUUGAUCUUCCAUAUAAUUCAUAGCCCUCCGUAAGCAUAGUGAAAUGUCUGAUUAAGUCGCACUCUUCCUCUCAGGUUGCUCAUUAUAUUCAGAGAUGGUGUCAUGACCUUAUGGGAUAUUAAGGCAAGCAGAGUGGUAUUCGUAUCCGGUAGAACUACGCAACAACAAUCGCACCAGGAGGAGAAAAAUGUGACAUCGUCAUGCUGGGCUUGUUCCAAGGGAAGCAAAGUUGCUAUUGGAUAUGACAGUGGUGAUAUCUACCUUUGGGCUAUUCCUGAUAUUUUCAGUGCAGAAAAUUCCUCAUCUUCGAGUAAUCCGAAUCUACCACUUCAGAGGCUUAACCUUGGAUACAAGCUAGACAAGGUGCCAAUAAUCUCUUUGAGAUGGGUUCCUUCUGAUGGAAAGUCUGGACGCUUGUAUAUUAAUGGAUUCAGCGAACAUGCAUACCUAUAUCAGGUAGAAACACUGAAAUAUUUUCACAGUGGUUUUUAUGAUGUUCCUGAUUUUCUGCCAUACUUUUCAAGUGCAUGCUUUCCAUAUGGAUAUUGUUAUCCCAAAUGACAUUUUAGUUAUUUCACAUCAUAUCUUAGCAAACUUUAGCUGAUUGCAAAUAAUUGGAGCAGUAAAUUUCAUCAUAUCUGUCUGCCAGGACUAUCACUAAAUAACUAUCAGGUUGUCAGAUACCGAUUUUCUCUGGCCUCUGGCCCUUUUGAAUACGAAAUUCAGGUUGUAUGAUUUUGCUUCUCAGUAUUACAUUUUCUAGGGUUUUAAGAAGCGUAUCGAUUGGUAACAGACCGAAUUAGACUGGAUGAUCUACUGGUUUUGGGACUGACUUGAACAAAUAAAAAAUUAUGGGUACUCAAAGUAAAUGCUCACCCAAAGGGCAACGGAUUGGGUGUCAUUUUUCCAGCAACCAGACAAAAGAUCCAUGUCCAAAGCAUUAUUUGAACUUGGAACGGUCGAUUUCUUUCUGAAGAAUAUAGUGCUGGUUCACGUGGAUAAGAUGUCUUGAUAUUUUGUUUAGUGAGAAAUGCAUCUUCGUUCAAUCUUUCAUUUGUGUUUUCUGGACACAGGUCCUGAUUCUGAAUGAAGAGAGUGAAUCUCGAAUAGUAAAGAUGGUAUUGCCCAUCACAGAAGCUUGUCAAGGAAUGGAGUUUGUUACAGGCCUCAGUGACCCAAAUAAGCAAAGACAGACUGUUCUUGUUCUCUUGUUGAAAUCUGGUCAAAUCUGUUUAUACGAUGAUUCAGAAAUUGAGCGCUACCUUCUUCAAUCUCAGUCUAGAUCACCACCAACACUUCCAAGCCACUCAUUUGUGAAACAACCGUAUGGUGAUUCGGGCAUCAACGUUGCAAAGUUCUACACAAGUGACCGUACAGCAACAGCUAACGAGGCAUGUAUAGAUUUGUAAAUUAUACCUGCAAACAACUGUGAACUCUUUGACCAGACAGCUUCAUCUUUUUAAUGGACAGGAUUAUUUUUCAACAUUGGCCUCCAAAUAUCCAUGGCUGCUUUCAAUGAAGGAUAAAGGUCAGAUAUCCGCAAGUCUUAGCAACAUCCAUAAAACCAGGAAUCUUUAUAUAACUGGACAUAUGGAUGGAACCAUAAGCUUUUGGGAUGCAUCAUGUCCUCUUCUGCUGCAGAUUUUUAUGAUAAAGCAGCAGGUAGCUUCAAAUCCCAACUGUUUUGCCAAGUGUUAUACAAUUAUGAAUUCUUUACGAACUGCCGUGUUCAACUUCAUUCUAAUAACCAUCUAAUAACUUCACAGCAUGAAGACAAUACAUCAAGUCGAGCCCGUAUUACUUCAUUGCAGUUUGAUAUGUCCUCCAGCAUUCUUAUAUCUGGGGAUCAGGGUGGAACAGUAAGCUACUCCACGGCUACCAGGUGGUUUCUAGUUUAUGUGUUAAAUACACUUCCAGUGCAUUGAAAUUUAUUUCUUCUUUCCAGGUCCGCGUAAUCACAUUCAAAAAGGACUCUAGCGACAAUAUAUUAUCCAUUUUACAAGGUACUAACUUGCUCAGGGAUUGUGCUUCCAUCUACCUAUAUAGUAACUUGGUUGUUGAUUCUAUGAAAGAGUUUGCACUAGAAUAAUUUCAAUAAUAUUACUGCAAACUUUGCAAUUUACCAGUUAAAUUUUAGCACAUUCGGUGAUUUUUUGGCGCAUUAAACUAAUGGAUGGUUAGUAUACAUUCAUCACGUUUGGAUUAUCCGAGUAUAAGAUCACCUCCUUUCAGUAAAUAAGCAUGAGUUUGCGGCUUGUCUCGCCGAGUUCUAAACUAUCAUAAUAAGGUUGUUUAUAGGGUUUCCAUAGGCGAACCUUCAAUUAAAAGUAAGAGAUGAUGCGGAGUUUGCUGCAUUAAUUUCAAAAGAAAGGACAGGCGUAUAAUGUGGAGUUUCUCAAGAGUUAUAUAUGUUUGGUUGAUUUUGUUGUCCACAAGUAGAAACAAUUUAUAUAUUUUAUAUAGGAGGUAUAAGCUUAAUAAAUGGCUGUCAGCAGUUCAGUAGCGCCUGAUCUUAUCAUCUAGUUGAUGUAUCUUUUUAAUAAUGUUUUUAUAUCAAAGUCUAUGGAAUUUCUCUAUGUUAGUUAACCAGAAUUUUUGUGACUCGUUAGGAAAGCAAGGGGAUAACUACGAUGCAAGAAGUAUAAAGCUCAAGGGAGCUGUAACCUCAACUUCUAUGAUCUCUAACUCGAAGCAUUUUGCUGUUGGGACAGAAAAAGGAAUUGUAAGAAAUUUGUCCAUUGUGCAAAAUGUUCUCAAUUUUCUGAACUAUUAGGCUCAAAGCACCGUUAAUCAACACAAUAAAAGCAUAGUAUCACAGUUUCAAAAUAGUAGCACUAAAAUUUUACCACUGUCUACAAUAGUCAAAUUACAGACUCAAAGCUACUAAAUAUCAUAUGUGUUUGAUAUGCGAUCUCACAGAAAUUUUUUAAGUUAAAUGGUUAAUAUUACUCACAGUUCAACAAGUUUUAGUAUCUUGUUAAGCAAAAUAGUGGUUACUUCUUCGAAGACUUUGCAGUUCGCCAUUCUUGAUAUGAAGUGACUCAUGUCACGUAUGUUAUUUAUUGUGUUGACGAUUAUUUUAAAGAGAUGGAACUAUCACACAAUCAUUUAUCUCAUGAAAGCAGUUCGUUAAAUAUGGUUAUUCAACUCAAAAUUUGAGCUCAUUAUUCAACCAAGAAAGUGACAUGUCUGGAAAAACAUGUUUCAGGUAUCAGUUAUCAAAGUAGAUGAUGCUACUAUAUUGUAUCAAAAACAGCUUGAGUGUCGUGUCUCUGGUGGAAUUGCCUCCUUGCAAUUUGAACUCUACAGCCACAAUGGGUACGAUAAGGAUCUUCUGAUAGUAGGAAUGGAAGAUUCUUCUAUUUGUAUUCUCGAGGAAGAAACUGGAAAACUUUUGAAUGCCAACCCAGUUCAGACAAACAGACCCACAAGAGCCCUUCUGUUGCAGACAUUGGGUGAGCUAUAUGAUCUUGCAUAAUAAUCCUUUUUUUUGUAUAUCUACCCACCAACCCCAUUCUCAAGGUACUAUUACCGCACUAUUAUGCCAUUCUAAAGCCACAUAAUGCCAUCAUCCAGAGUUAUCUCCAAACGAAGCACCAGGAUCUGAUAACCAUGAUACAGCAUUGAGGGAAUCUUUGCUGUUGCUUUGCACGGAAGAUGCAAUCCGCUUAUUUUCCUUGAGCCAUGCGAUUCAGGUAUUUGUAUUUCCAGUUAUCUCAGAAGUUCUGUUUUUAUGUGAGUGUUGUUGUUCAUAUGGAGCUUUCCUUUGUGCAGGGAAUGAAGAAGAUAACUAAUAAGAAAAAGUUAAACGGUAGCUGUUGUUUUGUAUCUGUUAUCCAUGGUGCUUCUUCUGAAAUUGGAAUUGUACUAGUCUUCUCCAACGGAAAAGUAGAAACAAGGUGAGAUAACAGCUGAGUUGAAAACUUUGCAUGAGGGGUCGAGGGCAUUCAAAUGAAGUCGAUGAAUUCUAGUGUAUUUAUGAAACUGCAGGUCCCUCCCAGAUUUAUCCUUGCUGAAGGAAGCCUCUUUACGAGGUUUUGUACAUUCAAAAAACUUGAAUUCCUCUAGUUCCAUAACAUGUUCAUCUGAUGGAGAAAUCAUCUUGGUAUGGAUUGCACUAUCACUUUACUUUUUGAGACAUCUUCUGUAGUAACUUCAGUAUAGCUCUAUUCAUGAUUUUAAAAGUAGCUUUUACUUAUAAAUAGUUUCUUUGAUUAUACAGAUUAAGGGAGAGGAGACAUAUUUUUUCUCUACUCUCUGUCAAGAUGACAUCUACAGGUAUGGUAGCAUGGUUAGUUUAUAACUUUGGUAAUGAUGAAUAGUUGACCUUGUUUACCAAUAAUGGAGCUUUGCAAUUUAGUGCACUACCAGAGACCCAUUGAGCCAUUCUAGAGCCCCUAUUAUGAUCGUCAAAUAGCGGGCACAAUGAUUUCAUUAUUUAUUUCGAGCUGAACUUACAAUUUUUAACAUAGUUAUCUAAGCGUGCGGUUUGUACGCAGGCAUGUAGACAAUAUUAAUAUGGUAUACAGAAAAGACCACCCUCUCAGGGAAGAAUCUUCCUAUGUGGUUAAGUCUCCCAAAGAAAAGAAAAAGGUAACUGAUUAAUCUUAUGGUCAGUUGAGGCAUCUGUGUAUCUUUCUUUCUGAUAAUGGAAGAUCUCCAGGGCUUAUUUGGGAUGAUUAUGAAAGACACUAAAGGGAGCAAGGCAAACGAGAGUGAUGCAAAUGGCAAUGGACAAUUCAUCGCAACAACAUCUGAAGAACUGGCCUCGAUAUUUUCAUCAGCGAACUUCACUCCACCAUCUGCGAGGAGGAGCAGUUCACUGAAAGAUGAUGAAAAUAUUGAGCUAGACAUAGGUAUACGAUGUUCAGUUGUUCACAGUUCUAAAAGGCCCUAGGUGCCUUCUCCCGCCUAGCCCACCUAGGCGCUAGCCCCACUACCAUAUCGUCUGCCUGGCACCUAUCACUUUUUAGAACACCUUAUUACAAUAAUUUUUAGACGAAUCAUUACUUUGUCUGGGUAUACUUACUCUAAUAUGUUUCUUUCUGAAGAUGAUAUCGACAUUGAAGACAACACACAAAAGCAGAAAGGACCGCACUUCGCAGGUCUAAGCAAACAGAAAUUCAGCAAGGGACUCCAGGCUCUUAGAGGUCAGAAAAGUAUUAUACUAAGAUGUUUGUAAUUAACUUUUCAAUCCAAGGUGCGGCGUUUCAAAAUUAGCACUCUAGUUCAACUAUUUUAGUGUGAUAUGUUGUUCAAAUGUUUAAUAUGCAGGAAAACUGAAGCCCAGAACAGAAGAAAAGGUGAAUACAGAAAAUAAGAAGCCUGAAGAUGAACCAUCAGUUAGACAAGUUGACCAGAUAAAGAUGAAGUAUGGAUAUGCAACAAGUGAUGUGAGUGCAUAGAAGCGCCAGUAUAUCAUUGAAAUUAUGACCUGCACAUUUAUGUCCAUAGAAAGGCUGAUCUACUACGAUUGAUGACCAUCUGCAUGGAAUCGUAUUAGCAAUGCAUAGAAUAGUCACAACAUAAUAGGUUAUUUCCCCUCAAGGGAAGAAAUGUGACUAGUUGAUGCAUUCACUUACCUUUCCUUCAUUGUUGAUCUGAACAGGACUCAACCAGUGUUCCAAAAAUGAUUGGAAACAAGCUGCAAGAGAACAUAAAAAAAUUGGAGGUAAACAUCAUUUUGCUUCCCUACUGAUAGUAUUAUGCCUAUUUCUAUUACCAUGUUGCUCUUUGUACGGGACCUACCGCGUAAUUCAGUUUCCUAACAAAAAAAUUCUCUCAUUCCCAAUUUCCCUAUGUUUUGCAAAACUUUCCAAUUUCCAUAUGAAUGUCAGGGAAGACAACUAUAAAGAACAUUCUGCACAAACCUGAAAGGGCGUUAACAUUUACAAAUGUGCUUCCUGCAGGGCAUUAAUCUUCGGUCCGCAGACAUGGCUCAUGGCGCUCAAUCCUUCUCGUCGAUGGCGAAAGAGCUGCUCCGAACCACGAAAAACGAGAAGAGCUCAUCAUAGCGAAGACAGCUACAUGCAGUUGCUUUUCGUCUAGUUGUAAAGCUCUCUUUUUUAUGUUUGUUUGAGAUACCCAACUGCACUUGCCAUGGGGUCAGCUGUAGAUAGUCUUCUUCACUUCUCUUUACACUCGCUAAGGUUCUUGACAGGUUACCGCCAUGUUCAAGUUCACCUCACGUGUGUGGAACAUUAUGUAGUGCCACCUUAAAAUGAUUUUGUUGUAGAUAGCAAACAGAGGGUACCUUAUACCACCAAUUGUUUCACUGCACAAAUUUGGAUUGUAGAAUACAUGGGCAAACUUAACGUGUUUGAAUCUGAUGAAGUAAUUUCUAUUAUUUCUGAUUUUCGUUGUACUGCCAUUAACAGAACGGAAAUUUUCUCGCAAAAAAAAAAACUGCAUUAUGCUAACACAAGUCACACAACCACCAGCGUCAAGCCAGCAACUAGCAUCGAUUUUUACAUCCUGUCGAAAUAAAAUAAAAUUACUUCUGAUGUCCUGACUGCAAAAUGUUAGAACACAGCCAUUGGUCAACUACAGAGGAGAAAUCAAUUGGGCACAACCUUAAUAAAUAUUAAAAAAUUGCUGCACAAAACUCGAGAGCAAGUGCAGCAGGAAAAUGAGAAGCAAUAAGAAAGUGAAAGGCGAACACAAGACAUAAAGCAAUUAAUAGCAAGCCAACAGCAGGCUAGUCAUCAGAUCAGUAGAUAAAAGCAAGCAUAAUAACUGUUUCCACAUGCUGUGGAGGUCCACGAAAGAAAAGCAGUAAGGGUUUUAAGCUUUUCUUCGCUACUAGUCAAACAGAGACAUCUCCAGCAUGCCACAGCCCAGGAGCACGCAUCUAAACAUUCUCCUUACAUAACAUUACAUAAUCCGGACAUCGACAUGGCAAGCUAAACCCUAAGCAGCAAACGCUGAUUUGCACCGCUGCUGUUCCCUCAUCUACUAUUUAC
RNAcentral lists this long non-coding RNA (96013 nucleotides) under Triticum aestivum (bread wheat). RNAcentral's name for it is "long non-coding RNA (TAES_LNC024517)". The record is from RNAcentral. Lineage: Eukaryota; Viridiplantae; Streptophyta; Magnoliopsida; Poales; Poaceae.